CAACCAACUGUACUAUGUUUAUUAGCCUUGUCUUGACUGAUGUUUGAUAUAAAUUCAGGGUUGACUCAUAUUUGACUUAGAUUUUCAAAGAUUAUUAGUAAAUUUCACAUAGUCACAUAGGCCAUGCAUAAUUUAAUUUGGAACUAUCUUUUGAGGAUAUUUAUCAUAAUACUUGAUAUUUAUGAUUUAUUUUAUGGUAAGUGAAUGAAAAAUAAAUCAAUGUAAUAUAUGAUCGAUAAUAUUCCAACAUGGUUGGAUAGAUUCGGGCUAAGAUUCGGGCUCAGAUAGGCGAUGUGCAUCCCAAAUCCCCCACGUGACCAGCAUGCAAUAUGUCGUUUUGAUAUGCUUAUUAACGGUCCACCAAAUCCACAUUAGAUACGAUAGAAAUUUGAAGUAUUACAUCGUUAGAUGUUACGGAUGCAAUAAGAAAGAAGCCACCAUUUUUUGUGUGGGAGAAGGAAACGGUGGCGAGAAAUAAGUGGGCAGCGAAUCGCGAUUCGUUAGGAUCAAACUUUGGGCGCCUAUAAAGACCAAGCGACCGCCUCCUGUCGUGCAGCAGCUCAUCCAUGGAUGUCUUCUUCGAGACCUCCAAUGGGAAGCACUUCUCCAUCGAGAUCGGCUUCUUCGACACCGUCCUCGAGAUCAAGGAGAAGAUCCAGAAGUACGAGGGCUUUCCCGUCUCCACCCAGAAGCUCGUGUUCAACGGGCAAGAGCUGGAGGAUGACCGCGACACCGAGCACUACGAUAUCCUUCAGAACUCUCGCAUCCAUCUCGCCCUCUCAGACCAGGACUCCGCCCCGCCGCCCGCGAAGCUCGACGCCCACCCCCGCGUCAACGUCGUCGUGAACGUCACCGUGUCCAAGCGACAGUUGACGCUGGACGCCGACGCUACCGACACCGUGGGGCAGCUCAAGGCGAGGAUUCACGACCUCGAAGGCAUUCCCACCAGCAGGUUCAUGCUGUUCCACGGCGGUGCCGAGCUGCAGGACCACCAGACGCUGGCCGACUGCGGGGUCGCCGACGACCCCGAGGUGAGCCUCGUGGUGAGGCCCUUCCCGCCGUCGCCGCCCUCGUCGUCGGCGCCGCUCCAGGGCUCCAAGAAGCUGCGGCUGAUGGUGCUGCCCAAGUGCGGCACCAAGAAGGUGCCGGUGGACGUGAACGCGUCGGACAACGUGAGCGAGCUGAGGAAGGAGCUGCAGAGGUUGUACGGCGUCUUCAACUUCCAUCUGCCCACCGACGGCUACUUCUUCAUCUACAAGCAGAAUGUGAUGGACGAGGACAAGUCCUUCAGGUGGCACGACGUGAAGCAGGGCGACACCAUCGAAAUCUUCAACGGGAGCGUCACGGGCGGAUCGUAAUCCAUGCGAUUCCAUCUCAAAGAAGGUAUCGUUUGCCUCUUCCUGUGGCUUUCGGAAUGUGUUGCAAGAGCAUUAGACCCCCUGAGCGAGUAAGAAUCCAAGCCUCCAGCAUCACACCAUCAAUGGUUUUUCCUUGAUGAAAUGGACGGUAGGUAAUGAAUGUGCAUAUAGAGUUGCAUGCGGAAAUACGUACGAGUUCGAUUAGAAGGCACUUCCUCUGUAUUGUAGCAAUAGUACCUCGAUUUCUUCUUCCAGUUUUGCCGAUCAAAAGAUCGAAAGUAUCGAUUUUUCUCACGAGUUCGGAAGCCUAAUCUCUAGGUUAGUAGUUACGAGCGGCCUCUUCUUCGAACGAGCUUUUGCUCGUUCCAUGGUUUCAUGUUUGUUUCUGUUGAGCUUUUCUUGUAUUAAAUGUUGCUUCUUGAAAGGCGCAUGGAGUUUGCCAUAAGCGAAAAAGGAGAGUUUUUUUUUGUGUGUGUGUAUGGUUGAUAUGUUCAAUCGUUCAUGGAUUUUGAUUUUGAGACUUGUGAUCGAUUUGUUUUAGUUGUGUUAUGGUCCGUUUUAUGUCUUCAAGAAACAUAGCGGGAAAAUAAAAAUAGAAAACUAGGGUUUUACGCUGGUUUUUGUUGAGGCUUUUAUUGAAUCUGGGGGCUUGGAUUAGUUUACGAUUUUUUCUUGAAAUUUGCGAGUGUUUCGUUGGUGGUUCAUGCUGUGGGAUCAUCUGUAGAUUAGGUAUAUUGUGAUUAUAUAUUCUGCUUAUCUGUGCUUCUUGAAAGACAUAUAGAGUUUGCCUUGAGCGAAAAAGGAGAGUUCUUUGUUGUUGGUUGAUUUUGUCAACCUGCUAUUGCUGAUGUUGCACUUUGUCGUGCCUGAGUCGUCCAUGGAUUUUGGUUUUGGGAGUUGGGAUCGGCUCUUUUUAGUUCCUGUGUUGUUUGGCAUAGUUAUCCCUUCAAGAAAUAUAGCGGGGAAUUGUACUUAUGCCUGUAUAUCCCUGUAUCGUAAUACUGAUAGCGGAAACCACACAUUUAUGUGUAAAUAGAGAGUAAAAUGAAAGAAGAAAUUGUUCCUUCAUUGAAAAUUAGAGAGACAAGGCUUGAGGUAAUGAGAUGGCCCAGUUUUAAUUACUUUUUUUUUUAUCCAGAAAGCAGAUUAUAUUAAUUAAACUUGUAGGUCAGAGCACAAAAGGCAUGCCAACUGAGAGGGCCACUCCCCUCUCCAAAAAGAUGAAGCCUUAGUUAGCCUAGCCUUAAUUACUUCAAAUUGUAGUACAGGCUUAUUUUUGUGCUUCAAUGAGGAUUCUGAAUUGUAUUCAUAAUCAACCAAAAUCAGUUUGUGGCCUCUGGAUUGGUACAUCAAGAAAUGGUCUGGAUAUUUUUUCUUGACUAGGGAUAAAAUGGGUUUAGCUUUGUAAUUUGGUCUUUGUUAAUUGUUCUGCAUUAGUUUUUGUGUUUCCUUCUCUUUGUUCCUUUUUUAAGUUAGUUAUCUAAUUUUGAUUUUGUUUUAGAAUUAAUUGAAUUAUGUUUAGGAUUAGGUCAACGGUCAACCUCAUUAUACAUGCAAAAAAAUAAAUAAGGUGUGAGGUUGGAAGAAAGAGGGCGGUAGGAGGCCAUACAACAGGUUCAACAUACCAUGUUAUGUAUGUCCAAUUUAGAAGAAAAGCCUCAAGUAAUGAUUGAGCUUCAGGCUUGGAAUAAGCUGUCAGUUGUGAAAUGUUAUUUUAUGACAUGGCCACCAAUUCAAGUUUCUUCCAGUGCCUUAAUCCUGGAUCCUUCUAGCCUCACUGGAGUGAUUCUUAACUAGAUUCUUGCUGACCUAGUUCCCACAAAUUUGUUUGUGUUAAUUCCUUUGAAAUCCUUACUGUUCUACGCACAUUCAUAAAACCUAUGAGGCAUGCAAACAUUUAUCAGGAGUGCUAAGAAGUGCAAAAGUUCUUAUAUAAUGAAUUCUUUGGUGUGCACAAUACAAUUUAUGAAUUUCCUUGUUUUCUCUUUUAUGUUAGCUCAAUUGUUGCAGUCUUUUUUCCCAGUUUGUUAUCCACGGACAUCCCAUACCCCAUUUCGUUACAGGGUGUGCAUAGAAAACAUACAAUACACCAAACCAACCUGGAUGAUAACUGAUAGGCAACUCUAAAAUCAUCAAUGUGCUGAGAAGCUCAGAGCACAGAUUAAUGUGACUAUGGAUGAGAAAAUUCAAAAUCAUUUGCUGAUAAGGAAAAGUCAAUAUGACCACUAUAACCAUAAAUAUGGUUUUAUAUCUAGACAACUAAAAGGUAAUGUUGUAAUGACAAUAGGCUUGCUCCACCAUGUUAUAUUCGAGUAUGUGGUUUCAUAUAAACCUUGAUUUUAGUUCCUUCACAGUUGGGAUGUGGUUUGAGUGACAGUUUGUGCUGGUAUCCGAGUCUGUUUUACCUCACACGUAGAAUAAAGAUUAAAUUGCAAGAGUUGCAGAUUGCAAUGGGUGUGUGGUUGGCAAAUGUACAGUUAGCAUCAGAGAUUGAAGAGAAGCGAGUUAUGAAUUACACUUUUAAAUGCCAAACUGGUGAAGCCAUUGAAUUAGAAGAUAUAGAUCAACAAGUAAGCUUCACAUAACCAUUUGCAAAUGCCAAAAAGCUUGUGGAUCAUGGUGCCCUAUGCUUUUUGGGUGGCACUGUAUUGGGGUUUGUUUUACUGAAUUUUGUUGCAUGAAAGAUCUCUGCGAUGAAGCCAACUUUUCUUGGGUGGGUCAGGCUUUUCAUCACUGAUGCUCAAGAAUUUUUUUUGUUUUAGGUGUGAAUGCUGCUAAGAUGUUCAUUUGAAGCACUUGCUUUCUUUGGGAUGGACUAGGCUACAUAAUGUGAUGUUUAUUGUGCCCUUUGCUUGAAAGUUAGCUGAAGCUAUCCUAUUUAAGUCAUAAAGUUCAUUCUACGAAGCAAUCAUGAGAACUGAAUUUGUUUCUUUUUUUGAGAAUAUUUAGCUCAAUAAAAAUGAAGGUUAUUAGAUACAUUCCAUCUAGCUAUUAUGUGGCACUUGAUCUUUUGGCACCUCAUCAACUAAUGACUUGUUACUUGAAAAGGAGGAAAAUGAACAUCAAUUUUGUUGCUUUUCAUUUGAUUUGCACAUUCAAUUUCUUGCAAAUUGUGAUUAGCAAUGUUUUGGCUUUAACCUUCUUCAGCUUUGAACUGAUAAGAAAAGCACAUCUCACUUGAUGUCUUCAGUUCUCAAGAGUUCAUGUCGGAUGUAAACAUUCAACUCCCUAGUGCUUUUGGUAAGUUGACUAUACGAUUUUUUCUGAUUGAGAAAUGGCUUGCCAAUAAGAUGUAAGCCUGAGCUCUUAAUGUAUUGCUUGCAGAUCCCUUUGCUGAAGCAAUUGUUGACGACUCAGGUGUUGGUUCAAAGGAGUAUGUGCGUGUUUGAGUGCAGCGAAUGGAAAUGUCUAACUACUUUGCAGGGUUUAUAGAAAGAGUUCAGCUACAACAAGAUCUUGAAGGACCUAAAGAAAGAGCUCUAUCGUAAUGGUUCUGUUGUCCAGGAUCCAGAGUUAGGCCAGGUACUUGUGUUCUUCUCUAUAGUUUCUGCUUUUGAUUCAGUUUUUUAAUGAACAUUUGAUUAAUUGCUGAUUUGACAUUUUUGUCAAUUUUUUGUUGUGUAUCUUAUGCAUUUGUAUCGCAUAUUGUUUUGUAGGUUAUUCAGCUCCAAGCUGAUCAGCAGAAGAGUGUUCUUCUUUCCUAGUAUAGUAUAUUGCAUCUUCAUUUCCGGACAAUGAUCAUGUUUUUUUCUCAGUUUGGUGAUAUAUUUUCUCUUUCUGUUUCUCUUGUUUAAUCCUUUUCUUCUCUCUUUUCUCUUUUUCUCAUGUUAAGCCCAAAGAAUGUAUGCCAUUGGGCAAGCUCCUUGUUGCUCGAUGGACAUUAGUUGCAAACGACAAUUAUGCCCACGACCACCAUGAUUUUCUUAACUGGCUGGUUCGGUAUGAUUUGAUUGGUAUUUGCUCGUCCGAUUGUCAACCGGUACAUGGACCAUCCCAAAUCAAGCAGUCCAAUCUGGUUGAAAUAUAUAUAAUAUUUUUUUUGGAUGUUUUAUUCUGAAAACAUCCAAAAUUGAGCAGCCUCCUCCUUCCUCCACUGACCCUGAUCUCCUUCUCUACCUUCGCCGCACAUGUCUAUUCCUCUCCUCCAAUGUCUUCUCUACCUUGGUGAAGCAGACGGAUGAUGAAGGAAGAAUGGAGGAGGCCAUAGGUGGGUCCCGACGGCGAUGGUGGCAAAGAAGAGGGAGAAGUGAGUGCAGGAUGAAUUGGUUCGGUUCAUUUAUAUUGGUAGUUUAGUCAAUUGAUUUGGGUUUUUUUGGGUAUUUGAGCAGAUUUGUUUGCCCUUAAGUAAAUUAUGAAAAGCGGGGUGUUUCUAGGUAAGAACCUAUAAAGUGAGGCUUUUCCGGAGAAAUCACCAUUUGUUUUCUUUUACCCAGGGUUCGACUGAACUGUUGUGAGGAGUCGGGAAGCUGAGGAGUCACAAGGAGGAGGACCAGCUCAAAAACCGAUGAGCUGUUUGCAUGAUCGUGGCCUGCCACUGCCCAUGUGUCUUUCACCUGCUCCAGUAUGCCUUUGCCUCCUCCACUGCCUUCUUUUCCUCCUCUUUCUUCUUCCCCUUCUUCCUCCUCUUCUUCCUCUUCCUUUUUAUUCCUCAUUCCUGUUCCUUCUUCCUCUUCCUCCUGCUUGUUGCUCAUUUUCUUGACCUUCACUCUAUUAAUCAUACAGAGAAAUUCAACUUGAAGCAAGGACUGCUAAAAUUUUGAGGUACAUAUAAUUUAUGUAACUUUUAUGUCACCUAAGUUGCUUGCUUGUUGCUUGGUCAUGCAGAUUUACCUGGACUAUUAAUAUGGUAGUACAAGCAUGGGUUCUGAGUGCCACCACUGGAAAACUGCUGCUUUAUGGUUUUCUGAUGACUGCUAUAUGUCAGCGUGAAGUCAUAUAUUGUGAAGUUUGAGUCCAUUGAGACUUUGUCAAGAUACCUAUAUAUCAAUAAGAAGUCCACUUCCUAUUGAUACUGAUGUUAUUAGUGUCAAAUGUAAGGAAUGGGUGCUCAUGCUUAGCUACAGUUGCUGGCCAUGCACUUCACAUGGCUGAGAAGUUUAGGAACUCUCUCAGUUUAACUGUCAAGCAUAUACUAUGUGACACUCUUUCAGUCCUAGAGUUAGUGGGAAGAUAAUUAUGUGUAUGGCAAUUUCAAUGAAUGGUUUAUCAAAUUUUUACUCAUUAGAAUUGCUCAUUUUGUCGGAGUUAACUUACAAAAUGAUAAAACAAAAAUCUACCAAGUAUUCUGCUCUUGCAAUUCUACAGGAACGAUGAUCAAUUUUAGCAUGAAAUGUUAUAAGAUAAUUCAUACUUUCUCUCAUCAAUCUUAGAAUUACUUGUUUGAUUUUUGAUACCAGUUUUAAACAUUAUAUUAGUUGACUAAGAAAGAUUUAAAUUCAAACUGUAUUAUGUUUUAGAUUUCAAUAUUAGCAAAUCAAUCAACUAAGAUUUGGAUAGAUGUCUUAUAUACUUUGCUUUUGUUGAGAUUUAAAUGCACAUAAUUGUCUAAAAUUCUACAUUUUCUAAGAAGAGUUUUUUUUUUUUUUUUUUUUUUUUUCAUUUUUUGAAUAUUUUAGAGGGUUUCCUUGAAUUUAUAGGCUGUGCAAUCCAUUUAGUAAUUAGUAUAGUGUGUGUAUAUAUACUGAAAAUAAUAAGUUUAAUAAAAAUAUUAUUACUAGAUCAUACCGUAUAUUUAUUCAUAAAUAUAGAACAGUAGCAUUCCUUCUUUUAGGUUAGGGUCAACUGUUAUGCCUCUAAAAAUGGAGUGUCAAAGAUUGAACUUGUCACUGGCCAAGCAGCAACCUCCAAGACAUGGCUCCAACCAUCAGACAACUCCCUAGACAAAACAAUGCAUUGCCUCAAGCUGUGACAACAACAAAGGCAUUUGUGGAAUAUAAAAAUAAAACAAUACAGAUGUCUCUUAGUUGUUGCACCAAAACAAUAUUGUAAUUUCUGCAACAUGUUGAUCUCUUGUUGGAACAACAUGGGUGCAGAUGAUUUGCCAGUAUGAUAUCAGAAGCAUGGGGAGCUUCCAUUGGCACAUGACCCAGUGAAUCAGAAAGGCAUGUCAAGCACAUGUGAGAUGAAGCCAAAUCAAAUCAGAAGAAUUGUUUAUGUUCCUCUGCUGUUCUGAUGCUGAUAGGCUUCCUACAAGAUCUACAGAUCCAUAUGUCAGUGAAUGACAGAUGAAUUGGCAUCCAUUUAGUAUGGGGGAUGUGCAGCCAUGCCUGUCCAAAAAAUUGCAUUAAACUUACCUGCACAAUUUUAUGUAUGUUACUAUUGGCAACCUAGAUAAUUAUCUCCCAUGACUUGUGGGUGCUCGAGACUUCACCUACUGAAAGUGCUCAAUAGAGUGUUUCACCUGUCAAACAAUCUUCAAAGUUCAUUGAAACAUACUUUGGGGUAGGACAGAGGACAGUACUCUUUAAUGGGGAAAAGAAAAAUAUCCAGAAAGUGGUUUGGAACUUUGGUUUUUAUUGAUUUUUUGCUACCUAGUGAUGCAAGUUGAUAUUGAUUAACCUGAAAUCACUUCAAUAGUCUAUAUUAAAUGUCUCUAUGCAGAGCUUUUGUCAGCUGUAAAUUUGAAGUCAUACUUUAUUUCAAUACCAUGACCAUAAAAGCAAACUCAAGUCUGAGUCAGAAUUGUACAAUAACUCUCCUGUUGUCCUCUGUCAGACCAGCCUUAGCACAUCAUCCAUGAGGCUUGAAUUUUCUUUGUGAUAAACUUUUGAACUAGUCUAGUGUAAUUAAGAAAACAUUUCUCCUCUCUCUCUUUUUUAAGUGGUUGAAUGCCACUUAUAUUGAUAUGAGGGCCAACAGACUGAUCCAUCAAUUUGCAAUAUAUUGAUGAUUGCCACUAACUGCACUACCGAUACUUUCAAAUUCCAGAACUAUUAGCUGGUUUUUGUGCAGAUAUGCAGUAUGUGAUUAUCAAACCGAAGAAAGAAUUAGAUAAUGUGAGUUAAUAAUAUCUUCUAUUCAAAAUUUUUUUCUUUCUAAUCAUGACUUGGUUAUUGAAAGCUUUCCUUAUGAGUAUACUAGUCUCUAACCAGUGAUAUGCAUUCUGCUAAAGCAUGUUGGAAUAAGUAAACUGUUUAUUUUUUUUCUCUUCUAAUAGUUUGUCUCUGAGAGUUAUUAAUAAUCUUCUGAUCCUUGAAAUAAAGUAUACAUUUUAUUUACCUACUUCUAUUCUUUACUUCAAUGCAGUUGUGUGUUAGGUGUAAGAUCUUUCUUGCCAAGCGUUUUCAGAAGGAAGCCCAAAGAUUAUGUAUCUGAUAAUAUGCUUCUGUAGGUCAUUUUUAAUCAUGGUGGAUGUUGCUCACAUGAGAAUGAUGUGGACUUCAAGGAGAGGUUUGAAUCCCCAGAAAUGGUGGAGGCAGAAAUAUAUCAGACAAAUUUAAUAGGCAAGAGAUAUCCUCCACAGAUAUGAUUCAGAUGCAACUGGAUAUUAAACAGAGCACCUUGCUUGCACAUAAACAUUCCUACACCAGCUAUAGAUAGAUACAAAGCUACAGCUAUUUGUACAAUUUGAAUGAGGAAAAUUAUAAUGAUCUUCAACAGAUACCAUAAGAAAAAUCUACUUAAUCUAAGAUUAGUCCUAUGCAUGGACAAGAAUAGAUAAAAAUUCUCCAUCUAAUAAGAUAAAAGAUCUGUAGCAUUUCAUGUUCUUGAAAUAAUGUCAUCAAUCUCCAAUGCAUUUCUCAUUUUUUGUAUAUAGCCAUUAGAUAUUUAAAAUUUGCUGCACCAGUAUAACCCAUUUACAGGGACAAAUUGAAGCAAAUCAAGGUAACCUGCUUUGCAUCUUGUAUUACUCAACCUGAAAUAGUUAGAAAUAUCAUUUUUGCUAAUAAGACAAUUCUUCCUUGGGUAAGAUCCUUUUCUUGAAUAUUAGAUCAGAUAGAUCUUGAUGAAGGAAAAUAUCAUUUUAAUCAGCUCAAAAGAAAAUCAUUUUUUGUUUGUUUGUAUGCUUUUGGUGCGGGGCAGUAUAGGAGCAGACCACCUUAUUUUUCAGUGGGAUUUUUUGUUGCAGGUUACCCGAAGCAGGAUGACAUCUCCACCAUUUAGAUAUUCCAACAAAGAUUAAUUCAAUGGCAAGUUAAAGGCUUCCUCCUUUUGGAAGGACCACCAACCUGCCAUAACUAUAUAGGCAUUGGGACAUCAAGAGCUCUCCUUUUGAUCCCCUACUCCAACUGUAAAUUAUCAUCAUUGUUGCUGUCCUCCCCCCCUUCCUCUCUCUCUCUCUCUCUCUCUAAAAGCCAAAACCAAUUCUUUUUUGUUCCUUCGUUUUUCUUGGGUACUUUGAAGUUUGAAACCCCAUCAUCUUUGGAAACUUUAGAGAGAAAGAUGGAUGGGAAUAUAGCUUUUGGCUUUGGAGCCAUAAAUUAAAGGUAUGCUUCCUUGGCUUUCCCUGCCAGUCUACAUUGGCAAUGAACUGCAUGAUUAAUCUUGUUUGCUUUCAGAUUCUUAUUGUCAAGUGCAUGUUCUGUAAAGCCUCAGUGCAAUGGCAAUCAAGAUGAAGGGGCUUCUCAAGGGAAUCAAAUACAUCUCUCAUAUAUUUGGUACUGCUUUUAUUGACUCCUUUAAUUUUCUUUGUUCUAUUUCUAUCUCCAUAACAGAUGAUCACAGUUAAGAUCUGGUGUUUUCUUAUUGGAGUACUUUCUGUGAUGAUUCUCUUGCAGUGCACAAGGAGCAGGAGAUGGAAAUAGGGUAUCCAACAGAUGUAAAGCAUGUUGCACAUGUUGGCUUCGACAACCUGUAUGGGAGUUCUCCCUCUUGGGUAAUGGUCUAAUGCUAAAAAGCUUAUGCUUAUGUCUCUGUGUGAUCUCUUUAAAACCUUUGAGGAGAUCUUGUAAACCAAAACAAGGAGGUUGAUUUGUGCUGAUAGUUCUGCAUGACUUUGUGGUGCAGAUGAAUGAUUACAAGACAUCACCUGAUUUCUCAUCAGGUUCCCUUAGCAACUUCGGAUCGAGAGAACCCUCGUGGGCUUCACAAGGUUUGUUCUUUGCAUCUCUUACCAUUUGUGAUCACUUCUUUGAAACAUUUGUCUCAUUUGGUGAUCUACGUAGUAUUAGAUCACUAUUUUGAUAUUUUUUGUUAUUAGAAGAUGGAUAAUAUAAUUUGGUACUUUAUAAUUACUAAGGAUGCAAAUAUUGACUAGGAUUUAAACGGAAUGCAAAGAUGAUAUUUCCAGAAAGCAAUAGUAAAAUUUAGGAACCCAACAAUGAUGCCACUCAAGGUAUGUAAUACCGUACCGGUGUACCGAGCGGUAUAUCAGGGCGUACCGAGCGGUACACCCUGGUAUACCGAACAAUUUUAUAUAUUUUUUUCAUUACUGUAGUACUGUAGCACUGCUACAGUGUAAUACUGUAGCACUGUAGCGGUACCGGACGGUCCGUAUACCGGUAUGUCGUCGGAUCGGUAUGUACCGCCCAUACCGGGUGGAACCAAUCGGUACUGCAUACCAUGAUGCCACUAAAGGAGUUAGGUUUCUUGUUGAGAUUUCUGCAACUCUACUUUGCAGUAUACUAAGAUAUUUGAAGUAAUGUACUUCUGUAGUUCUUUUUCUUUUUAUUGAAAUAUAGGCCUACAUAGUUCUCAAGUUCACAAGAUGAUCUUUUUUGAAAGCUCAAUAACUUGAAGUUUUAAGGUUAACUAACUAAAUCAUAAUUGUUUGUUAACAUGUUGGCUUUUCACAAAAUCAUAACGUUACACAUAUGAUGACCUACAGUACAAGAUAAUAAACCAACACUAACCUAAAUGAGGACCAUAAAAGAAAACAGAACUCAUGACUGUGGUAGACGACAUCAUCAGCGACUUAAUUUUAUUGGCAUCUGCUGAUGACUACAGAUUAGUCUUGUGCAAUAAAACAAGUAUCCAUCUCUCUACCAACAUUAAGCUAUCAUUAUGUUAAACAAGACAAAAUUUCAGAGGAAGUUCUCUUCUAUGUAUCAAAUUCUGCUACAGUCAUGACUCAUUUAAUAAAUAUAUUUUGCAACAAGUUGAAAGAAUUUACUUUAGCCAAAUGGCAAGCUAGCAUAACCUAAGUUCAAAACAGCAGUAAGCUGUUACUGAUAUGAAGAUCCGAAAAGGAGAGAUAUUUGAGCUUAUCAUUUGAUUGUGAUCACUUUGUAUUCUUCAUUGAGUACAUUCCACUAAGGCUUCUAUACUCCAACUUAUUGUGAUAAAAAUUACCUUUUUUCCUUUAUCCCUACCUUCCACAAGAUUAUUCAGGUAUGCCAUUAAAUGUUUCUUCAAAACUUUCUGUGUUUUUAAGAUUGAGAAUAUAACUUUUGUUGCAGUUAAUUACUGUCAAUUACCAGAACAUUAUGUUGAAUCAAUGGUCACAUUGUCCUGGAAAUAUUGUAUUCCAACCUAAGAUAGAAAUGUCAACUCUCAUUCUUUUGGCAUGGAACUGCAUAUUUAGGUUGGUAGGCACACCAUGAUAAUUUGUUGUGGUGAAGGAUUCCUAGGAACAUUAUUAUUCAUGAAACUAAGAAUUCUAUACUGUUCAUUAGCCAGAAACAACUCUUUUUUAAUGACAACUUGGAUUGCACUUGACAUGUCUCAACAAGUUAGCUUUCAUGGUCUGCACAUAUAAUAUGUUCUACCAGUAUGGAUGAGUUGGAGCUUACAUUAUUUAGCCCGACAUGAACCACGAUUACAUGCAUGUGAGGAGCAUAGUAAUGCGGAACAAGCUUUUAACGUACCUUCCUAGCACUAGCAAAAAUAAACUGAGUAGCAUGUUUUGCAAGCAUGAAAGAAGAAUUUCUUAAAAGGAAUGCAUUGUUACUGCAUAAAGUAUGGAUGAGUCAUUGCAUGCUACAUGUGAUUGCUAUUCACAUGUGCAAUCUCAUUAUUAGCUUGAUUUGUUUCCUGUAAAAGCAAUUAACUGCAAAGCAGUCACUUGAUUUGGCAUUGUUCUUGUUCUCUGAAUUAUUCUACUUUUAUCUUACUAACUAUUGCCGCAACAGAUUUUGAUCAGCAAAGAGAGCUACAACCACCACCUGAGAUUUUCACAGACCAUCCUUGCCCAGACUUACCAAAAGCCCCUAAGAAGAGAAAACCAAAGAAGGCUAAGGCCAAAUCCCCAUCACCAGCGAGAUCGUCGAGAUCAUCAGCAUCGAGAGAUUCAUACUCCACUGCAUUUGAAGAUUUCGGUGAGACGCGAAGGGAAUUCCGAUUGGUCUAGGGUUAUCUUUUACAUGUAAAGGAUUGGAUAUUCUCAUCUGCCUUUCUUUCAAAAAAAUAUUUGUUCAAUCUUUUCCGGUUUUAAAGUUGUUCAGUAGACCAGAUUGUCACACUUUCUUUCCCACUGAACACCUAGAAUCCAUGUCUGCAAUUUGAAUGAUACCCUAUCCAAAUUUGAUGAUAUGGAGGCUGGGUGUGCUCUUUCACUAAUCACUUGUGAAGCUCAGCUGACUCUGUCUUCUUUUAUUGCAAGUUUAGAAGAACAGUCUGAGACCCAUGAUGGAGAUACUGAAUUAAGUUACACUGGGAUAUGUAGUCACACACCCUUUUGGUACUCUAUAUUAGAUAGCCAUGAACCCUAACAUCAACUAUAUAUGUUACAGAGGUAAAAUAUUGUCAUCUAUCACUCCCUUUUGUGGAUUUCCAUUCCCUUCACUCUCAAUUGCCAAUAUUUACUCAAAGUUUAUGUAUGCAACUGAAGGUGCCUUUUUAUCAUGCUCUCAAGAAAUAAUAUUUUCUUCUUUGAAGACGAUAAUACUCCGAAAACGAAUCGGAUCAUCAUUAAAUUUAUUUUUCUAAGAAAGUUCGAUUCAUUUAAACCGGAUUCAGAUACCAUAAAAUUGGUGAUUAAUAAUCAGAUCAUCAAAUUAUUUGCUCUCUGAAUAACUUAAAUCGGAUUCUAUCGUAAUUAAAUUAUCCGUCAUAUCACCUAAAAAUAACGCAGAAGAAGAAAAGGAUGAGACAUCUUAGAUUUGGGUUCCAUCUUUUAGUAUCAUAGAUCAUUCAGUCAUGGGUGACCUCCCACGGUGGCAAAGGGUCAUGGUCCACGUCGCCCAUGAAAGGCCACCCUGGAAUUUCAUGGGAAUCUUCCACGCCGCAAACCUAAAACCUCCCUCGCUCGACCGCCCAUUGUGCUACAACUUACGUCGCGGCUUCACUCAACGCCGUUGCGGUUUGCGUGGAGAUGGAGAUGGCAGUUACGACAUGGACACCUCCUCGCGAAUGGCUCUCUUGAACCUCGUCUCUCCCGGCUCUUUCUCCGGCACACCUAGUUUUCCACUUUUCCGGGGUCUUUAUAUGAGGGCGGACCUCCACCUUCGAUCCCACGUCGCUUGCCCUUGAGAUCUCUUCUUCUAUAGAUCGGAAAUUGGAGAGAGGAGGGAACAUUCUUGGGUUUCUCGAGUGUCUCGGGAUCGAGAGGGAGGAAAGGUGCAAGUUUUAUUAGAUUGAUUGAAUCGCUACCCCGGCCUCUCUAAGCCCUAGAAAUCGGCUUUUUUCGAUACUUCAAUAUGAUCUACGCUGUGAAGCAAUCCGCUUUAGCGUUGGGCGCCGCGGAUCUUGUCCGGCCCAAAUCUCUGCUCGCUGCACCUCGAAUCAGCAUCCUUCCGUCCAUAUGUGCUGCCAAAAACUCUAAUUUCCAGCUUUCUACUCGGAAGCCCCUGUCUCUCCCCUCCCUGGAGGGACUUGGUUUCCCGUCGGUCGUGAAGCCUCGCGGUCUCGGGUUCAAGCGCGAGGCCUUCGAAGCCGAUAGGUCGGAGAACAUCGAGAUCUCGCACCAGGAAGCUCGGUCGGCCGCGGGUCAGAAGCUAAGGAUCGGGAUCUACUUCGCCACCUGGUGGGCUCUCAACGUGGUGUUCAACAUCUACAACAAGAAGGUCCUCAACGCAUUUCCGUAUCCCUGGCUCACCUCCACUCUCUCCCUCGCCACGGGUUCGCUGAUGAUGCUCGUCUCCUGGGCCACCGGGAUAGCUGAGGCCCCCGAGACCGACUUUGAGUUCUGGAAGGCGCUUGCACCGGUGAGAAAAAUGAGAUAUUUUGGUCAAACGCAAGGGAUUUUCAUGAUUGGUUCGGUUUCUCAGGUGGAUUUUCUUUGAUCAGGUUGCGGUCGCUCAUACCAUCGGCCAUGUGGCGGCGACGGUGAGCAUGUCGAAGGUGGCGGUGUCAUUUACCCACAUAAUAAAGAGUGGGGAGCCUGCAUUCAGUGUAUUGGUGUCGAGGUUGCUGUUGGGUGAAACUUUCCCUCUGCCGGUGUAUUUGUCACUGGUCCCCAUUAUUGGCGGUUGUGCCCUGGCGGCGGUGACCGAGCUCAACUUCAACAUGACCGGUAAGAAGAGAUACAAUAAUGCUUAACUCAUGAAGUUGACCUCUGUGGAUCUUUGUUCAUAUGUAAUAGCAAUUUUGAGCUAUUUUAACUAAACCAGAAAUUAGUGAAUUUUCUGAUCAAACUACUUGGUCAAUGACAAGCAAAUUACUGCAGUAUGAAGUUAUUGCUCACAAGCAUUCUAGUAUUUUAUUCAGGUUAUAUCCCUUGCUUUCUAUGCUAUCUCAACAUUCCUAAUUUAGAUGCCGCUGUUGCUGAAUUAGUUUGUUGAUGCUUGCUUCCUAGUUACAUGAGCAUGCUGCAACUGCUAAGAGUUUUUUAUUAAUCAGUAUUAGUGUUACAUAUGUGAGCCAUGUCUAUGAAAAUGACUCAGAAAGUAACCUCACUGAAUUAUGUUGGUCAAGGGAACCAAAGCAUUCUAAUACUGGAAGGCUGUCUUGGAAUUAUAAUUUUUAUGAUUUUAGAUGUAAUCCUCUAUGAACUUAUUGGUGAGAGUAUUAGCUGUGAUUUUUUUUCCUAUUUCAGGUUUUGUGGGCGCAAUGAUAUCGAAUCUUGCAUUUGUGUUUCGGAACAUAUUUUCUAAGAAGGGGAUGAAAGGGAAGUCAGUUGGUGGGAUGAACUAUUAUGCUUGCCUGUCGAUUCUAUCCCUGUUGAUACUCACACCUUUUGCUAUUGCAAUUGAGGGCCCGCAGAUGUGGACUGCUGGCUGGCAGAAGGCACUUUCACAGAUUGGUCCACAUUUCGUCUGGUAUGCCAUAACCUUUUCAUUGGUGUGUCUCAUUUAUGAAUUUUGUUUUUAUUCAUGCAGUAGCUUAAACACCCAUUGUUCCUAUUUGCCUGUCAAAAAUUAACUCUUGCUAGUUGCAGGACCUUAGCAUUGUGUACUCCCAGUGGCUUGUGUUGGAAAGUUGUAAUUAAAAUGGCCCGAUCUGCAUUCAGCAAACCAAGCAUCCAUUGUGUUCAAAUUUUUGCUAGGAAACUAUUUAGUCUGUUUGUAAUAUUGAGCUUUUCAUGGUAUGAUUAUAUUAAAAUUUAAAAUGUGAUCCUCGCCUUAUGUUCGUGUGUUUCUUUUCCGUCACUUGAUUGACGUUCAAAAGUUAGAACUAGUGUAUUUAAAAGAUCAGAAAUCGAGCUUUAGUUGUUUCAGAACCUUGCCUUUUUCUGAUUUUACUCCAAGUUUAUACUCAUCUUCAUGCUAAACAUGUCUAAUGCUACCACUAUUUUAGAUAAUUAUAUUCUUUUAGAGGUUAACUUUUGACUUCUGUGCUAGAUACCAUGUCGUUUGUGUAACCUCAUAAUUUUUAGCUACUCUAUUAAAUUUAUGUGGCUAUGAAACUGCAAACUGUUAGGUGGGUGGCUGCCCAGAGUGUCUUCUACCAUUUGUACAACCAGGUUUCAUACAUGUCCUUGGAUGAAAUCUCUCCUUUGACGUUUAGUAUUGGGAACACCAUGAAGCGUAUUUCUGUCAUUGUCUCAUCCAUCAUAAUCUUCCACACGCCUGUUCAACCUGUCAAUGCGCUUGGAGCUGCCAUUGCUAUCCUUGGAACUUUCCUCUAUUCCCAGGUAAAUUUUUAUCAUUACUUUUUGUGGAGACUAGGAUUUUAGAUGGUCCAUUUAAGAUGCCUGAAAAGCCACAAGCAGAUUGCAUGAAAUAUCACUUGUAUAUUUGCUUAAAAGGAAAUGUGAAGUUCUUAUAUACAUUGUCCAGAUAAUAAAGAUUUUAUAUUGUUUUUAGUUGCAUAUUGUCGAUGUGUAACCCGGAAAUCCACAAUGGGUUUGCUGUUUUUUGUUUUUAAUGGAAAGGAGACAUGGAGAGGAAAGAUGAUGGAGGGAAGUGUCUCAAGGAGAAAGAGAGAGAGGGGAAGUGUUUCAUUGACUCAGUCACAUUUUAUUAGUAGUAUAUUUGUCUGAUUGCUUUUUCCUUAUCUCUUACUACUUAGGACUCAGCCAAUAUAGUUCUCUAUAAGCUUAACAAUUUUUAUUUCUUUAAAUUAGAAUAAAAAGAUGCACUUAAUCUAUGCCGGUGUCAAUGAUGGAUGCUGCCCAUUGCCUGUGAGAAUCACUGAUCGGCCUAUUAAAAAUGGUUUAUUGUUGCUCUUGUCAUGACCAUCCACUUGAUCUGAAUGGCACAAGAGAAAGAUAGAUAGAUGUACACAAAAAUGAACAGGCAAUAUGACCUUUGAGUUAGUUGGCCAUGCAUAUUAUGAUAAGCUGGAUGUCAAUGUUUUGGUGUCUGAAUUUUUAAUAUUUAUGAUCAUUAUUAUUAUCAAGACAAUGUUUUACAAAGAGAUUCUGAUUCAUGUGUUACAAUUUGACAUCACAAUGUAUAUAUUACUUGUCUUGAGAAUCAAGUCUGUAUUUUCGAUAGCUGUGAUGCUCUUAAAAAUCAAUGGUGAAAGAAGCUGACAUUCUUGGUGACUAUUAUGCAGGCAAAACAGUGAACCUAAACAAGAUUCGGAAGGUCCUGUAACGAGAGCAGAGCAGGUUUACGCACUCGCACGAGGCGCUUGAAGCAACAGUGUAAUCAGGCCUGAUAUUUACAGGGUCGAGAGCCAAUUUUUUUUGCGUAGAUAGAUGCAUCUAAAUAUUUAGAUCACUAAAAUAAAAGAGAGAGAGAGAGAGAGAGAAGAACUUUUGUUUACUUUUUUGAGUGGGCUCACAAACCUCCUCCUCCUGUGCUUGUGAGCUGCAGUAGAUAUAGUCUGAAAUAAAGGUCUUAAGGUCAUUCUUCUUCCUUGUCGAGUUUAUGUUGGAUUCUUUUUCUUUGGGCAAAACCCUUCUUCUCUUGGAGCUUUGUCUAUACUUUUGUCGAAGUGACGAUGGCAAAUUGUCUUGUCUUGGUGAAGUCUGCAUGGGUAGGGGUCCGUUCGACUUGGGACGGUUGGCGAUGCAGAGUUCAGCAAGGGAAGGAAACGAGUCGCAGAGUUCGAAGCUGAGCUCCUCCGGCGACGCCGUAGAACUCCACCCUGAGAUGUUCUAUGGUAGCAACGCGACAGCUGGAUGCGCUCCAGAUUUGACGCCCAUGAUGUCUCCGGCCAACUCGGAGACUCUAAACCCAUAUAUCGUGGAAUCUGCAGCUCUAUCGGAUUCUGCUGAUGCGGUCCGAGUGCUUCCAAGAUCUCUUCGGGAUUCCGGGCUUCUAUAUCCCUUCCGCUCGUGCACCCCAGCUUGAAGUCCACUCCUUAAGGUUCUCUUUCGUGGCCUUCGUUCUAUCACCAAUUGUCGGUGUAAACAACCUUGAGCCGUGGCCUCGGGGCCGACGCAGCUGAUUCGGGUCCGAAUGAGCGAGGGUCUUGCUCGACGUCCCUCUAGGUUGCCGAUGUGGUCGGUCGUGCUGAUCGGGUCGCGUCGGAGCUCGUCGGACUUUUUCGGGGGAUGAAGAUUCCUCGCUGGGGUAUUCAUGGGGAAGCAGCUCCGUCUUCGUACCUGCACACAGGUCGGGUCGGUGGCUCGGCCCGACCCCUCCGACGAUCAAGUUAGAUGAUGUGAAGAGGUCUUUUUUUGUCUCCCCCCCCUACCGUUCAGGAUAUGAGGGUAUUUAUAGGAAAGCUUACCGUUUCCUGAUGUGUCCGUUUGCAGGGGGUAGGCUAGUAGCAUCUGAUGCAGGUGUUGGCGUGGUGUGAACGAUCGAGCCCGAGCAGGAUGUUUAAUGUGCCUCGGUCGACGUUUCGAUCCGUUUGACCAGUUGGUGUCGGGUCAAUCGAGGUGUGAGGCAUCAUUUGGGGCAGCUGACGUCAGCCCGAGUCUUGUCGCCAUUAUUAUCCUCAUAACCAAUAUUCUCAAGAUUCUUCAUGCGAAGUUGUCCACUUAGAUUCAUCGAUCGCGAAUCCCUCGGCCGCCUUUUUCACAUGAAACUCCCCCAGUUCCCGAAGAGAAGAUAGUUGCGCCCCCAUCCUUGGUACUGCAGCAAUUGAUGCUGGAUGUGCUUUCAGAUGCCGCAAGUUGAUCAGAUUACUUACUUGCACCUUCCGGAAGUGGCAUAGGAUCACAGAGAGCAGCACGUCGGUCGUCUCAAGGCUAAAAGCCUUCCGGAAGUGGCAUCCUCACGCUCUUCCUGCGUUGGAUUUCCAUGUAUCGCAGGUGCACCAAUGCACCAAAUCACCGGUAGCUUCCGGUCAUGGAACUUUUUAAGUUUAAAUAAAAAAAAUUUAUUUUAGCUUUUGUGGUCCUCGAUCAUUUAAGCCCUUAUGAUUUUUUUUUAUGUCUAAAAUAAUUUUUAUAUUUUAAAAAACGUAACAUAUAAGUCUGAGUUGACAGAUGUUUGAGUCUGUUUACGUGACAUGUUGACUCACAAUAAAUCAUUAAUAUAAUGACACGUAUAAUUUAAGUUAAAGAAAAAAAUUUAUCUUGUCGAGAAAGAGGAAACGGUAAAGGCCGUAGCGGUGGACGAAGGCGGAUUGGCAAAGAUAGAAGAGAUCGGAGGCGAAAGUGAGAGAGAGCUAGACCACCAUAUCAUAAACGCGAUAGGUGGGGGCGUAAGAGAGGAUGAAAUGGGAGGUGGUGGAGAUGAGGAAACCCAAGAGAAGGAAGAGAGAUCAAGAGAUCAUUGUAUGCCUAACGUUGGACUAAUCGUCACACAUCCCGAGAUAAGAUCAUAAGCUCCUAAACUUGUCGUCAGCGUGAGAGAGAAUGCAUGCGUAUGAUGCCUUACUAGGCAGCAAUGAUUAGUGUUGCUACUUGUGGUCAUUUUAAUUUUUUUUAAUUUAAAUUAUAUAUAUUAUUAUAUUAAUAUUUUAUUAUGAGUCAAUAUACUAUGUAAAUAAAUUCUAACAUCUUUUAACUCAAACUGGACAUGAGGAGUUUAUAUACCAUGCUUUUUAAAAUGUAAGGAUUAUUUUAGACAUAAACAAAACCAUAAGGGCUUAUAUGAUCCAUGACCAAAAUUAUAAUAUUAAAAUAAAUUUUUUAAAAUUUAAAUUAUAUGUGUCAUUAUAUUAAUAGUUUAUUAUGAGUCAACAUAGCACGUGACUUAACGAGAGAGACUUGCAUGCUAUAUUUUUUUAAAUGUAAGAGUUAUUUUAGAUACGAGUAAACCAUAAAAUUUAAGUGAUCCAUAAUCAAAAUUAUAUUUUAAGUUUGUUCGAUUGAUUUAAUAUUUUUAUAAAUAACAAUAUUAGGUUAUAAAUUGGAAAGAUGAUAUUCUAGGCUUUUGUAUCGUAGUGACGGAUUAUGAGAUAUAAAAAUAUGAUUAGUAAUUGAGGAAUUAUUCUUAGUAAAAUUAUAUUUUAUUAUUUUUUAAUGAUUGUAUGGAGUAAAAGGAUUGCAAAUAACCCUUAACAAAGAAAGGGCAAUAGAAAUCUCCAAAAAUAAAUACACAUACAAUUAAACCUUGUAAGACAAGUAGGUAGUAACACUGAGACGACUUCUACCUACGAUUUGCACCUUCCGCGGUGGCAGCGGCGGCGGCGGCGGCAGCGGCAGCGGCAGCGGCAGCCUUGGCGGUGUCAUAUGAUGCAUGCAGCCCCAAAAAGAAAUAGUAGACGAGCAGCAGCGCCGUCCAGAUGCCAAACCUCAUAUACGACAGCCCGUCGAUCGAGCCUAGCAGGAAGAUAUUGAUGGCGAUGGACGCCGACGGUAACCACGGCACCAUCGGCACCCCCCACAUCUUCGGCUUCUUCGCCUGUGGCACCCCCAGCCACAGGAACCCCGUCGAGAGGAACCAUACGGGUAUCGCCACCACGUACCCCACCCACCCGUCGACACCCGCCGCCCAGUACCCGGCAGCCCCCACCGAGGAGCCCAGGAUGAGCACGAUGCAAACUAUCAGUUUGUUCCGCUCGGUCGCGGAGGUUUCGCCGUUGACGUAGUAUCGCCGGACGAGGAGAGCCACCGCCACCAGCAUGAAGAUGAAGAGCGUCGAGAUGGAGAGGAGAUUGGAGAGGAUGCUGAGCUCGGUAAAGAGGGCGAUGGUGGCUGUGGCUACGAGCAUGGCGACGGUGGCGUUGAUGGGGGUGCCGGUGGUGGCGUGGACUUGAGCGAACCAUGGCGGCACCAUGUGCGUGCGAGCGAUGUGGGUGAGGUACCGAGCUUGGCCGACGGCCGACACCAGCAGGACGGUCGUCAUGCCUUUGAGUGCGCCGAAGGCGACGAUGUACUUGGCCCAGUCCAUACCGACGGCCUCGAACGCGACCGAGAAGGGCGCGUUGGGGUCGAUCUGCGAGUACGGCUGCAUGAGGCAGAGGGUGAACGCCAGGAGGCAGUAGCAGAGGGUGGUGAUGCACAUCGCACCGACGAGGCCGAGCGGGAUGUCCUUGGCGGGGUUCUUGGUCUCUUCCGCCAUAGUGGACACCGCGUCGAAGCCGACGUAGGCGAAGAAGAGCACGGCGGAGGCCGAGAAGAGCCCACGAGCGCCGAAGGGCAUGAAGUCGGAGAGGUUCUUGGGGUCGGCCCUGGAGAGGCCGGCGGCGAUGAUGAAGACGAUGAUGGCCAGGUGGAUGAUGGAGGACACGUAGUUGAACCGAGAGGUGGCCUUGGUAGAGAAGACAGCGGCGAGGCAGAUGGCGACGAUAACGACGACGGCGAUGGGGUCGAGGCGGCUGUAGUCGGGGGAGAGCGAGGCGAUGUGGAUGCGGAAGUCGUCGGGUUGGUGGUUGAGGAGGGUGGCGAAGUAGGACGUCCAGGAGCGGGCGACCGCGGCGCAGCUGACCACGUACUCGAGGAGGAUGUUGCCGGCAGCGAUGAAGGCCACGAAGUCGCCCAGCUCGACGCGUAGGUAGGCGAAGGAGCCACCUGAGACAGCCAAGCAUGGACGCAAUCGUCAGCUCAAGCAACAAGCGACCAAGACACACAAACACAGCCCGGACCUGCGACAGGGAUCUCCACCGCGAACUCGGUGUAGCAGAAGACAGACAGCAUGGAGGAGACGCCGGAGACGACGAAGGAGAGGAUCACCGCAGGGCCCGCGGCGUUGCGGGCCUCCUGGCCGGUGAGGACGAAGAUGCCGGCGCCGAUGACAGCACCGAUGCCGAACCAGAUGAGAUCCCACCAGGAGAGGUUCCGCUUCAUCUCGUGUCCGCUCCUAGCUCGAACCUCGUUGAUCUCUGUGUCGUCCAUGGACCGGGCGGCGAUCCGAUUCUUGAGCCGCAUUCCGGUCUCUCUCAGAGCCUUCAUGUAGUUGGCCCAGCUCUGGAAUGAUUCAUCGGGGAGGAACUCAUCUUUGGUGCAGCAGCAGCCCGCCCUCCUCUGUUUCGCUCCUCCUCCUCCUCCUCCUCCUCCUCCUCCUCUGCUUUCAGUGGCAAUAGUCCCCAUUCCAAUGUGGUCUUCGCUUCAAGCACUGUCAAACACUACAAUGCGGGUCUCAGUUUGGGUGCAGUCAUAGCGGAACACAUCACGAGACAUGUUGUGAGGCAUACGAAGAUCCAUUAAUGAUCUUGUUCUUGAAUUCCAAUUACCAGAUCAUGGGAGUUCGUCAUCGGUAGGAUUCGAAGAAGAAGGAACUUCUCAAUCCAUUUUCUUUUCUUUCUCAUGCUUUAAGAUUGUUCCAAUUAAGCAAUAAUCAAAGGCCACAAAGAACAACGGUAGAAAUUAAUCAUGAAGAAAGAAUUCCAUGUCGCAUUGUGACAGUUUUAGAUCAAACAUUCAAUCCAAGAACGCAUCAAAUUAUGCAUAACAAACAGAAGAAGAAGAACGGAGAGAAAAAGACAGGACGCGAUCACAGUUGUAUGAGGAGGAGAUAGAUGGAUGUCGGCAUUGUUACCUGUAGAAUAUGCAGAGCCGGAACGAAGGAGAUGACCGGAGGAGGGAGGGAGGGUGCCGGAGAUUCUAACAGUCACAUGUAAAUAUCUUUAGAGAGAGAGAGAGAGAGUGCGAAGGCUCCCGGUUCCGAGUAUAAAGCUCGAAGCAUUUUUACAGCUACCCCAGCGACACGCACCGCUUUUCUACCUGCGUGUGAUUGGAGAGGUAGAAGCUGCCUACGUGGAACCCAUCAGUUCAAAAGGCAGGUAUUGAUGGGUAGGCAACAGCUCGAUAUUUAUGGGCGGCCUUUGACCGAAACAGCCGGUGACUGCCCAGAUUGCGACGCCACGUACCGACACGCGUCGCUCAGAUUAUCUUUCAGAUUCCCCGAUUCCAUGGAUCGCAUCGGUGGACGGGCACCGUCCGAUCCCGCUAAUCUGCGAGAUGAUUUCCCAAUUAGAAAUGGCAAAUUAAGUGUUCAGGUUCCUUUUCUGCAAAUAAAUCACAGCAUAAUCCUGUGAUGGUUAAGGAAUAGAAGAAGUAGAAGAAGAAGAAGAAGAAGAAGAAGAAGAAGAAGAAGAAGAAGAAGAAGAAGAAGGAUUUUAUUUUUCUUUUUCAUAAUUAUGAAGCAGACUAACUCGAACAGGUCCCACGUCUCUAUCCGUCAUAUCAAAACAAAAUAAAAUAUGGCUAUGGUUAUUGUCAGGAGAGAGAGAGAGAGAGAGGAUGCAUAUCAAAACAAAAUAAAAUAUCAAAACAUUUAGGAAGGAGGAGAAUCUGUGCCUCAAUGAUUUUUCCCUUUUACAUAAAAUAAAAUAAAAUAAAAUUUGGUUGACCUCACCCACCCACCAGCAACAAAGGAUGCAUUUGUUAUUUUUGAGGUUUUAAGAGGGAUAUGCAUAUAGUCAAAACAAUUUGAGGAAUACAAAACCUGUGUCUGACAUAUACAUAUGCAUGAAAGAUUUGCCAACAAGGAUGCUGAAUCUAUCCUGUCAAUAUUUUUCAUACUUUGGAAGCACACACAAACAGAUUUGCAGGAGGAUAACUGCAUUGGCCUUUUAUAGUUGUUAAUGUAAAUGCAUAUUGUUGUUGUCUGAUUUAUAACUCAUCCCUUUGUCAAAAGAAGCACACUAACUAACAUCUUUGUUCUUGAAGACUACUUGACACCUCAUACAAAAGCAGAUCAGUGUUUUGAACAAUCAAAUCACCUGCUUACCGAGGGAGCAAUUCUUGGUUAUGCAUCUGCACUAAAAGCACCAUUGAAUCCUCCCAAACUCCGGCGAUCAUCAAGGGAAGAUGACUGCAUUUGCUACAUCACCACUUGGUCCCAAUCGAUUGAAUUGUCUUCAAAUUCAGAACCAGGCUGGAGACGGUUCCGUGCCAGUUUACUCAUAAUUGCAAGACCUGAAAGUGAUAAAUAAUAUAUAUAAGCCACCGAUCUUCUAAUACAUGGUUUUCUUGUCACAUUCUACCAUCAAAAGAAAGAGUACCGAUGAUGUUUUGCUUGAAUAGACAUGCACUUUUUAAAUCAUAUAACCCCUAAAUUUAAUUUUUGGUUCCCAAUUUUUUUGAACUGUUGCCAGGUGGCUCCUGUAGUCCUCUUGUCGAGUCCUACACAUACCUGACAAAACUCCUAACUAGCCGAGUGCAGUGCUGAAACUCAUGCAAUUAACAAAUGUGUUUUCAUCAUGCAAUGAACUUUAGCACUUUAAAAGUAAAAUCAACACUACAGACCAUAGCAAUCUCUGUUCAAGCAGACAUUUUACGAGUAAAGCAUGUGCCAAAAAUUUACCUUCAACCACUUUAUAGAGUGAUGACCACCAUCUACUGCUAGGGACAUUGUGCUGUUCAAGCUUUUCUUCGAUUUCAGUGUCAUGCUUCCCUUCCAAAAUGCUCUGCAAUGUGAUCACGGCAUCCUUUGUUCUAUUAAGGAUGUUGUUUUCAUCAUCAAUCUCCAGCUGAUGGAGGUCAUUCUGUGAGGAUGUCAGGCUGACCGCAAGUGCAAAUUGGGCAGCAGCUACCCAGCGUGAAGACGCCAGCCAUCUCCGUUCACCUUCUUGUCUCUUGAUCUCCUCCCUUCUGGACCCGUUCUCCCCCGCUCCAAAGACCAGACCCUGUGGUUUUCUCCCCCAAAGACCAAAAGUGCAGAAUUAAAAUUCUAAAAAAGAGGCAGAUAAGCAACAUAAAUGUAGCCCAGAAGACCUAAAUACUCAAUAAUGCCAAAAGGUUCACAAGAUAACAACAAUUACUAGUAACAAUUUUCAAAUGCUGGUGCAAUUAGGAACAAAGCGUUGACUUCAUCUCACCUUAGUUUUUAUUCAGUUGAAUUGAUUGUUGAAACUUAUUUAACUCCGUCCCCCGAAGAAUAGGAAAAAAGAGUGUCACUUAGGACCUGCAUGAUAAGAUAUUACAGGCCUUCACGGGAUCCAUUCCCAUAAGAUACAAUGAGUUACCUUCUCAACAUUGAGGAGUUACACUGAUUAGACCUAUUUCUGCUAACAUGGUCUUUGUAUAGUUUACUUGACUAUUUUCAUUAAAUCUCCAUUCGUGUUUGACAUUAUGAGUUUGGAUCUGUACCAUCAAAACACCAUCUGAUAGCACUGAGCAGGAAGAGCCCUCAAAGUGGUUAACUGAUUUCACACUGCAUUUACCAGGAUACCCAUUUUGACUUGUGGUCUAAAAAAAAAAGAGAAUAUUUGAUAAUCGUGCAUACUCAAGUCUAUAACUGUUUACAACAGGAUGAUGAAUAUCACAUUUUGAUUUUAACUGAUUGAACUGGUGAAUUAGCAAUUUGCUUAAUAUCCUAUCAACAAGUAAAAAUAAUAGCAAACCUGGAAGAGAUGAGGAUGUUGACAAAGAAGUCUCGAAAAGCAAGAUUGUCAUAUCAUUUCUUACUAAAUCUUUAUUAAUUAUGUUGUUCAAAGAGGAAAGAUAAACCAAGACAAACUUAAUCCAGAUCAGGAAGUCAAUACAUAUAUAGCCUUUUCAGAUUAAUUAGAGAAGAUGUUUUUGCAUAUUAUAGUCCUGCAAAUGAAUCCAGAAAUAUCAUUACAAUCUCAGAAUGUCUGUGGUAAGUAUAAUCUCGACAAACAGCCAACAUUCAUAUUCAGAACUCAGAAUCAGGAGCUAAUCCUGACUGUUCCAUGAAUGGAAUUAUUUCCGCUUUGUCUAUAAAUUUUGGGUUGGUCAUAAACUUUAAAGUUCUAUGCGACAAUUUUAGCCCAACUCUAAUUCUUGCACAGCAGUUUUUGUUGUGUGUGAUUUAGAUCAUAAAUGCAAAAGCUGAUCAUGAACAAACUUUGAAGUUCUUCAAUAUGACACUGGCAUAUGUUUCAGAUGUUUAGUUAGGUAAGUAGUCCAAGUCAAAAAUUUUAAAUUCGUGGUAAUCAGAUUCAUGUCACCUUUGUUGUUCAACGUAGAUGCUUCAACCGAAAAUUGGAACAAACAAUUUCCUCGACAAGCCAUGAUUCUAAUGUAAUUGGAGUUGCAGAACAAAUUUAGAUCUUAAUAGAGGGUGUUCCUAAGUGAGUAUUUAUUGUUUUGGUAAUAAAGCUAAAUUUACAAUAUACAACCUGAGAUUUCAAUACUAUGUCAAGUUUAAUUAUAAAGCAUUAAAAUUUAUCCUUCCUCCAAAGAUCUGUGGUUAAAAUGGAUUAAUUAAGAUACUAAAGAGUGACAAAAUCAUAAUAGAAAACAAAUUUAUAUAAACAAGUAAUCAAGUACUAGUACGGUAGUACCUAAGGUUCACCAUUUCGCAGUAUACUGCUCGGUACGGGCAAUACAUACCAGUCCGAUAAGGGACCGAUACAAGCCGUACAUUGGCAUGCCCCCAUGUACUGUGUCGAUAUACUUAGUAUAGCUCGGAACAUACCGUACUGACAACUGGACGGUAUAUUGGUACAGAUCGAUAAGAUGAACCAUGCUAGUACCUGAUAUCUAUGCCAUAAUCCUCGUGGAAUAAUACAGUACACAGCUGAAAGAAUAUUUAAAAAAUUGUUUGCAAUGAUUUUUAUCAGUAAUGUUGGUGCACGAACAUAAUGAUAUCCUGUAGGGCCGGUAUGCAUCAAUUGCCAAGAUCAAUAUGGACCAGUACCAAACCUUGUCAUACAAGCCUAAUAAAGUUCUUUGGAGGUUUAGGGUUAAAAAAUGCAGUCAGUACUCAGUAGUCUACUAAGAUACUUCUAAAAUUUGCAUCUCAUGAAACAUGAACACAAAAAAGGAAAGACCAAAUGUCUGGAUUAAAGUGAUAACAUAUGAGAAUAUAUUAUUUACAAACACUAUUAGACAAGAAAAUAAAGGAGAGAAAAAGAACAGGGCAUGUGCUUAUACCCGUAAAUACUGGGCAUUGGCAGCACCAGUACUCUGAACCAUUUUGUAGAAAGCACUUUCUUCAUUUGAUAGAAGGGUCUCUGGAGUGUCAAACUCCAAAACCUGCCAAUAAAGUCAGGUGCAGCUGAUAUGCAUCAGUGAAAUCUAAUGAAUAUAGUCCUCAUAGAUAUUAGUAAAGCACUAAACAGGAUUUAACUGGAAGGUGAGCACCAUACAUGUUCAGAUGUAAGUAUCUAGAAGCAGACAGAUAAAGAAGCCUGGAAGUAUCAAUUUAUACAUGUUUUCACUAAUAUACGAAUGUACUCAUCAAACAUAAGACCAGAAAGGUAAGCAAUCAAUUUACUUUAACUAACUUUUUUCUUUAACUUACUUGCAAUUAAAAACAUACAUAGACUGAAGAAAGGUUUUGUACUCUAUUUAUGUAUUUUUUUUUUGAAAAAGUGGCUCCGAACUUCUUAAUACCCUUGUACAUUUCAGUUUGAUGGAUUUACAAUUCCAAAUAUUACAUGUUAUAGUUCCAAAUAUUAGGAAUCAUUAUUACUGCAAAGUUUUGAAAUCUGAACAAAGAUACUUGAGUGUAGGUAACUUAGGACAUAAGCCAGAUUCCUGCUACUAAGGUUCAGAUUAUUGAGAGUACAGUUCUGCAUGCACACUUAAUCAAUUAAGUUAAAUAAUAAUAAUCUUAAAUAAAAAAUUUCAUUAAUAAUAAUAAUCUGAAUUAGGAGGUCUCUGUUGAGACAUCCGAAUUGGUUUGUGCAUGAUUGUACAAGUAAUAAGUCUCAGGAUCGAGUCCAUGUGUGAGCGUCAUAUAUGCCUUUGAUGUAACAAAAAAAAUUUAAUUAAAAAAAACCUAGUGGAAGGACCACAACAACGAUGAGUGCCUUUUAGCAAGGUUUACAUAAAAUUCUCAGCUACUCUAAAAGAAACCUGGUCAAGUCUAAUAAUAAUCAUUAUUGUCUUAUGAUAGAGAUCAACAUGCUUUGGUAGUUUUCACGACUCAGUAUAAGAAUUAAGAAUGUUGUUAAUAAUAAAGAUUAAAGACAAAGCUUUAUAGUGCAAGAUGGCUGCAUUGAACUUGAUGUUGAUCAUGCUUGUAUAUUUUCUGUCAAUAUUAUCAUGAUAAUGAAAAUGCUUGAACACAAAUUAAUGUUUCGGCAGAUAUUUCACAAGAAAUGAGAAUGAAAAUUUUAGGAUGUAGUAGAUUACUACUAAAACAAGAAAAAUAACUUCAAAUUGUGAUCCAAGUCUCAUCUCAGUAUUGGUCCUGUGAUGGACCAAUAAGAACCCAACACGCUGAACAACUUGUUUUUCCUUUCUUCUCUUCUCAUUGUCCUGACUUUCUCUUCUUCCUCUUCAGCAUCAUUGUCUACUUUCUCUUCCUUUUACUAGUUUGUUGUGGUCUGGUAUGAACAGCCAAUACCAAUAGGUAUAUUGUGAAGAGUUUAAUCCUUUUGGCAGUCACCAGGAAAAUAAACUGCCAUUCUUACCUGACACUUAUACGCAACAAAGAUACGAGGCACCAACACGGAAAGUGCACUUACACUGUUGAGGGAAAAAUGGCAGUUUCUUACUGAUCUAUUACAAAACCAUAAACCUGAAAUCAUGUCUGUCUUGUUGACUUUGGCUAGAAAUUACCCUUUAAUUUGAACAAAUACGAAAGACCUUAUAUGGCAAAAGAAAUAAUAGAUAUUAUCUUCAAAGAAUUGGGGUAUAUUUGUCCUAUACUCAUCCCACAUCCAGAUCCUCUCUCUCUCCUCUCACCUGUGCCCCACAACCUCUUUUUUACUUUAACCUGAUGGGCAUCCACAGAUUUAUCCUUGCAGACACAAACACAACAUAAACAUUGACACAACUUGGCUGGACCAAGCAAGGUUUGAAUUUAACUAUUUACACGAUGGUUUUCACGUCAGUAUGUCAAUCUGUUAUGAUUACUUAAAAGAAAAAAGAAAAAUCCUCAACAUGCUAAUGGUUGACCACAGCAUCCAAAGAUCAUAAAUAAAUAAAAAACCAAAAAGAAAUCCUUUUUUACAUUAAAGAAUAUUUAUAAUAGAACAUUAGGAAUUGGAGUGGACAAUUGGUUUUAAAUUGCAUUAAGUUACCUAGCUAAAAUCAAAACAAGAUAAUCAUACUAUCCUGAUCAGGGAAAGAAAGUUCUGGAUGUCAUAUUAUUUAUCCUGGUAGGCUUGUGAUGUAAAAACUAAAGUCUCACGGGAUACCUGUCCGGCACUGAGGAGAAGAAUUCGAUCACAGUCGAUGAUGGUAUUCAGACGAUGAGCUAUAAUGAGCAUUGUGCAUGAUUUGAACUCUUCUCUUAUUGUUUUCUGAAUAAGAGAAUCAGUCCUAACAUCCACCGCUGCUGUUGCUUCAUCCAGAACAAGAAUCUUUGAUCUCCUUAACAAUGCUCGAGCAAGACUCAGAAGUUGUCUUUGUCCAACACUGAAAUUCUCACCUGCUUCUGAAACCUAAUGAAUAAUGACAUUGAGAGGUAAUAUUUUUCAGCCAAAAAUGUGCAAAAUCAUCACAAAGAACAAAGGAAAAUUUGCAGUCAACAUGCUUAUUACCCUGAUUUACAUUACUUAAAAUUUGAACUUCUAGAAACGUACUUGCAUCUGCUUAUUAUUGACAUCACUGAUGCUAUAUCAGUAUUAACAAAAGCCCAGGAAAAGACAAAACCAAAGAGAGAUGCUCUCACAAGUUUAGACAUAUAAGAAACAUCAUAUACUGUUCUAUGUGACAAUUUUUAUCAUAAUAAGAUAAUUUUUUAUUUAAUGGCAAUCAAAGAUAUAAAACAAUAGCUUUGAAUUUUCAAUUCCAGGCAUAAUUAUAACAUAUGGAAGAAACAAACAUAAGUCAUGUUAAGAAAUUAUUUGAGAUUGCUAGAGCAGUCAUGCUUUAUAUUCCAACUAAUAAAUAUUCAAGUAGAAUUAACUAUUAUUAGGAAGAAACAGAGAAUCAUCUAGCAUCAGUUCUUUCAAUGUUAAGCAUCCCUUGCCAUAAGUCACAAGAAGACAACAAUAGAAUCAUUAUAAUGCAUACAAUAAAAUAGAUGCAUAAUACAUAGAACAAAAUGUAGAAUACCUCUGCAUCAAGUCCCAAUGAAUUCCUCCGAAUGACAUCUUUUAAAUGUGCCCUCUCUAAAGCCUCCCAAAGAUCUGCAUCAUUGUGCUCACUGAAGGGAUCCAGAUUAAAUCGGACAGUUCCUGCAAUAUUUUUUGUUCCAGACAGUCACAAACACACACAUAGAUAAGAAAAGAAACAUUGGUCUACAGAUGAAGUCAUAUAUUUCCUAAACAAGCUAAAGCGAAACAAUGGCAGAACUUGAACUGCUAGAUUUUUGAGAUAAUACAGGAGCCAACAACCCAAAACUGCAACAAUUUCAAAUGAUUAGAAUUUUUACAAUAAACAACUUGAUGUAGUGCAUAACUAGAAGUAUUGAAGAAUGAGAUUGCAGCAACAUGAAUUAAUAAUCUCAAGUUUCAAGCUAUUAAGUCUCAAAAUAUAUAGUUUCAACUUUCAAGGCAAAGUCAUCAAGCUGCAAAUCAAAUUAUCAAGUUUCUAGACAACAAAGUCCCGAGGCACCAAAUGUUGUUCUGUAAUUUGUGGUCCAUUAAUGCGCUUUUGUUACUUGUGAUAAUUAAUAGGGGUUGGUGAGAGUAAAAGUAAUUGAUUAGGGUAGGUGAUAAUUAAGAUAUAUAAUGCGCAAGUCAUUUACAAAAGGAGAGGGGAAAGGAGUUUGAGGAACAACUUUGAAUUAAUCUACGAAUCCUUGUAUUGGAGCUCUUAACUCUUAGCUAUCAUAAGAAAAAGAAGAGUCUCUUUUUCCCCUGUAUCAUAUUCUCUCUUAGGUCAUAGUUAUCACAAGCAAAGAAAGAGUUCACUUUUCCCUUGUAUAAUAUUCUCUCUUCUGCUUAGGCAAUAUAUAACAAAACUAAUAAACCACAAAAGCAUUUCAUCAAUCUCCAAAAUGUAAAAUCAUAGCAACAUUCUUGUGAGUUGUGAAAAUCAUCUCUAUUUUAACAUUAUGAUAAAUAAAUUUGAUAUAUCUUGUAAUAUAUCCAGCCAAUUUUAUGAAAAUAAGGUCCAUGAAAAACUAGCCAACCCCAUUGUUAAUUUUUGCCACUACCAAAAUAUUUUGUAGUAAUAGUUAUAUUCAACUCACACGUAACUGAUUAUAGAAACCUUAAAUCUUAAAUCUUUGAGAAUAAUUGAUUCAUUAAAAAAAAGUGAUGUAACUGGUAAACAACAAAACCUUAAAUCUUUGAGAAUAUCCUGACUGUGGUCAACAAAGCAUAUGGACACAGCAUUGCUACUGAAAUUGUCAAAUGCCUAUUUAAAAGACUCGAGUAGAGCGAUUAAUGGAAGACUAUCAUGCAGGAGUUCUCAUUAUACAAAAAAAAGUAUAAAUUUAGCUUUAAACAAAACUUGCAUAAAUAGUAUCAUUUCUAAUUCAAGUAGCCCAUAGUGAUGGAAGUAAACAUGGUACCUGAAAAUAGAACUGGUGAUUGUGGAAUAAUUCCAAGCACUUUUCGCAAAUCCCAAAGGCCAAACUUAGAAACAUCACAAUCAUCAAUAAAUAUUCUUCCUCUUUCCAUCUCCACUAUGCGGAACAAAGCAUUGAGCAUGCUAGAUUUACCAGCCCCAGUCCUACCAACUAUUCCAACCUUUUCACUUGCUUCAAUUGUAAAUGAUAUGCCAUGAAGAACAGGGGGAAGUUCUGGCCUGUAACGAAGAACAACAUCUUGAAAUUUGAUAGUCCCAGAUGAUGGCCAAGCUGGAGGUGGUCUAUUGUUUUCAAUAACAGCAGGAGCUUCAGAAGGCAACUCUAUGUAUGUUCCAACUCGCUCAACAGCAUUUAAACUAUUUUCAGCAAGACUUGCAAGUCUUAGAACAGCUGUAAGUAGGUUGGUAAUGUUCAAAGCAUAAGUAAGAAGUAGACCCAUAGUUGAUGCAAAUGCUUUCUGAUUUUCUGCACGUUGGUUUUGCAUGACAGCAAAAGUAGCUGUGAACCAUAUCAUGAUGCCUCCCAAUGUUUCCAACCGAAUGCCAAGCCACCGAUUAGCACCCAUAUUAACAAGUGUAAAUCUUAUAUUAUUAUCCAUUGAUUUACCAUUGAUACUAGCCAUUCUAUCAUAUGCUUUGUAUGCUCGGAUUGUUGAUAAACCAUUCAAUGCUUCUGCAAAUUGUGCAUAAACGGGUGAUCUAGUAAUGGAAUCCAAACGCUUCACUUCACGUGCUGUACUCUGGAGAAUAUAAUUUUAAGAUAAGAAAGAAACUGAUGUAACCAACAUUAACUAGAUGAAAUAAGUAAAUUGCAACCAGUAACAGUUAAGUAAACUCAUUAUUGUUAAACAACUCACGUCAUUUAAUGGUAUGCUACCGAACCAUCUUCUGGUUUACAGCAAGACAAACAGGUCUGUUUAUUUGUUAUCCCAAAACAUACACCAGAGUCAAUAAAACAAUCAUCGACUAAGAGACCACAGGUCACGUGUGGAUAUUGAAUGGUCAUGCAACAAUGGUGUGCCACAUGUUGUCCAACUAAACAAAUCCAGAGAUGCACAGGUCCCAAGAGGCCAGGAGACAAAAUGACAUGUAUUUGGCACACUAGAUACAAAUAUGCGGGAUUCAUAUGGCAUAUAAGACCUCAAUCACUAAAAUAUAUGAUAUGACAGCAUAUAUGACAUGACUAACUGGGUAACAAUCAAGGACUCCAGGUUGGUGAUAUCUCUGAACAAUACUCAACCACACUGUUGCAUAUAAGUUUAUUGCAGAAUUUCAAUGGUUCAAAGCUAAAAAUUUGUCUUAAAAUGUAUAAAGCUGACUUGAAAAGAAAGACCCUCAAGUUGACCAAGAAAUUUGAACCACUAGAAUUAAGUUUCAUUCAUUGAGUUAACUAACAAAUACAUUUUGGAGAAUGAAGGCAAAUAGUAUGUAAACGAUGUUUCAUUAAGAAAGCCAAGUUGAACAGGAAAAGCAUAGUUACAUGUAGGUUUAUUAAAAAAAGGGUGACAGUGCUAGGUGAAGGUAUGGCCAACAAGUGACUGAAAUAGAGAGGGCAAAACUUUGCAAAGUUAGUACAAGUCUGAAAAUAUAUAAUCAUAAAAAGAUCUGAUGCAUUAUAGUGAAACUUUUGCCACAGAUGUAAGGCUGCCUAUUAUUCCUAUUAUGAAGAAAUUAACAAGGAUUAGUGAAGGUGAAAACCACACCUUUCUUUACAAAUAUUUGUUGCACCUUCUAUAUUAAACAAACCUGUGUUUCUAGAUCAACAUAAUGCACAAGAAAGUCAAAGAAGCAUUACCUUAAUUUUACUCUCCUAUUAUGUUUUUCUUUACUGGAUAGAACAAGCUAUUGCACUAUAACUCAUGAUAUCUUAGGCAGUCAAAAACAAUGCUUUUGCAUGAUAUAUAAUCACUGACAUAACUUGCUAACUCGUAUGAAUGUAGAAGAGAACCAGUUCUACAUGAAGAAAACAAAAUAUCACACUACACUAAACCAAAGUGAAAAAUAUGUUUAAACUUGAUUAAAAAUCUUGUACCUGAUAAUAUAAAUAGGCUGCAUAGAACAAAAUCAGAAGUGGCAUUAUUGCCCACAGAGAAGUAGUGCUCACGAUGCCAAUUAAAACAAAAGUUGAGAGAAGUUGCGAGAUUUGUCCAAGGAACAUAUUAACAAAGACUGCAACACUGCGAUCAAUAUCACCAAGAUCUUUCGCAAACCUAUUAAUUAUGCGUCCAAGUGGAUUGGUAUGAAAGAACACCAUUGGGGCUCUUAAUAUAGAGUGAAGCAUGGCAUCGUGCAACCUCUUGGCUGCAUAAAGGCUUGAAGUAAUGAGCCAAUAAGAGUUUGUCAGAGUCACAAGUACCUAAUAAACAUUAAAACAUUAAAGAUCAGACUCCAGAGAAGCAUUUGUUAAGCAGAUAUUCUACCAAUCUUGAGGCUGCUGGCAAAUGUAAAGCCUGAGCAACUAAGAAGUAUGAAGUUAAUUAUGAACAUUAUGAUUUUGAAAAUUUUCAUGGUAGAGGUAGUACCUGACCAAAAGAAAGAGAUGCAUAAAUCAAAUUGUAAAAUCCAGGCCCAUGGCUCUUUAGAGAGCUCUGAUCUGUCCAAACACUUAACCAUGUGCUACUUGAAACCCGUAGAAUUUCAGUCAAGGUAUAACAAGAGAAAAGUAUAAGAACAACCCACAUUCCACCCAACGCAUUCUUAUACCUGCAAAAACAUGAAAUUAUUGAAAUCUUGUAAAAGUUAGAAUCUUAACCUCAUACAAGAAGUUGGGCCAAUAAAGAUGAACAUGACAUAAACCAUGGGCUAUCAUAUGCAUCUAUUCUAAUUCUAGUACAUAGGAACUUCCAGGUUAUAAUUGAUCCACAGAAUAAAGUAUUUACUUCUGCGAGAAACUAAGGGGCAAGAUUUCCAAAAGAAAAUAUUAGAACUAGAAAAGCAUUUACCAUCACCAUAUAACUUGGUAUUGAAGAAAAAUGUCUUCGUGUGCAAUCAAACAAAUACAAGAGAAUUUGAGAACUCAUAGGGGGUGAGAUUCCAUAAUCAUACAAAAUAAGCUAAAAGCAUUGAAAAGAAUAGAACAUGCAGAACUUCAAUCUGAUAUACCAAAGCUAGAACACCAACAUAUCAUAACAGACAAGAGGCAUGAAUAGGCCGAGGCCAAAGGUAUUAGAAAAACUUUGUACAAUCAGUGGAUCAAUCAAGAAAAGGUUGAAACAAGGGUAAUGCACCUAAGACAAAUUGUAGCAAUCUUAAAUACGGAAGUAGUUCAGUAGAAAGUUAACAACACUCUGAAUUGAAGUUAGAACAUAAAGAUGAAAAGCUUUCUUCAGUGUUCAGUCUUAAGAUGAAAAAACUAACUAAAAGUCAAAUAUUGCAAUUCAAAGAUAUGAAAUCUGAUUAAAUUAGUGGGUCAAAAUCUACCUCGCCAGAACCUUCAAACUAACAACACCUGUUUCACGUUCCUCUUGUUUGAUAAGCACAGUUUUUCCUUCUUUCCCUUUAUUCGGUUUCUCUUCCUUCUUUGAUAAAGCAUUCACCAUCUUUGUGACCUCUCCAUUUUCAGAAGAUUUUGCAUUCUCUUCGGCACUUUCACCUUGUAUUUCCUCUUCAUGCUCUUCCAUUUUCCCAGCAUUUUCCAUUAAUUUUUGAAAUAGUAUUCCACUAGAACAAAGUUCUUCAAAUGUACCUUCUUCUUUCACCAUUCCUUCAUGAACCAGGAUAAUUUUGUCCACAUUUGGUAGAAAAUGUAACUGAUUUGUUACCAAGACUCGAGUUUUAUUUCUCAGUUGAUCCUUGAUGCAUUUAUCAAAAACCUGGAUGCAAUAGAGAGCCAAAUCAGAAUGUUAUAAAGAAAAUGCUAAUCAUUCCCACUCAAUUAGAGAAUUUAAAAGCGAAGAAAAGCUGAAUGUUUCUGUCAACUAUUUCUCUUAAAUUUCCAGCACAAAAAGGGAUGAACUAGAUCCUCAAGUUGAGUGCUUAAGGGAAGGCUACUAUACUUGAAACAGACAGAUAAAAUUAGAAACUAUACAGUCAGCAUUUCAUUUGAGUAGGCAUCAUUUUUUUUCCCUUUUUCCCCUUAUUGUCUGCCCCCCCACCACCACCACGCACCCACCCACACAACCCCAACAAAAAAAGAAGAAAAAAAACCAAAAGAAAACAAACAUCCUUUUUUUCCUUCUUCUUCCACAUGGUUCUUUCAAUACAUAGUUGCAUCUGAUGCAAUCAAAAGAGCGAAUUUAAAUAAACAGUGAAUAAAUUAGUCAUAUUAUUAAAAGACCAGAAGUUCAUGCUAAAAAAGGCAAGGCUGAAUUAUCCAACUUUGUGUUACUUUUGACAAUGUAAAUGUUAGGCAAGGUGUUUACUAAACAUGAUGGGUCACCAAAUACAGCAAUAACAGUGUUUAUGAUAAGAUAAUUUUCCUAAUGUUUAAUGACCAGUAUUACCUGUCGACCAACAUGAGCAUCCAGUGCACUCAAAGGAUCAUCGAAUAUAUAUACAUCCGAAUCUGAAUAUACUGCCCUUGCCAUGGAAACUCUUUGCUUUUGCCCACCACUGAUAUUGACUCCUCUUUCACCAAUCUCCGUAUGAUCACCACCCUGGAGCAAAGGAAAUUAUAAAGACAUGUUUCACACAGAUAGCAGAACUGGAAUGAUGGAAGAUUCUAGAUAAUUUCACUAAGCACACGGGUUAUAUAUGUGUAAAUGAGGAUUCCUACUUAUUUGAUGGCUGAGGCAUACAUGUUCUGAUAUUUUUUAAAUCUCUGGACCAGGAAUAUAUGUCAACAUCGUACCAUGUGCAUGAAAGUGUUUUUCAUAUAAUUAGCUGCAAGCAUGCCAAAGUGAAUGUUUGUGUGCGUGUCGUGAGUGAGAGUGAGAGGGCAGGGAGUUGCACGAGUCAGAAACACAAACACGCGUCUCUUAUCUGCACUUACUGGGAGCAAAUCAAGGUCGUGUUGUAAUGCAGUAACUUCAACUGCCUUCUCAUAGCGUGAUAGUUGAAAAGGAGAUCCAAACAAUAUGUUGUCACGUACCUGUAUUGGACAAGAAAAAGUUACAGUAACUAUCUAUUUGAUAGUUCAAUAAAAGUAAAGACACGUGAAUUAUGACUGACAGUAGCAUUGAAUAUCCAUGAAACUUGUGGAACAUAAGCAACAGUUCCUCGUAUGACCGCUGAUGUCUCAGUUCCAGCCACCGGUGGUAGUUCUCCUAGCAUUGCUGAUAUUAAAGAUGUUUUUCCUUCUCCGGUACUUCCAACUAUUGCAACCAAGCUACCAACAGGUAUGUCCACAUUCACAUUGAAUAGUGUAGGCCUCUCUGCCUGAAACAGUUUGACAGAUUAAAUUAUUGACACUAAGAAGAGAUUCAGAAUGUACAUUAGCGCUUUUUCUCACCAGGAACUACAUCACACUAUGGAAGCAACAAGUUGGAAAUCAUAACAAUGUGGAGCUAUCAGCCAGUAAAAGGUUUUCAUCUAGCUAGUACUCAUUAGUUAUAACAUGUGGACACCUCAGUCACAUUAGCUUGAGAUUGGCACCUAGCAAAAGUCAACAACUUUGUAAAGCUACAUGGAGCACAAACUAACACAGAACACGGAUUAUAACUGUCAUCAUCAGAAACAGGCUGAUGAUUUUACUAUGAGUCAGAUGUGGGCCUGGACAAGAAACAAGCUCCUCAAAGAGUUUGGCAGUUGUUGUGUUAGUAAUGGUGCAAAUUGCAGCACUGUAGGAGACUAGUUGUGAAUUUAAGUAAAACCAAGCAAAAAUAUAUGUUAUAUAUGAUGAAAAACAUUAUAAUGAUGACGAUAAGAAGUGACCAUUGCUUUAUACAAAAGAUUCUAGUGACAGAUAAAUCUUAUAAGCCACAAGGCAGUGAUGACUAUCAUAAGUAAGGUUCGCAAUACCGUACCGUACCGGUAUUUCGACCUGGGCUCGGUACCGGUACGGUACGGUAUACCGAGCGGUACACCCAGGUGUGCCGAAUACUGUAGUACUGCUACAGUGCUACAUUGCAAUGCUACAGUGCUACAGUAUACUCAGACCGGUAACAGGCGGUCCGCGUACCGAUAACCUGUCGGACCGGUAUGUACCGCCCGUACCGGACGGUACAGUUCGGUACGACAGACCCUAAUCAUAAGUAUAUAAUUAUUAAAUUGUUUUCCAUGUCCUUAUUAGAUUAUUAAAAAAUGUGGUAAGUAUCCCUUAAAAAUGACAUUACAUUCCUAAAUCAGGCCCUAUGGAUUUAUAAUACACCAAGCAAUGUUUUGAAUACCAGAACAAAAAUACAAUAUAGUAGGCCUAAGUAGACUUAUAAAGGUACUAAAAAUUGUUUGAUGUGUCAGUGCACUAGUAUAGUCAAUAUAACACAGUAAUUAAAAUCAUGCUACCAAGUGAAAUGUUUAGCUAUUGAAGAAAGUUGGGCCUGUCAUGCAGGGUCCAUAGAGGAAGAAUGUGCAGUUAACUCUAGGCCUAGCACCUAUCUGGAAGGAAGAGUCUCUCUAUAAGAGUAAAAAAAUAAGACCACACAUGUUUUGAUCCUUCCCAAACCCCACAUUAGCUGGAGCCUUGUGCAUUGAAUGCCUUCUUUUCACAUGAUUGGAUGGAAGACUACAGAAAAUGACCUUAAUUUUAAGAUACAACAGCAAAAAGUUAUCACCAAUUAAUUUUAAGAUACAACAGCAAAAAGUUAUCACCAAUUCACACAUAAUAUCUGUUUCUUUCCUAUUUGCUUAUUUCAUUAGUCUCAAGCAGUUCCAACGCAAGAGGAGAUAUGCUUGACCAACGUUCAAAAACAGUGUUCUUUUACAUCUCAGUUGCACUAAAGAAUAUGUUGUACAGAAACUUAGGAUAAUGAAUAACAUAGAAAUCCAAGCAUUUCAAUCAUGGAAAAAAAAACAAGCUGGCCAAAAUUUACAACUAGUGCAAUUCUUGUGCUCUUUGGUUUACAUUAUAUUUCUAUACAUCAUGUUUAUGGAUUAUUUGAGUCUUUGGUUUUUGUAAUUUGGGUAAUUCAAAACAAAUAACCAAACUAGUGUAAUUUAUUACCAACGUAAAAAUCAAGAUUUACAUUUUUCUAUUCAAAUUAAGUUAAUGGAUUAUUUGACUUUUUUAACGUAUAUGUGUUUCCUCUAUGAGGAUUUAUAUAUAAUAUCCUUGCAUUUCUUUAGACCCAAAGAUUAUGAUGCUUUCAAAACUUCUUGAAGAUUUAAAUUUCAAGUCCCUAUUCUUAAUUCGAAAGAAGAAAAGAAAAGUGAUAUAUAUGAAUAGUAGAUAGUUAUAAACAAAAAGAAAACACAGAAGAAAUUUGAGGCUCCAGCCUCCAGGCUUAAAAUCAAAACUUAUGUGAUACUGUAGUACUGAAAAUGAAUUAGAAAGAAUAAUUUAGAAUUGACUUUUCUUAAUUGCAAAUGCUCCAUGAAUCAGCUACAAGGACGCUUGAUAUUGGAAAGCAUGACUGGCUUCAGUCAGGUGGGGAAUGGUUGUCAUGCACAACAGUUAUAUAUUUAAGUGCCUCGACAAAAAAAAAAAUUAAAACAAGUCAAAUCAAUGUAAAUGGGUGUAUUAUUUUAGUAUAUACCAUGAAGACUAUGGCCAAGAGAAAAGCAUCACUAAGCGUGGUAAUAAAUAAUGAGAAAGUGGUCCUCUCCCUCCAGUUUACUAGAACUCUGACAUAAUACCAAAUCAACUAAGGAAGAUUAAAUAAUUUUAAGAGACCUUUGAAUCCCAAGAGAAGUAUCCAUUCUUGAUUGAGAUUGCUGGAAGCUGUGGUUCAAGAGGUGGAUUCGGCAAAAGAAUUCUCUCUUCAGCUAGGAGAAGGUCCUCUAGACGUUUAAGUGAGACAUUGCAAUUGACAACCUGCCAAAAACAAAUAACUAUCAAGCAUUAUAAGAGCAUUGUGUGCCUGUUCGGUAUUAAGUUCUUCGUGUGAUUCUAUUUUCAGAUGUUCUUAAAAGAUUUUGCCACACAAUGGGAAGAAUGAAUGGUCACAAAAAUUUGAGAUUAUAAUCAACUAUCCAAGUUCAGGAACUUAAUUAAAUUAAAUGUCAUCCUAAAAGAACUUAGAAGUUAGAACCACAUUUCUUCAGAGAAACUAGCCAAAAAUAAUACAAUUCCCAUUUGUCUGGCUCUCCACAUUAAGAAUAUGCUGAUUCUUCUGGACAAGAAGCUUGCAGAGCUUUGCAUCAAAAUAAAUGACUGGCAAGUUACCAACAUGACGAUCAAAAGCUAUGCUAUACAUAUCAUUCCACAAGAAGAAGGUAGGUAUUUUUAAAUCAGAACAUCUUCAAUGCAAAAGGAUAUUAUCAAUUAAACGGAAGAGAAGGUAGGGACAUUUUACCAAGAAGUUGGCAUGCAUAAUCCAGUCUUGGUUUGGAAAAGUGGGAUCCUCAUCAAUUAUAUAUUCAAAGAUAAAAGUAGGAAGCAUUAUAUAUAUUAUAUAUUCUUUGCUCAAUGUUUUCGUCUCACACUUCAUCUUUCCCCUGCUUUAUGCUGAUAGUACAACACAUCACUGCAUCAAAGCUGUAUAAAUCUAAAAUCAGCUGCAGAGAUAACUACUUCUCACUAACUGGGUUACAAUGAUAUCAGAAGUUUGCAACAAGCAUUGCAUUUUCCAUAUUAGCUCAUCAAACAGGAAUCAGCUCAGUGGUACCCCUUGUUCUCUUGAAGAAACUGUUUGGAACCUAAGAUUUUGGCAAGAUGAUUUAUCUCGAUGGUCUCUUCUACAGUGAAAUUCAGAAAAGAUUCUAGAAAAAAUUCAGGAAAACAAAGAAACAAGAAAAAAUAUUAACAAAAUUAACUUUCUGUAGCAGAAUAACAAAGCUGUAUAAAUCUAAAAAUCAAAUUCAUAGAUAGGACAAAUAACUACUCGCUAAUUUGGUCAAAAUGAGAUUAUCACUGAUAUCAACAGUGUGCAACAAUCUAGUUACAAACCCAACCUGCAGCAAGGUAAAUUUAAUAUCUUUAUAUAUAUAUAAGGAUUGGUACUUCAAUUUAUCGAAAAUUCAAGGUAUGCAGAACAGUUUGCAGUACCUUAUCAUCACAUGGAAAAGCAAGACUUUUGUAAGAAAGUUAUAAAAUUCUGGGGAAGUAUCACACCUGAGUUAUUAGAUUCGGAAGCAUGAACAAAGGAAAUCUUAACACUGAAAACAAUGAAAGUGAUGUAAAUGCCUUUGCAGGCGUUAAAUCCCCUCCAAGAAGAGAAUACACCCCAAAAGAGGCCACUGUAACCAAAACUGGAAUGCUGUUCAGAAUGAAACUAUUGAACUGCACAACACAGUAGUAACUAGUCAGUCAGAAGAAUGUAUAACUUUCUAAGAGAAAAAUGAAAAAAAGGAAUAAAAUUGACAUUUUCACCAGUGAAAAUAUCUUAUUUGAUUAGGAAAUUUAAGAAAUGUUUUCUUUGGACCUUACCGCUGCUAGCAGCUGAGCCUUGCGGAACCAUGAAAGCUCAUCGUUACGAAUACUCUGAACUUUUGACUGGAAGCUUUUCUCCCACGCAUAACAUCUGCCACACCAGAUGAGUAGAUAUGAUCAACCAAAAUUAUAUUUAUUAAAAGGAUUCCAUUUGAUGAAAAACAUACUUCACUGUGUCCAUAGCAGCCAAUAUUUCAUUCAUAAGACUAAUUCUCUUGUCAGUAUGUUGCAAACCUGCCUUUGAAAGUUUCUGCAUUUUGCUUAUCACAAAUGUCUGAUUCCACAUGAAACCAGAAAAAAGUAAGAAUGGUGGGAAAAAUAUAAGGCUAGCUGUUACUGAGCUCAAAAGAACUAGUAGUACUAGCCUUCCCAUGAAAAUUAUUCUUUAGCUUGAUAAAUAUGCCAAUAAAAAAGAAUAUGGGAAAUCGUAAUCAUGUUGGUCAAGUGGAAAAAGAUGGCACCAUGUAUAAAUUCAAAUGCCAAACUCCAUGCACUACUUUGAAUGUAAACAACCCAUAAACAUGGAUUCUAGUUAGCUGCUCUAGCAAGCUAACACGGAACAUGUUUUGCCCAGGGAUGUGUUUUUCUAAUUAAGUAAAUUACUCACACACAAGAUUAGCAUAAGAAAGGAAGACAUGUAUAAUACUGAGAAGAACCGUGGAAUUUCUCAGAAAAGUAUAGUAUAAAGAGAACUGCAAGGUCCAAAACAAUGCUCUCAUUUAUAUUAAAAAAAUAAAGAUGUUUUAAUAGCAUCUCCUUUGAUAAAAGAGAACCUGAAGAAUUCUUUGCCAACAAAAAUCUGAUUUUGGAGCUGAAAAUGUGUUUCAGACAUGAAAUUCCAGUCUCAACUGGACAUGAAUUUUAGAAGAAAAAUUAAAAAAACAAAAAUGCACAAAAAAUAGGAUCUGGAAGGACUAGCUUCUGAAUAACAAGUUCCAGGAGAUACAAAAAGUUACUACUUAUAAGAAUCACUGUAAAAAUCUCUAAUCUUCUAUUCUCUGUCAAAUUUCAAGGUAGAGGCAGGUCAGACAUAUUCUGAAGUUAUACAACCUAGAAAGAUUUGCUUCUGUGAACUACAAAAGGUAGCACUACUUUGUAUAUGCAUUAAGUUUGGACUUAAACACUAGUGACUCACCUAAUAUCUUCAAUGAUGACCAUGCUUUACCACUGUAAUUGCAUAUUCCAUCUAAUUUAAUUCAAUAAGCAAAGCGAAGAUCUACAAACACAAACUUUGGAAAGGGAAGUUCCCACAAAACACAAUGUCACAAGAGAUUACCUGUAUAGGAAUUAGAAGAACCAGCACAAAUGCACCAACAAGAGAUGCAAUUCCCAGCUGCUGGUAAAGAAGAAUAACUGAAAUGGUAAUCCGAAAAGGAGCUGACCAUAUACUAUGGAGCUGUUGGCACACUUGCUGUACAAAAAAAAUGGCAAGAUGCAACAGUUUAUAUUUAAUUAUGCCAAAUAACCUUAAUGAACCUAAUAGAAUAAAAUUUGACAACUCAGUCAUCCAGUUGAUUUAACUUGUUAGUCAUAAGACACUAUGUUUAUCCUUUAAAUAGCUAUCAAGCAUGAGGAAAUAUAUUAUAGUUAACCCCUAUUAACAUAUAGAACUAGGGUACAUGAGGUAUUCCCUGAUUCAGGUAAGAGAACACAAGUAUUAUUUCAAUAAUAUCUUCAACCAAGGUAUGCAAUACCAUACCGUACCGAUGUUUCGAGGUUGGCUCGGUACGGUACGGUACCGGUAUACCGAGCGGUACACCCUGGUGUACCGAACAAUUUUAUAUAUUUUUUCAUAUUGUAGUACUGUAGCACUGCUACACUAUAUCACUGUAGUGGUACUGGGCGGUCCGCGUACCGGUAUGCCGUCGGACAAACACCAUUCGUUAUGAUAUGCCGGCAUACCAUAUCUUCAACAACAAACAUUUUGAGGAAACUUUCUUGAUAAAGUUCAGUAAAUUGAAGUAACUUUUUCUUUGACAUCAUCUUUUUAUGCACACACAUCUCAAAGUAUAGCAAAAGAAUAUGCCUGAAGUGACUCUGCAUCAGUUGUCAUCAAGUUGGUAAUCUUUCCCGAUAAAAAUUUAGUGCGACUCUCAUGGGUUAAUCGUAAUGAUUUCCUAAACACAGCUGCAACCUGUAAUGAGAAAAAAAAAAAGUCAGUUCCCUUAGAAGAAUGCAGGCAUGGAAUGAAACUAAUCAUACAAUUCAAAGCAACAAACGUAGUCCCAAUACGAUAGCAGUCUCAAAAUUUUGAAGGCAAAUAAAUCAAAUUGUCAUACUAGAACAAUAAUAUUCCAAAAUGAAACAGAGUAAAUAUGUGAAGUGAAUACAAAAUGAAACUCAUUAAGCAUACCAUAAUGACAUAUAUAUUCUCAGCCAAGCACUUACUUUAGAAGCAAAUGGUGCAAUAAUUCAGAAAACUAUUUAGUAUAAGAAUUAAGAAAAGGUGUUUUCCUUUUUUGUUUCACCAAUUGACUCUCUGGAAAACAACAUGAUACAUAUGGAAAAAACUUUCAAGGAAAAUCCAAUAACUAAAUUAAUAAUCCAAAUUUGGACUUCAAUAAUGUCUAAUGUUUGAAAUUUAAACAAAGACAAUAUUAAUACGACAUCAAUUUUGAUGACUGAUUAAUUUAGGAAUGUGGCAAAAGAGCCUCUUGAAGAAUCUAAAGGUAAAGAUGCAACGUCACGCGAGAGUUGGCGAUAACAUGAGAAAGUUAAAAAAAACACUACAAAAACACAAUGAUUUCAAUAUUGACAAAUCUAUAAAAAUGAGAAGAAUUUUAAAAGAUAUAUAGUAGCUAAAAAUGAGACAAAAGAAGUUGUAAGCUUUGCAUUUGGCAAAAUACAAGGCAUAUCCUAGUUUAUAAAAUAAGGAUUUUUAUUGGAUACCUAAAUUUUAAUAUCAUUAGAUUAUAGGAUGAAAAUCAAAAGGCACUUGUUAACGAUAUGAAGGGUAGAUGAAGAAAUUAUUUCUAUAAACCAAGGUUCGCCGUACCGUACCAUACCGGCGUUUCGACCCGGGCUCGGUACCGGUACGGUACGGUAUACCGCUCGGUGCUACAGUGCANNNNNNNNNNNNNNNNNNNNNNNNNNNNNNNNNNNNNNNNNNNNNNNNNNNNNNNNNNNNNNNNNNNNNNNNNNNNNNNNNNNNNNNNNNNNNNNNNNNNNNNNNNNNNNNNNNNNNNNNNNNNNNNNNNNNNNNNNNNNNNNNNNNNNNNNNNNNNNNNNNNNNNNNNNNNNNNNNNNNNNNNNNNNNNNNNNNNNNNNNNNNNNNNNNNNNNNNNNNNNNNNNNNNNNNNNNNNNNNNNNNNNNNNNNNNNNNNNNNNNNNNNNNNNNNNNNNNNNNNNNNNNNNNNNNNNNNNNNNNNNNNNNNNNNNNNNNNNNNNNNNNNNNNNNNNNNNNNNNNNNNNNNNNNNNNNNNNNNNNNNNNNNNNNNNNNNNNNNNNNNNNNNNNNNNNNNNNNNNNNNNNNNNNNNNNNNNNNNNNNNNNNNNNNNNNNNNNNNNNNNNNNNNNNNNNNNNNNNNNNNNNNNNNNNNNNNNNNNNNNNNNNNNNNNNNNNNNNNNNNNNNNNNNNNNNNNNNNNNNNNNNNNNNNNNNNNNNNNNNNNNNNNNNNNNNNNNNNNNNNNNNNNNNNNNNNNNNNNNNNNNNNNNNNNNNNNNNNNNNNNNNNNNNNNNNNNNNNNNNNNNNNNNNNNNNNNNNNNNNNNNNNNNNNNNNNNNNNNNNNNNNNNNNNNNNNNNNNNNNNNNNNNNNNNNNNNNNNNNNNNNNNNNNNNNNNNNNNNNNNNNNNNNNNNNNNNNNNNNNNNNNNNNNNNNNNNNNNNNNNNNNNNNNNNNNNNNNNNNNNNNNNNNNNNNNNNNNNNNNNNNNNNNNNNNNNNNNNNNNNNNNNNNNNNNNNNNNNNNNNNNNNNNNNNNNNNNNNNNNNNNNNNNNNNNNNNNNNNNNNNNNNNNNNNNNNNNNNNNNNNNNNNNNNNNNNNNNNNNNNNNNNNNNNNNNNNNNNNNNNNNNNNNNNNNNNNNNNNNNNNNNNNNNNNNNNNNNNNNNNNNNNNNNNNNNNNNNNNNNNNNNNNNNNNNNNNNNNNNNNNNNNNNNNNNNNNNNNNNNNNNNNNNNNNNNNNNNNNNNNNNNNNNNNNNNNNNNNNNNNNNNNNNNNNNNNNNNNNNNNNNNNNNNNNNNNNNNNNNNNNNNNNNNNNNNNNNNNNNNNNNNNNNNNNNNNNNNNNNNNNNNNNNNNNNNNNNNNNNNNNNNNNNNNNNNNNNNNNNNNNNNNNNNNNNNNNNNNNNNNNNNNNNNNNNNNNNNNNNNNNNNNNNNNNNNNNNNNNNNNNNNNNNNNNNNNNNNNNNNNNNNNNNNNNNNNNNNNNNNNNNNNNNNNNNNNNNNNNNNNNNNNNNNNNNNNNNNNNNNNNNNNNNNNNNNNNNNNNNNNNNNNNNNNNNNNNNNNNNNNNNNNNNNNNNNNNNNNNNNNNNNNNNNNNNNNNNNNNNNNNNNNNNNNNNNNNNNNNNNNNNNNNNNNNNNNNNNNNNNNNNNNNNNNNNNNNNNNNNNNNNNNNNNNNNNNNNNNNNNNNNNNNNNNNNNNNNNNNNNNNNNNNNNNNNNNNNNNNNNNNNNNNNNNNNNNNNNNNNNNNNNNNNNNNNNNNNNNNNNNNNNNNNNNNNNNNNNNNNNNNNNNNNNNNNNNNNNNNNNNNNNNNNNNNNNNNNNNNNNNNNNNNNNNNNNNNNNNNNNNNNNNNNNNNNNNNNNNNNNNNNNNNNNNNNNNNNNNNNNNNNNNNNNNNNNNNNNNNNNNNNNNNNNNNNNNNNNNNNNNNNNNNNNNNNNNNNNNNNNNNNNNNNNNNNNNNNNNNNNNNNNNNNNNNNNNNNNNNNNNNNNNNNNNNNNNNNNNNNNNNNNNNNNNNNNNNNNNNNNNNNNNNNNNNNNNNNNNNNNNNNNNNNNNNNNNNNNNNNNNNNNNNNNNNNNNNNNNNNNNNNNNNNNNNNNNNNNNNNNNNNNNNNNNNNNNNNNNNNNNNNNNNNNNNNNNNNNNNNNNNNNNNNNNNNNNNNNNNNNNNNNNNNNNNNNNNNNNNNNNNNNNNNNNNNNNNNNNNNNNNNNNNNNNNNNNNNNNNNNNNNNNNNNNNNNNNNNNNNNNNNNNNNNNNNNNNNNNNNNNNNNNNNNNNNNNNNNNNNNNNNNNNNNNNNNNNNNNNNNNNNNNNNNNNNNNNNNNNNNNNNNNNNNNNNNNNNNNNNNNNNNNNNNNNNNNNNNNNNNNNNNNNNNNNNNNNNNNNNNNNNNNNNNNNNNNNNNNNNNNNNNNNNNNNNNNNNNNNNNNNNNNNNNNNNNNNNNNNNNNNNNNNNNNNNNNNNNNNNNNNNNNNNNNNNNNNNNNNNNNNNNNNNNNNNNNNNNNNNNNNNNNNNNNNNNNNNNNNNNNNNNNNNNNNNNNNNNNNNNNNNNNNNNNNNNNNNNNNNNNNNNNNNNNNNNNNNNNNNNNNNNNNNNNNNNNNNNNNNNNNNNNNNNNNNNNNNNNNNNNNNNNNNNNNNNNNNNNNNNNNNNNNNNNNNNNNNNNNNNNNNNNNNNNNNNNNNNNNNNNNNNNNNNNNNNNNNNNNNNNNNNNNNNNNNNNNNNNNNNNNNNNNNNNNNNNNNNNNNNNNNNNNNNNNNNNNNNNNNNNNNNNNNNNNNNNNNNNNNNNNNNNNNNNNNNNNNNNNNNNNNNNNNNNNNNNNNNNNNNNNNNNNNNNNNNNNNNNNNNNNNNNNNNNNNNNNNNNNNNNNNNNNNNNNNNNNNNNNNNNNNNNNNNNNNNNNNNNNNNNNNNNNNNNNNNNNNNNNNNNNNNNNNNNNNNNNNNNNNNNNNNNNNNNNNNNNNNNNNNNNNNNNNNNNNNNNNNNNNNNNNNNNNNNNNNNNNNNNNNNNNNNNNNNNNNNNNNNNNNNNNNNNNNNNNNNNNNNNNNNNNNNNNNNNNNNNNNNNNNNNNNNNNNNNNNNNNNNNNNNNNNNNNNNNNNNNNNNNNNNNNNNNNNNNNNNNNNNNNNNNNNNNNNNNNNNNNNNNNNNNNNNNNNNNNNNNNNNNNNNNNNNNNNNNNNNNNNNNNNNNNNNNNNNNNNNNNNNNNNNNNNNNNNNNNNNNNNNNNNNNNNNNNNNNNNNNNNNNNNNNNNNNNNNNNNNNNNNNNNNNNNNNNNNNNNNNNNNNNNNNNNNNNNNNNNNNNNNNNNNNNNNNNNNNNNNNNNNNNNNNNNNNNNNNNNNNNNNNNNNNNNNNNNNNNNNNNNNNNNNNNNNNNNNNNNNNNNNNNNNNNNNNNNNNNNNNNNNNNNNNNNNNNNNNNNNNNNNNNNNNNNNNNNNNNNNNNNNNNNNNNNNNNNNNNNNNNNNNNNNNNNNNNNNNNNNNNNNNNNNNNNNNNNNNNNNNNNNNNNNNNNNNNNNNNNNNNNNNNNNNNNNNNNNNNNNNNNNNNNNNNNNNNNNNNNNNNNNNNNNNNNNNNNNNNNNNNNNNNNNNNNNNNNNNNNNNNNNNNNNNNNNNNNNNNNNNNNNNNNNNNNNNNNNNNNNNNNNNNNNNNNNNNNNNNNNNNNNNNNNNNNNNNNNNNNNNNNNNNNNNNNNNNNNNNNNNNNNNNNNNNNNNNNNNNNNNNNNNNNNNNNNNNNNNNNNNNNNNNNNNNNNNNNNNNNNNNNNNNNNNNNNNNNNNNNNNNNNNNNNNNNNNNNNNNNNNNNNNNNNNNNNNNNNNNNNNNNNNNNNNNNNNNNNNNNNNNNNNNNNNNNNNNNNNNNNNNNNNNNNNNNNNNNNNNNNNNNNNNNNNNNNNNNNNNNNNNNNNNNNNNNNNNNNNNNNNNNNNNNNNNNNNNNNNNNNNNNNNNNNNNNNNNNNNNNNNNNNNNNNNNNNNNNNNNNNNNNNNNNNNNNNNNNNNNNNNNNNNNNNNNNNNNNNNNNNNNNNNNNNNNNNNNNNNNNNNNNNNNNNNNNNNNNNNNNNNNNNNNNNNNNNNNNNNNNNNNNNNNNNNNNNNNNNNNNNNNNNNNNNNNNNNNNNNNNNNNNNNNNNNNNNNNNNNNNNNNNNNNNNNNNNNNNNNNNNNNNNNNNNNNNNNNNNNNNNNNNNNNNNNNNNNNNNNNNNNNNNNNNNNNNNNNNNNNNNNNNNNNNNNNNNNNNNNNNNNNNNNNNNNNNNNNNNNNNNNNNNNNNNNNNNNNNNNNNNNNNNNNNNNNNNNNNNNNNNNNNNNNNNNNNNNNNNNNNNNNNNNNNNNNNNNNNNNNNNNNNNNNNNNNNNNNNNNNNNNNNNNNNNNNNNNNNNNNNNNNNNNNNNNNNNNNNNNNNNNNNNNNNNNNNNNNNNNNNNNNNNNNNNUCCUCGUCAAUACAGCCCCCGCUGCACCCCUCAAGGCCUAGCAACAUGCUGAACUCAUUGCACACUUCAGCCUCCUACGGACGUAUCCUUCACAUGCCGAAGAGAAAGUUUCAAUGCUCCAUGGCGCCAAGUUUCGGUCGCCUUGGGAUGGCCACGAACAUUCCAUCGUCUGCAUACAAGCCCAUGCAUGAGUACCAAAUUCUUUGAGUUAGCAAUUCCCCUCACCUCUGUGAGCUUUGCAUAACUCUUUUGGUCGUUGAGCAACUCAUUCCACCUUGGAUGGUCUCAUUCUUGCCAAGCGCCUCGCUUGCCUAGAGCACCAUCAAGUAUAGUUGUCAACGUUGAGCCGUAGCUCAAACUCAGCCAUCCCAACCUUUGUGCGCUCCAAAUUCUUCCAAGCUUGCUUGUUCUCGUGGUGCCUCUUGCGCGAAGGGUUGGCCAUUCCUCUGAAUGCCAAUCUCAGAUGCCCGCUCCUCUGAGCGACUCCUUUUCCCUACAUCUCCAUGCCCGUUUUCCCUCAAACGGUCGCGCGUGUGCUGACUGCCCUCAACGCAGCCCCGCUAGGUCCCCCACGUUUGCAUGUCAAGUGUUUCUAUGAGUGCUUGUCCUGCUCUGAUACCAUAUGACACGGACUUAGCUGGUUUUGCCUAAGUCGUGCGGCACCCUUGCGUGUCCGUCCGCAAAGGUCAGCCUCCCCGAAGACUCCCAUUGUCCCUUAGGACCACCAAAAGAGAGAACGGGCAAGAGAGAACGCCUCAAUCGGGAUCCACAAGCAAACAUCUCCGAAAAACACUUCAUAGACAAUGCAAAUUACAAACAGACUUUACAAGCUCUGAACAGUGGCACAACAAAGGGUAAAAUGGUCCAUUACAGACCGAGAAGCUCUCUCACGUGUCCACAUGACACAACCUUUAUUUACAAGCCUAAAGAGGCCACCAAUCCAACUAAAAUGGGACUUAUAAGCCUUCGGCUGCCCCUCAACACGUUGUACAAGGCAUGAACAUGCCAACAGACACGGACAGAUAUAAGCAUUACAUCAAACAUCCUGUUUCAAAGUUUGUCCGUGACAAAGCGGUACACUUACUGUCCCAUGUUGACUGAUCGAAAUACGACCAGUACACAUACAAACCGGACGGUAAGCCAACCACCCAGUUUUCAGAUCGAUUUGGUUUUAAAAAGGGAACAUAUACAUACAAACCUUAGUUUUGGAUGGACACAAACCUUAGAAACUAAAGAUUAUAAAUUAGUUAGAAUUAAGUCCUGUGUAUACAAAAGAAACGAGGGCAUAGUUAAGAUGAAUGGACACAAGGCUCCUCUAAGUUCAAGCUUUAGAAUGUCUUGGUCCUCUUGGAUCUAUUAUUCGUCAUGAAGAAGACAUUGUAAAUACACUAUUCAUAUUGUAAAAUUUGGGUGUUUAAAAUGGAGAAGGGUCCAAGGGAUUUUGAUGCAUCUAUUAUGUUUCCCUAAGAGACUAAGACAACUGAAAAGCCAACCAUGCAUUAUGAAUCAAAGUGUUAUGCAACUAAAAAACAAUAUGCACAAAGAGCUCAUGCAGCUGAAAUAAAAAGAGAGAAUAAGAAUUGUUUUCAUUUUAGAGCAAGAAAUGUCGUAUAAAACUGUGGUACCACCUGAUAUGGUAUAAAAUGGGCGGAAUGUACAGGUCUGAGAGCUAGCUGAGAUGUGGACCAACCUGUUUUGAUCGUACCCAGGAAGCAUACCAAAACCAUGACAUAAUUCCAAGUAACUUAUGGUAAGAAAGAAAUACGUAGGUCAUAGUUACGAGGAGCAUGUAGAUGGUAUCGAGGAACUAAAUCUCGUAUUCCAUAUACUCAAAAAUAAAUUCAAAAAAAAUAGUAGAAGAUUCAGGAUACUUGAUGUGGUACACUACAGUCAGUAUAUUACAUAAAAGUAAGGGGUCAGAACAGAAAAAUACAGCUGGUGUACUGCAAUACUUCAAUGCAUGGAUCCAUAUCAUCUGUGCAAGAAAAUAUAUUACCAUUGUAUUGAACUCAAAAAAUGCUAGCACAAUGAUGAUAAGUGAAAACAUCAAAUAUGUACAAUAUUUUGAUCAUAGAGUUUAAUAACAGCAAAAGAUGUGCAAUAUGAAUAACAUACCAAGGUAGCUCUCAAUCUAAAGCCAACACGCAUGACAUUCUGAAAGUAUUGUGCUUCACAUAAGACUCCCAAUGACUGAAAGCAAAAAAUACUCGUCAGCAAGCAAAUAACUAGUGCUUUAAUCUUUCUCAUAUUUGUAUGCACUAUGUUGAAGCUUCAAAAGAGAAAAGAGAGGUAUAACAUACUAUUCACUGAAGAGAGAAACUGCUAUCAACAAUAGUUUAAAAGACAAUUCUCAUAGUUUGGCCAUUUGCAUUUGAUGAACAUGGCUAUAUUUGAAAAUAGUGGCAUAUGGUCUACAAUUAUAUUCAAUUGUUGCACCUUAGAGGGUCAAUUAUAUUCUCUAUUAGUAUGUUGUCUUCACUCUAUUUUUGUGACAGUUUUUUUUUGCUGUUAUAUAUUCUUUAUCACAUGUGUUCAUUAAUGUAUGAAGAAGAGCAAAUAAGGCCAACAUUCAAGUCACUCCUAACCACAUGAAUCUCCUUGCUUCAGUGUAGCCUUUCCUUUUCAGAAGCAUACUUCUAUUAGUCCAUGCAUAUGUCCAUACAGGACAACUUUUAUGGUGCAGAUGAUCCUAGAUAUUGCUCCUAGCUUUUGUCUUCAUAAAUAAAUCUAGAUGUAUGCAUACCGGCAUAAUGAACCUGUUUUUUACUGUUGUUGCCAUGCAGGAAACAAAGCCAUGGACCUGGGAUUAUUGCCAGCUUAUAGUUGGGUCAUAUGCUUUCCAACUUAUGCCAACACUUCUUUGUGAUGAAUGUGGGGUUUCAUUGAAGCAGACACUAGUAGCAACCACUGCUAUAACCAGCAGAGAUUGCCAUAAGAUGCACUAUAAUACCACAAUACAUCUCCCGAAAAAUAUUUUUCCCAUCCAAAUAAGAGAAACUUUCAACCUCCUAAUGAACCACCGAAUAUAUGCUAAGUGCUUUUACUUAUAGGUUAUCAGGGAGUACAUAGGUUUAAACACAAAUAAUGUUUAAUCUUCAACAAAGAGGAAAGAAUUUUUAUAUCAACGAAUGCAUGAACAUGCACAAAAACGUGCAUCCUUUUCUACACAGCAUGUGGACUAACACAGCACAGACCAUUAUUCAAUCACAUUUAUCAACAUUAUGCAGUAAAAGUACUUGGGCUAAGAACAAUAGACCUGCAUAAGAUAGAACACAUACCACUCCAGCAAAAAUUGAGAAAGCAUAAAUGUAUCCAUGCCAUGCCGAUUCCCCUUGUUGCAUGGACUGCAAAUCAUGCCAGUGUUCUCUUAGAUUUAUCUUAAGAAUAAUUAAAAUCAGAUACAAAGUAAAAGAAUUUAUCAAAUGUGAAUAGUUGCAUAACAACACCAAAACCAAAGAGUAAGUAAACACAAUGGAUAUUAGAAGAAAGCCAAAAAAAUCGAAAGCAUGAUUUGGAGCUGAAAUGAACAGAAGGAUGGACAAUGCAUGGGACUUCCAUCAGUGCAGUCAAUGUGAUCAAUGCACACAAUCUUACCCCUUUACCCCUACAAGCUAAGUGGUUGUUUCUAUAAUUUGAAACUUGAUCGGUUACAGGACCAACCUUACCAUGGAACCAAAGCUUACAGUUUUAAACAGGGAAAAACAAACCAGACAAUAGGGGUAAUCAAACCAUCCAUGUUGUUUUGCGACAAAGUUUUCACCGAAUUCCAUCUAACACUUACUUAUAGUCUUAAAGAUAUGUGUAUGUGUUAAUAUACCUAGGUAUAUAUACAAAUGAAUAUAGAGGAUAGGCCUUAGUAUCAUGACCAAGGUUCGAAAUUUCAUAUCGUACCGGUGUACCAAGCUUUCUUGGUACGGUAUGAUACGACGUACCGAGCGGUACACUUAUAUAUAUAGAUCUAAAAAUAUAAAAAUCAAUAUAUAAAAAUAUAAAAACAAUAUACAAAAAUAUAAAAAUAUUAAAAAAAGGCGUAUGCAGCCUCGGCGACGUCGCCUGCUCUUCUCGUUGUCUUGUCUACAUCAUUCAGCGAAGAAGGUGACGAAGACAUCGAAGACUGCAGACGUCUCUGGCCUUCGGCGAAGAACGCGACGAAGGCUGCAAACGUCUCCGACCUUCGGCGAAGAACACAGCGAAGAAGAAGGCCGCAGAGUCAUAGACGAGGCAAUGAAAGAGACCACCUCUUCCGCUGCUCUAGUCACCGCCUCUCCUGAUCCCCGCACCUCUAGAUCCUCCUCUUUAUGAAUCUCCUCGUCGUUACCUCCUCGAUCGAGAUUGUUGAGGGAGGGCGACACCGGAUCGAGAUCGAGAAAGGGCGUGGAAACAAGUUCACGUCGAGGUUCUCCCAAUUCUCCCUCUUCUUCGAACGCCCUUUCCUUCUUCCUUCUUCAAUGCUUCUCCCUUAGCCUCGCCGCAGCCAGGCUGAUACCGCCUGAAAUAACCCCGUAUUGGACUCGAGCAGACCCCCAUAGUGGGCGAUUCGCAUACCGAUUCACGGGCGGACCGGUACGUACCGCCCGAUACGGGCAGUACGAUUCGAAAUCGCAAACCUUGUUCAUAAUAAGCUUGCUCCUUUGAGAUCUAACUGACCAAGGUUUAAGUCAACCUUUUUACUUGUAGGAAUAAGACUGCAUAUAUUGAUCCUUUCAAGACCUGUAUUAUUAGUAGUCAUGCAUUAGAGUUUAGACAACCCAUUUAUGUUUAUACUUCUAUAUAUAUCAGAUAUGUAUAUAUAUUCUUACACAUAUGAUAUAUUUGUAAGAAUAUAUAUACAUAUAUGACAUAUAUAAAGCUUUUUCAAUGCAUUAGACAACCUUACCACAGAGUGACUGAAGCUUUUUCAACUCAUUCCUCCUAGUCAAGAAAGGGGAGGGUUGAUCAAGCCCACCUCGCCAACGCCAAGUAGUAAUAAAUUUUUAUUUUUCUAUUAUUGUCGUUCUGUCAUUAUUUUUAGUUGAUGAUUUAGGAAGUUUUUAUAGUCUUUUCUAAGCCCACUUGGUGUUCUAAAGCCCCAUUAUACUCUAGUAUAAAACAAAAAAAAUUAAUUUUGAGAUUCACAUUUCGGAAGAGUAAAGAUUACUUUUGGUAAGAUUUUGCAGGAUAACAAGACUAACUUCCCUCCCACAAAGUCGUAGUAAACAUAAGUGCUUGUCAAGCCUAAAGCUCAUGCUUGGAUGUUCUUUUCUAUAAAAAAUUGUUAUCUUGGUAGUUAUAUUUUCUAAUUGACAACUUGGAAGGCAUAUUCGCCUGAAAUUGGAAAAAUGCUUGACAGCGGAAUCACGUCUAACAUAUGUGUAUGUGUGCCUACAUACAUAAUGGGAGAAUUAAGGAUGUGAUGUCAUGGUGCAACCUAGAUAAUGUCUAAUGUUCAUCUCAACUGUCCAUGCUUGGGGAGAGGUCAAAAAGCAUCCAAGAUUCACUCAUACAGAUAUCCUUUUCCUAAUAGUGUACAGUUAGGACAAUUUAAGUUCCAAUGGAACAUAAGUUUUUAACUCAAAUGCACAUACAAGAAACAAGUAUAUGAAUGUUAUAACCAUAGUUACAAAAUCACUGUUACAUGAGACUUAUUUACUUCUUUCUACAAUCCCAAAGUCUUGUUAGAGAUGUGCUCUUCUGCAACAGUAGCACUAAGGUCCAUAAUCACCAUGAUUCCCUAUAAACACCACUCGAUAUCUUAGGUGCCUCCUCCAUUUCAAAUUCUCAAUCACCCUCAUUCUGUUGUUGGUGCCUAUGCUGUGGUCUUCUCACCUCUCCGGUCUCCAAGGCCACUACACAUGUACAAGCAAGUUCUACUAUGACGACAGAACAGGAAUCAUCUCACACCACCACCACUGGCUAUGUUAUGCUUCACCAUUAUGGUGCCCUUUUUCUAACAAGUAUAACUCAACUUGAAUAACUGGGAAACCAAGGAACCAAAUUGGUCCACAAAUUCACUGAGACGGUAAUAGUUCUUAGUUUCACUUAAGGGAAAACUCAACCUGGUUCAGACUCCAGUAAAACUUGGUAGCAACCAGUUGACUAGACCUUGAACACCCUUAGUUAAUACAAAAAGAGGGGUUCAUAGAACAUGACUGUUCUGAAAAAUUUUCAGCCAUAACAAAAAACGAUCAAUAAACUCAAUCAUGAAAGACUAGCAACUUCAAGAAUUUACUAGUUUAGACUUUAGACAACAAAUAAAUAUUUGACCAGUAUACAAGCACAAAAAAGAGGGAAUGUCAAAAGCUUCAUAAAUUAAGAGACAGCACAGCACUUGCAUGCUUAUUGUAAAAAAUGAACUUACCAGCAAAAGACGGUUCAAAAUUAAUGGACCAACAAAUUGAGAUGCAUCAUUACCAAUCUGAGCCAAGCAGAAGAAAAAAAGUUAUCCAAGAAGAAUCAUGAAAUAUAUAAAGACUGCCAUACAAAGAGUCGGAAAUUUGCAAAAUGUGGUUUCCAUUUUAUUCUCCAUCAACUUGGUUCACUGCUACUUCAUGAAUUGAUCACUAGAUGAAAGUAAUUGGACUACCGCCAUAAAUCAACAAUUAUCAUAUAUCAAAAAUGUUUCUUGUCCCUGAAUAAAUUCAUACCUAAUCAAAAUUAAGUUCAUUUAUUAGACACAAUCCAGCUAAAUAGAUUUCUAAUUAUUGACCCUAGGUAAGGGGAAAGAUGCAUCUGGGUUACUUUUAACAAUGAAUGCUCACUGCUGAAUACUGAUCACAUGGCCAACUCAUGCAUCAAGUCAAACUCACAUUAGCAUAAGUAUUGUUUGCAAUAGGGAAAAUGUAUACUAGAAUCGAGUUUCUACAUAUUGAAGCAGUAACCUUAAAGGAGCUUCAUCUUAUAAUUUUUAACUGAAUUCUAACUCAAACAAGCAUCAAUCUUAUUAUUGUAGCCCUACUGAUAGUAUGCAAGUAUAUGUCUGGCAACAAAUUGGCAAUUUCUUUCUAAUUUACAAGAUAUCUUCAGGUAAUACAGUUAGUGGCACUGCAGGAGAGAAGCUGAUAUAGCGAAAAAAAAUUUUACUCUUGGAAAACUAAUAUAUAGCUUUCAUCAGAAAACUCCACAGGAAAGAGGAAGCACGGCAAUUAAAUUACCAAGAUACUCUGACCACAAGUCAAGACUUAUCUAAAUAGAAUCCUUUUCUUUCUGUCAUUUUCUGUAUUGCUGAGAGAAAAUUAAUUAUGAUCAAAUAGAGAUAUGAACCAUCUCAUCUGGAUAAAACUUUAAACAGACCUAAAAUUCAUAUAAUGUUCAAGGCUACAAGCAUUAUCGACUAAUCCGUCAUGUCACCUAAGCUUAUUAUUUGACAUCUCUAAAUGCAGGGAUCCUUUUCUUUCCCAUUAUUAAAAAAAAGCGAAUAAUCUGUGCUUGAAAAUUUAAAGCAAAGGUUUUGGAGCAUAAGUGCCAUGAAUUGUUGGAAUUGCCGGAAACAUUAAACAAAAUAUUUAUUAUUAUCUGAUAACAGGAACUUUCACAUAAAAGAUAACAAAAAGCUUUGUUGUUACCAAGUAAAUUGCAAUGCUCUUAUUUCUAUUUUAAGUUCAAAUGAAAGAGAAGAACUCAAUCAAAAGAGACACCACAGAACGAUAACAAAAACUUUCAUUUAUUACCUUGAAAAAGCCACCAAGCCAAAAUCUGUAGAGAAAGUAAAAAAGUGACUGAAGUGUUUGAAAAAUAGAACAAAAAGGUCAUCUACAGGGUAUAAAAUCAAAAAACGGAUGUCUCCAAGAAAUAUGAAAAUUCAACCAGUUAGUAGUUUAUACCUUCCCCCAAGGCUGCGAUGCAAUGCUCUCAACAGCCAAGGUUUGGGUUUCCUAGAUUCCUCAGCCCAACAUUGCUGAAACCUGAAUCAAGAGAGCAUUACAAGGAUACGAAAAGAGAGACAUUAUGAGAAACUAGCCAUGGAGACUGGGGAUGCAAACCUGCUAUUCAGUGUUUCUGUCUGGUCCCAUGAAUCUAAUUUCCAAAUAUCUUUCUCAGUGAUGGGCCUCUUAAAGCCUUGUUGCAUGAGAGGAGUCAUCCAUGAAAACAAUAUUCCUAGGGUAAAAGCAGUAAGUGAGCAUCCAAGAGCGUCCAAGAUACCACUAUCAAGAUUCAAGACAUUACAUAAAGAAUCAGCUUUCUAUAGAUACUCACUGGAAAGUAUGUUGGCCUUCCUCUCAGGACAAAUCUGCUCCCCUCCAGGAAGUGGUUCAUAGUCCAUGUCAUCAAUCGAUGCCUCAGUUCUAAUUGGAGUAUAUCCAGGAUAAGGAUCCAAACUAGGAACAUAGACCAGCAAAAGGAUACCAAACAAAAACUGCAUCGCAAAAAAAAGAAUGUCCUAAGUAAAAUUCAUGUCCUUGAACACAAAAAUAGAUCUAUUUAAAGCUCAGUUCCACCAUGCCAAUAGAUGCACUGAAGAGCUGACAUUGUGAACAAAGGAUUAUCAAGUGUUAUUAUCAUGUGCCCUAAACACUUAAAAGAUGAGAUGUCAUCCUUCAAAGACCAUUAUCGAGUGUAAGCAUCGCAUGCAUUAAAACACUUCUAAGAUGAUAUUUCAUCCUUCAAAGAUAAUUUUAACUAAUUUAAAACAGAAUUUAUAUGACAUAUUAGUAAGAUAAAUGAAGAAAAAUAUAAAUACCUGGGACACGAUCUCACUGGUGUACAGGUAAAAGAUCGAUCUGCAGAUAAUAAAAAUAACAUAAAUGAUUCUCUAGUUCUAAAAUGUAAAGUAUUAUAGUCAGAUAAUGCAAGUCAUGCAUAGAAAUUGUAAACCAAUGAGGAUCAACUUCCACAUGUACUAGACAUUGUAAAACCAUUUGAAAGGACCAAAGCUAUAAUUGGUUUUGAGUAGGAUCAAUAUACUCUCAGGAUUUAAAAGCUUUAGAUGUCUAUAACAAGUGGUUCCCUUUACAUGCUUGCAUACAGCAACAAAGAAAAUAAUCAAUCAGUUAAAAAGUAACAAAAAUGAAUAUUCAAGCAACUUACUUGUCAUAGUAUCGUCUCACAGAGAGAACAAGUUUGUACAUAGAAAUUUCACCAACCAGUACAUAGACAACUAUGAAACGGAUAUACCACCGAAACUCGUGAAUAUAAAUCUUUGUCUCCAGUACUAUCAUCACAAACAUGCAGCACCAAGCAACAGCCUCGAUGAGCAGUGAAAGUACCUGCAAGAAGUUCAUAAAUUAUAAUUAACUUGUAAAUUCAGAUACCUCAUGCUGCAAAAUCAAAAUCAGUAUAAAAUGGAUCAUAAGAGGAAAAGUCUAGAACCAACUGGUGAAGAAGCUCCUCUAGAUAGUGACACUUCAAAUGACAUGAAUGCAGAGGCUUCUGAAAGAUUAAAAGAGGAUGCUCAUGAAGUAAGAUGCACGCUAACACUUAUGGAGGAAAUUAUUUGUCUACUUUUUUUCUUAGAAGAUGAGAGUGAUAAAAACCUAGUUUACCAGUGUGAGAAGUACUAUGAUUGAUGUAAUAGACCCAUAUAUAUGUAUAUAUAUAUAUAUAUGUAUAUGUAUAUAUAUAUGUAUAUGUAUAUGUAUAUAUAUAUAUAUAUGUAUAUGUAUAUAUAUAUAUAUGUAUAUAUAUAUAUAAUCUUAAAGAGUAUCUUCUAGCAUCCCAAUUUAAAACUGUUCAGCGACAUGCUGCAAGCAAAAUUACAACCACUGAAACCAUAUAGAUUAAGUGCAUAUGAUGAAGUUUGUCACACUGAUCAGGGAGAAAAAUCACUCCAACAAAAUCCGUAAGCCCAUUUUAGCAUCCAAGGCACAGUAUUAUAGGUAAUGAGUUGUUAUAAAACAAGACUAAUUACGAGACUGCGUAAGCACUCACCUCAAAGGGAGCCUGACCUGUGUGUCCAUCCAAGUUUGUGAUCGAAAAGCCCAUUACCAUCCUAAACAACGGCUCCGCUGUGCAGUACGCAGCAACCAGGCCCAACAAAUAAUUAUAAUAUGGAGACCUCAGACAGUAUCGCCGGACGGUGAGAUCCCUCUUGGUCCUCCAUAUUCGAUAGAAACAGACACCAAAAAGGGCCAAAUGAGAGAUGCAAACGACCAAGCUCUCCAUGCCACAGGGUGUGUACGCACCAAAUGCGUUUUCAACCACCUUCGCCCAAGCUCCAUUCUUCUCCGGCUGGCAGUACCAGACCAGCGGCUUGAAACCCAUGGCUUCCAAGAACCUCAAACCGCAACUCCUUCACUGAGCAGACCUCAAAUAGCAACUCCAAGAAUCAAUCAACUGAAUGCACAAAAUAGGCCCAUAAGAGUCGCGUCAACGAACCAAACCCUCUGAAAAAGCGGGCUUAAGGAAAGGAAAAUCUCUCUCUCUCUCUCUCUCUCUCUCUCUCUCUCAGAUAUACAAGAAAAACUCAGAUUCUUGAAAAGAAAACCGUUAUUGCACUAAAAAGCGGACACAAGAACUGGAAAAAGGAAAUCAUCUUGCCUGCAAAGAUAUACAAGAAGAAUAUCAACUUCUUGAGAUGGCCCCAACUUUUUUCACACUAAAAAGCGGACACACCAAAAGGAUAAAAGAAUCCAUCUUGGCCUCUAAGACAUACACGAAAAAGUCAAAUUGGUGAAAAGCUUAUCCAGGAGAACCUGACCGGAGCCACACAAACUCCGGAAACAGAAUCUGCCAAACGCAAAAAAGGAUUGUUUCCUCGUCUCUUUCAAGAAACAAAAACGAAAAAAAAAAAGAAGAACAGCGCAGAAACAAGAGCAAUAAGUGGAACUGAAGCGACCAGAUCUCGCACAACUUUCGAGACGGAGAUUGUGCACCAACUCAAAAAAGAAGAAUCGGCAGGACAAAAUCCAGAGUCCGGGGUGGAAGACGACUCAAUACCUACUGGGGAAGGUAGGCGGGAUCGACGGCCGGCCGGCCGGUGGUGGGCAUCAAUCCCGUGUGCCUUUGGUGGGGAACUUCCUCGCCUUCUUUAUCAUUACACCGGGUGCGGUGAAACAGAGGUUCCCUGCUUCCGAAAUCCUUUUAAUGGUUCUCUUUCCCUGGAGGCGGCAGCGAUCGACGAUGGCGGGCACCCGGCGGAGGUAAGCGCUUCCGAGUUUCGAGAGAGGAGACGGCGACGUCGUCGACCGCUUGUCGCUUCCCUUACGCUCUUAUGAGGCAACGAUGAAUGAUGAACGAUAACUGAUCAUGAUCAUGGUGAUGAUGAUGAUGAUGAUAUGGCCAGAUCAAACAUCAGCAUCGAACGAAUUAUUCAUUACAACGUUGACUUGAUUAUCGAUCCACCCGUAUUCGUACCUGGUGGGGCCAGCGUUAUCUACAAUAACAAGCCGAGUAGCGGAGAUUAUUAUUAUUAUUUUGUUCAAGUUAGUAGUAUUAUACGGACUACAUUUGUGUACUAUCUUUCAAUGUCUACAUUUUUGUUCAUAUGUAUUAUUUCAUAUGCUAGCAUUGUCAUUACUUGCAUGACAGCAAACCUUCCAAAUGUGCCUCAGAAACAUGUCCCCCAGUGACCGAAGCUAAGCCUAGAAAGAGAUUUCAAUGAGUCAUAAGGGUUAGAUAUCCAAAAUAGAAAAAAAAUCAACCAAAUGUGGAAAAUCCAAUAAUUGACGAUUUUGAUUCAUUUAUUAUAUUUGUUAUGUUAUUAAAUUAGAGAAAAUACUAUAAUGAUAUUUCAAAACAGUUUUAAUAAUUUUUUUAUAAUUUAUAUAAAUUAUAUAUUAUUGUAUUUAUUGACAUGAUAUGAAGUGGAAUGAAUGAAUGAAUGACAAGAAUUAUAAGUGGCCACCAAUUUGGCUUUCAAGUACAAGUUGCAUCGCUUCAGUACUCACCCGUGCUUGGUGGCCUUGCACAGUGAGCCCAGCAUCGGACCACAGGAGGUUUGAUUCCUGCAACCGCCUCUUCUCCAAUAAGAAGGCUUCCUUGUGCUUCCGCCAUUAUCCUUUCUUUCACUACUGUGGUUGGCAUUUCAUCGAACACCGAGUGGGCUGAACAUGACAACAAAACGCAGCAGGAAUCCCCGCAUUUGACGGCCUCCGAGACGUGGGGACUUCCGAUGCUUUUGCCCUCUGCCGAUCUCUGUGGCUGGUCACCAGAGAAAAUAUAGCCAUAAUGUAGAUGCUGUUGUGGUUAUUCUCAAUUAGUGGAUCAUUAGCAUAAUGAUGUUGAAAUUAUAAAUGAUAUUGAUAUUUUCAAAAAUAGUUAUAUAAAUUAGUAAUAUGUAUAUUUAUUUAAUCCUUUUAAAUUUAAGACUAGUGAAAGUAUUAAAGGGUAUUUUAGAUAUUUUAAUAUUAAUAUGAUUAAUAGAAGGAGAUUACUAUUAUUUACAAUCCUUUUAUUGUUGUUUAAAAUCCCAUGUUAAGAACUUUUGAAUAAUUCUAAGUUAUCCCUUCGUAAAUAAACACAUAUAUAUCCUCAAUUUAUAACUUAAUUUUAAUAUAAUAUUUUUACCUUUUACCUACCAUCCUUUUCUUUUUAUUUUUCCCCUUCUCUUCCUCCACAUCUUCCUUUUUUUUUUUUAAUCACCGAUAAAUGAUGAAAUGAAAUAAACUAAAGAUCAAAAAAGAAGAAAGUAAAAAGUAUUUUUUUAUAUUUAUUAUAAUAUUUUUAGUAUUAUAUAUAUUUUAUAAUAAUCCAGAAGACAUAAUCUUCUAGGUCAGUUAUAUUAACCCAAAAGAUGUUAAAUUCUAGACCUUUGUAAAUUAUGUUAGAUGCAUCGACUCCAAUCAUACAAAACUUGAUGAUAAUAACAGGAUGUAAAUAGUAAAAAUAGGGCCGUAAAUAGUUAUAUAUAUAUACAUACAUAUAUAUAUAUACAUAUAUAUAUAUAUAUAAUUUUGGAUGGACAAAAUAUGUUAUGAAUAAGUCUUUUCCUAAAUAGACAAACAAAUAUUCAAUAGAUAUUUUACUUUACUAUUUAUUAUCACCAAGUUUUGUAUCAUUGGAGAUAGCACAUUGAAUUGGCAGAAGGUUGAGCCGAUCUAAGCAACAUGAGGUAACAUUAAUUUUGAGCUAACUUGCAUUGCAAUAUUUUAUUUUUUGAGGGUCUUAAAUAAUGUGACCAUCAGAGAUACCUGAUUUCUUGUCUGAUCACCCAUUUGAUUGAUUUGGUCCGUCUACCAAUGAUGAUUAUUAUUAUUAUUAAAGAUUUUAAUAUGCUGAUGCUAGACAACAUUGAGUCAUACAAAUGUGUCCAAAGUAAAGUUAUAGCUGGCAAAAUAAGACAGACUAGAAAAAAAAGGUGUCUUCUCACUAUGUGUGCUUCAUGUUUGGCCUAAGGAAGAUAUAUUUUUCACAUUUAACCUAAGAGAUAAAAUCUUCGAAAAUAUUUUCAUACUCGAGCCAAGGUAGACGUUUCAAAAAUAUUUUCAUAUUUAACCUAAGGAAGAUAUUUUAGACACAUUUUUAUACUUAACUGAGAGACACAUCUCGGAUGCAUUUUUAAAAGCCUAGCCUGAGAAAAAUAUCUUGGGCUAAACAUAAAAAAUGAGUAUAUUUUUAUGCUUGGCCUGAGGAAGAAGAGUUUACUUAAAACAAAAGUUUGCCAUCUCAAUGGAUCAGACACAUCAGGCGGAAACCUUCUGAUGUGGCUGCUGUAGGCAUUUUCUCUCUCCUAAAGAAAAACAGCCAAGAAAUGGCAAACAAAGAGGCAAUUGUUAUUGAGCUGAUCAAUGUAUGAAAACACUUAAAUUUGUUUACUGCAUACCUGGUGAACACUUGAACAAUACACCAAAAGAAUGAGAGGAGGAGGAGAAAGAGUAGAAUCACUCAAAAUACUCCCAUUGUGUUGUAGUUGGUGGAUCAAAUGUCUCCCACUUCGUUGUCACAACCACUGGCUUCAAUUUGGUGUUGGAAACUUUCAGCACAUCCAGUGUUUCAACACAUUUUUGUACUCUUUUAGCCUGGAGAAUAACACACAACAUUAGUGUGGUUCAAUAUAGAAUUGAAAACUAUCUUCAAGAGAAUUAAUCUGGAAAGACAAAUAUCAAACUUGUAUAAUAACAUGAGAAAGUCCAUUAAGUUAUCAAGAACCAGCAAUCCGCCUUUUCUUUUAGCUCAAAGUGAUUAAAGAAGAACAGCACCAAACUUCCGUUUUCAUGAACCACAGCCCUACUGAUGUCUUUCAUAUCUCAUCAAAGAAAAAAUGACAAACUGACAGCACCAGAGAUUGCAUCGACUGUUUUGUUUUUUAGAAGAAUAAGUUUUGACAGCACAAAACUGGUUCUGACUAUUUCUAACAACGGAUGUUGUGAACAAUAAACUAUAAUAUAUAGAUAGUAUAGCACAGAAUUUACUAUGUCAUAAAGUUUAUUCUAUUUUAAAAAUAACUCUACUUCCAGUUGGAAGCUCCAUUAAUCUGUGUAGAUUCAGAUCUCAUCUAACACUAACUCUUUCUUCCAUUCAAAUGCAUAUUCACUGACUAAAUAAUGCAGAAAAUUUCUAAUCAGAAUUUGAAUAGUCCAUAAUGAACACAAGGAUAAUAUGAUAUCUGAAAAUUCUUAUUCCACAAGCAUGCUGGCUUUCGACCUGCUAUCAGCGUAUGACAUGGGUUUACUCAGAUAACAUGAUUCCUGGGUUUAUACUAUAUUUUUUUGUGGAAAGGGUUUAUAAUAUAUACCAAGCACAGGCAAGCAACAUGAGAUCAGAGAACUGAUUGAACUAUUUAUAUAUAUAUAACAACAUGAAAUCAAAGAAGGUACAGAUUGGACAAAUUCUAUAUAUACAAGACAUUACACCUCUUACUAUAUUGAUAUUUGAAAUUUUGAACUACACAGAAAUAAAAUAAGAAAUAAUUCUGUAUACCCAAACCUGCAGAUUUCUUUGGGAAGAAGCAUCUCCCUCAGCGGAAAUGCUAUCCAGUCUAAUAGCUUGUCUCAUGAGCAACUCUAUUAAUGUUGUGAUCUGUACUUCAGCAACUUUAUUUCCAUUUCUAAUAUAUUUCUCCAUGGUAGUAACCUAGCACAAAAGUUUUAAGAAAAAUAGAAGCAUGUAAGUCAGAGACAAUACUGUUGAAAAAAACAAUCAAACUAUUUGAAAUUUGUAGCAGCAGUAAUAAAUAACUAAAACAAAUCUAUUCUUUUACAUACACAUUAAUGUUCUGUGAAGGCAAUUAAAAGGUCACUUCUACAGUUGCAUAGUCAAGCAAUCAAUGGAUAAUGACCAUUUUGAAAUUAUCAUUUUACACACAAAAAAAAAAGGUGGGCGCGAGUUAUGUUCUAUACAUACAUUUUCUAUUAUUAUCAGCUCACGGAAAAUCAUUUAGGUUACUGUAGGACACUGCAAAAGAUGUAUCUUUAGCAGAUGAGUUCUAUACAUAUUACACUUAAGAAUUUCACCUAACUUCAAUUAUAAGAUUUCUGCAGCAACAUUAUAAUAAUAUCAAGUAGAAGAUUACUCUUGCAUGUCCUAGUACAUAACACAAAGUUCCAAGGGAUGAGGUUGUUGCACCUGAUCUGCCAAUUUGUCAACAUCUAGUGAAAUGGUGGAGACGGCUCGGUGGGCCCUUUGCAUCCUUGCAUUCUUGCGCAUCUCAGUAUAUCUUCUCUCCAAGCUUGUCGAGUCCUCAACCAACACAAUCUUAGACCGGUUCUUCACACCACAUGCAUCAAGGUACUCGGUGUCGCCUCUCUGCUUCCCUUUGUAAAGCAGCCUCUGCUCAGCAGGCUGCAACCCUGAAUCGGCCGUCAGAAGCUUCUUCAAUUCUCCUACAGUAGAAGAGAUCAGAUAGUUAGAGAAUUACAAAGAAGACUCACAAUUUAGUACUUAACUACCACAAUCAACUGUCACCUUUAUAUUAAAUUAAGUGGGGCAUAGGCAAACUGUCGGUGGACUGCACCAUUGGUCCAAUAAAUUUAGGAUGCUGGAUCAACAGAAUCCAAUAAUUUGAAUGGCUCACGCAACAAAGAAAUUGCUGCCCAUUUGAAAAUUGCUGGUUUGGGAAUCUAGUUACAUAAUUAAUUCCAAGUUGACUACUGGAUUGAAUAUUAAAGUGACAAAGCAAUCUCAAGUUCCAGCUGUGUAGAAUCCCAACGAAAGAUGGGAACCUGUGACCUCCAACCAUUAUUUCUAAGAGUUUGUUGAACUUAUCGAGUAACAAGCGAACAAUGUUUUCGAUUCUUGGAAGAACUAUGCCGUUUGUACUGUGAAAGAGGAGAUUGAAAACGACAAAUUUAAAGGAACUAGGAGAAAUAAGCUGCAACGGACAAGAAGGGAAAAAAAAAGACUAGAACUUUAAUACCUUCUAUAGCCUUUCCAGCUAAUUGAUCAACCAAUUUUGAUCGCUUUCACACAAUUACUGACCCAGAAUUGGAAAUGAUUAGAAGCGAGAACGAAAUCAAACGACAAGACAAGCACCAAAGAAGAAGCUAGCUUCACAUCAGGAUUCACUCGCGAACAGCGUUGACAGCGAUAAGGAACUAAUUAGUAUAGCAAAUCGAAGUAGAAAAGAGGAGGAAACUUACCGAAGGUGGCGACGGAGGAGACGGAGACCUCGUAUCUGGCAGCGCCAUACGAGAUUCGGACACGCACCUGCGGCGGCGGCGGUCUCCCGGGGACCGGAGCCCGCUGUUGGACCAGCAAACCUCCCGGCCUCAUCUCCCACCCCGCCGCCUCCCCCCACAUUUCCUCUGCCGACCCCCCACUCGACCCCCCUUCCGAGCCCGAACGCCGCAUCAUCUCCGCCGCCCGCGUCUCCCUCCCUCUUCCGGCUCGGCGAGACUUAGCCACCGACAAUGUAGAGGCGGUCGGAGGUCUUUUAUACCUGCCGGAAUCGGAAGCGCAGGAUCCAGCGCACCCACCCUAUGGAGACGCGGCACGUGUCCAUACAGCUCACACAGGCCCACCGACAGCCGUCUGGGUGCAGUGUCGGCUGUUUUCUUCGAGGAAUAUGUUUAUCUACCCGCUAAAAUCUACCCUAACAUGUACCUGUUAUUCGAUUGCUAAAUACACGGGGCCUUUUCUAUCACCCAGUAAGAAAUCGCGGAUAUGUUGAAGUAGGUAUAGAUGGGUAAAUGGUUCUUAAAAAUUGCAGUUUUUGAAUUCCAGGAACUGUUAUCAUUUAAUGAAUUAAUUAUUUUUAGGCGCAUAUUAAAACCAUAAUAAAAUUGUAGUAAUUGUUUGAAACUUGCCAAAUGCAUUCAUUACAUUUGAGGGAUAGGCUAAUUUGAGUUUAAGUUCCUAAAACCCUAAUUUAGGUUAAUUUUAGAUGACCACAAGCAUAGUCAAAGUUCUGACCACACGUCGUGCCACACAGUCAAAGGAAAUGCCAUGCUGGGACAGACACUACAGGGAGAGAGGUAACACAAGAAGGCUGAUGUGAUGGGGUUUCACCAUGCGGCCUCAGCCAAAGCCUUCAGUUCUUUGCAUCGGUCGAUCAGAUCGGGCAAACCUACAACACAAAGAUGAUAGGUUGUUUUAGAUGAUGACCGUACAACUCGAGGAAGAAACAGCUUGUGUUACCUACCUCUCCUCGUCACUGCUUUGGCUCAGGCUUUUGUUGUACUCUGUCUUCAGCUGGGCGGCAAUGGAGGAGGCAGCGGCACGCGUCGCUUGGGCUUCCCUGUCUCACGUCUUUUGACCGACAUGCACAGGGAUCAGAGAGGCUGUGUGACACAGGAGAAGUCUGGGGUUCAGCAGUCUUACCCGACAAUGCCGAGCUCCACCGUCGCUUUGUAUUGGAUGGGGAUCUCCAUGAGAGCUGCGAGGGCAAAGGCUGCUUCCUUCUCCGCUGCGGUUGCAUUGCUCCCCAUGAUAUCGGUGAAGUUAACGAACUGCAUCGUACGUGCGACAGAAGCUGAAGACCAGCACAGCAUGUUGAGUCUUGGAAUAGAUGCAAGAAGAAGAAGAAGAAUACCUGGAAAUUGUCGAAAUCACGCGCUGGGAUCCUGUCGUCAAACUUCCUCAUGUCAUCCCAUGGUCCGUCGCCAACUCCAACAAGCACAAUCGAUAAUGGAUAAGCACUGUCAGCUUCAGAGAUGAGCUUUCAUGAACUGCAGCAGCGUGCAACUUCGAUCAUGUAAUAUGGACACACGUACCUUGCCCUCACGAUUGACUCGAUUGUUUCCGGUUCUUUGUUGGGGUCUCUGGAGACCUUCACGGCAGAGGGAGGCAGGUGUUCAAAGCUCGAUCGAGAAACAAGGGACGGAAAGCAGGGGAGAGCAGAACCUGGCCGUCUGCAAUGAUGACCAGCACAUGAUAUUGCCCGCCACUGCUCUCGGCAAUGUCGACAGCGGUCUCCACGAUCGGUGCAAAGGAAGUAGGCCCUUCACGAACCAGAUCGUAUGUGCAGAUUACCCUAUUCCCACAACACGAACAGCAAGCGGAGAAUUUAAGAGGCAUACCUGAUAAUUUUAAGUGUGGCACAAUCUCCCUGUAGCAACGCAAGACUUCGUCGAAUCCAUGGCAGGGCGAAUGAUCACUGCGGAAGCUGAACACCCCUUGAUCCUUGGUGGUCGCUGGAAGAAGAAGAAGAAGAAGUAGGGAAACAUCACAUCCAAACCAAGCGACAGCAGCAGAGGAGGAGGAGGCCAUACAAUCGCCGAAUCCGAAGCAAGGAAUCAGGUCGUCUUCAUCGAACGAGGCCAAAACCUUCCCGAUAAUGGAGAUCGCUUGCUGGUAAGGAUUCAACCGGUGGUUGCUGAUGUUGUGCAAGCUCAGGUCGUGGAAGGAACGUUUGCCUUGGAAGAAAUGAGCAGCGUCGUUAGCGAGAUCGAACAGGAAGAACACCAUGUUUCUGGGCUGCGUCACACAAACCUGUCCACUCGUUGCUUCCGGUGAAAUCAAUCCCCAGUAUGAGGUUCGAUGACUCCAGACCUGCGUCUCUCAAGGCAUCGGUGACCUGCGGAAUCAACGCCCGUGGAAGAACAGAUCAAAUCCGCGCCGUGUUGACAGUAACAGCAGCGCAAGCAAGGACCAAGGAGAUCCUGCAAGAUCCACAUCAUGACACCCAACCUGUUCGAUUGAGGUGUAGUUGUCAGGGAUGUAGGCGUAUUUCUGCUUCCGUCGACUCCUCUUGGAAGCUUCAUCUUUGGUCGUCGGCUGCUCCUCCUCGUCAAGGAAGCUGGGCCGGCAUCCUAGAAACCGAGCCACCACGUUGCCCAUGUCACUGUUACACAGAAGAUAUAGGGAGGAAGAAAGAGAGAGAUGGGGUUUCUAAUACUAAGACUCCAAGGUGGUGGACUGUACUCGUUAGGGUUGGAUAAAAUGAUGGAGAUUACUUGAUCUGUAGGACUGGUAUAAUAGAUCAGAGAUCUCAAAGAAGAGAGAGGAGGAAGAGAGAAAAAGUUUGAUUCCAUUCUUCUCAUACAAUCUAUGGAUGAACUACAGUUACAUUACAUUUUCAUUGUUUUCAUAUACAACCCCACCAAUUGAGUCUUUCAUUCAAUCUAUGAAAAGUGAAAUAUAUGUAUGUCCCAUAUAAGUUUUCUAACCAUUGCUAUAGCUAAUUUAUUAUCAUAAAAUAUUUCUUGCUGUUCUUCAAUAUUUUUUGAGAAUUUUACUUAGAUUAUAUGAGAAGUAGUCAUACAUGCUGAAAUAUACCUUACUUUUGCAAAAAUAUUGUGCUACAAGAAAAUAAUACUUGAAAAAAUAUAUAUAAAAAUAAUAAAAAUACUCUUUACCAUAAAAAAAAAAGCAAAGAUAAUAUCUUUUGUCAUCAAUUUUGCAUUUUUUUUUGUCGAACCAUAUGCAUUAUAAUCACUUUAUAGAACCAUUUGAAAUCAAUAAUCACCCAUUUCAUCAAGCAUAGAUUUUAUUAUUUUCAUUAAUGCUUGAUUUUUUUAUGUUGAGGUCUAUUGAAAAAUCUAAAUUAUCUUUUAAUCUAUUCAUUUUCACAAAACUUACUGUUAUAAUCUCUAACAAUCUAUAUUGAUCAAUAUGCUUUUCGACAAGAUAUUUAAACUUAUUAAAAAUAUUAAAUACUUCAGAUUUUCACCUCAUGAAAUAAACCUAAUUUUUAUCUUUUCCGCGGAAACGAUUGAUGCUUUGAAUGUUCAUAAUCUUAUUUUUUUUAUGAGAGAAAGUUGAUUUAUAUUCUUCUAGUAAUGUCUUUCGUGUAUCCGAGGAAAAAUGGAUAGCUUGUAUUCACUAUUUAAGUAGCAUUAAAAUAUAUCAUUUAUUCUUAUUGUUGUAGAUGAUAGGUAGAGAUGCUCAUCUUUGUAGAGGAAACUUCUUGUGUUCUUCUCGUAGUGCUCUCACCUUUAUUUAUGCGGAGAAUACAUCUCUUUCCACAAGCAGUGGCCUGUUAGAACAUGGAGGUCAUCAUGCAGCUCUGGAAGAGAGAUGUACGUGGACUAGGAAUGACAUGGGAGCUUCAGCGAGCAGCUUCUCGGUUGCAUAUAUUCUUCCACUUUAAAGCUUUGCCAAAGAGUCUUCAAAAGCGAUGAGCAUUCUCUGUACCAUCGAUUGCACUCUUAGACUUUUCUGCUCUCUCUCUUGGACCAGUCGGUGAUGAUGACAACUGCAACCAUUAGUUAUCCGAACUGAAUCGGGAAGCAAUUCGAUUAAUUAUAUAUUAUUUAUGUAAUUAAUUAUCUUUAGUAUAUCGAUCUUUAUACUUUCAAAAAUUACAUCGGGAUGAUCCUCGUAAUCGUAAGAAUGAAAUAUUUAACGACGAAAAUACCAUAUUUGUUGUUACGUAUGGAAAAUAAUGAUAAAACAAAGUUUAAAAGGUAAUUUUACAAUGCUAUUAUCAUCUAUAUUAAUUUUUUUUUACUCUCCCUCUCUCUCUCUCUCUCUCUCUCUCUCUCUCUCAAUGCUGGUCGAGCUGGCAUUGACAGUGAACUAAAGACCUCUCUCUCUCUCUCUCUCACACUCACUCUCCUCUCUCUUUUCUCUUCUCCAACACAAACACAACGUUGGUAUCAUCCAUUCCUACCCUCCUCUCUCUCUCUCUCUCUCUCUCUCUCUCUCUCUGCGCGUUACGGGGUAAAACAACACAGAAAAAGCUUUAAGUGCAGUGCUCACGGAUCAGAUCUCCCGUUGACGGACCCAAUCGGUGUCGGCAACCACCACCGCCGCCACGCCCACCGUACAUGAGAUCACGUCAAUUCAACGUGAUCUCAUGUACGAAGAUUCCACCAAAGAAAUAGACACGUUGUUCAAAAUAGAUUAAAUUAUAAAAACUCCAACAUAAUCUUUAAAAAUAGGCGAUGAAAGAUUGGAUCGGACAGUCUUAAGUCCCAAUCAUAUCUUUGUUAUUUACCCUUUAUAAAAUUAAACAAGUCAACUAAGAUCUUUUAUUUUAUUACAAUAACCCAUAAUAAAAAUAUUAGUUCUUAUAGAAGAAGAAGAAGAAGAAGAAGAAGAAGAAGAAGAAGAAGAAGAAGUGCCCAAAAAUAUUAUAAAAUUACAUGAGAUACUAUUACCUAAUCUUUAGGUUGAAUUGAAAAUUCAGCAGAAACUUCCGAUGCAAGCAUAAGAGAGAUAAGGAGACGAACUCGAAAGCCUAUUCUAUACGAAGAACAUCCUCAACAUGUAAGAUUUUAUCCAUCGAUGGACGCAAUUGACGCUUUCUCCGAGUCAUCAAAGGCAAUGAACAUGGAGUUCCCAAGCACGUUGCCAACUUGCAUGGUGUGUAGGACACGCAUAUGACCAUGUCUUCUAAAUGGCAUACACCAAUCCUAGAUUGCUCACCACUAAAGAACAUUACUCUUUGACCUUUUGGUCCGUGUAAGGUAUGUCUGCAAGCAAUCGCAUAACUCUUGUGGAAGAGUCAAGUUUGUCUAGCUGUGGAUACUUUUGCUCUGCCUCCUUCUUCCUCGAGGAGACAUGGUAUAUGUUCGAUGCUGAUCUGCAACUACACGAGCUGGUAAUUCAAUGCAAAGAGUAUGACAUAUUCCACACGGAUCAAAGUUAAGAUAGACAUCAACAAUAUGCACAGUAUUCUGUGUGAUGUGUUUCAGAGGCUCUUUUCCAACCAUCAUGCGGAAGUACUGCUGCUUAUAAAGACUUCCACUGGCCUCUAAUGUAAGCAGUACUUCCAAGCAUGUUCUAUCUUGAUAAGAAUAGUCAAAGUUAUGCUUCACCUGCCUCCUUGAUAGCAUAAAAGCUAAUUAUCAUUUGUGAUCUUUAGAUCUCAUUGUGUUUGAUUUCCAAUUAGGUGUAGCAUGGUGGAGGAGUAAAAACAACUUGUGAUAAGACAACAAGCCCUGAAACCACAAAACCUUCUUCUUUCAUGGCAGCAACCUCAUUGAUGUAUCUCUGAACGAGGUGCAUUGAGACACCCAACAAUUCAAGAGAUGUACAGCUUCAUCCCAUGGAAGGUAUGAUUUGGUAACAUGUCGCACUCCUCUGGUAGAUCAGUAGCCAUGUAGAAGCAAACAUGCAUCGACUGAUAGUGGCAUGUGAACUAACUAGGCUGAAGUAGCGACAUUAAGAUGAGAACAAAGCAGUUGAGGACCUUAGGUUGGAUCAAAAAGGACAUCAACUUUAUCUUAUAGAGGCUAUUAUCUCAUGAACAAUGCAAAUAGCGUUGAAGAAACUGAUACUGAUUGGACAAUAUUGGCUUUAUCCUAUACAAGUUAUGAUCUGGUGCCAAGUCAGAGAACAUGGUUUCAAGGAAUCAACAGCAAGUUGACCAAGCUUCACUAUUGGAUGAACUGAAUAUUAUCUGAAUCCAGCUCAAGUUUCAACAACCAAAUCUUUGGUUGAUGAAAGUGAGUGCGAUGAGAAAGUGUUACUUUAUGUCACUAGAUGACAUGGAUGUUUCAAUACCAAUCCUUCCAACUUCGAUCUGUUCUUAGUCUCCAAAAAAUGUUCUUAGAUAAUUAGAGCUCAGCUUGAGUGUCUCUUAGCAAAUAACAACUUGAAGACUGUGUUUGGUUGGAGGAUGCUUCCAAACCCCAAUUCGAGCUCCAGUAUCAAUCUUAAUUGGUGGGAUGAAUCCUAUCAUUUUGAUACAAGUAAAAGGAUUCAACUUUAUCUUUGUGAUGCCAUUUAUCCAGUCAUUUUCAGCUGACUGAAUAGGAUGUUAGGUAAAGCAACAAAGAUAGAGAAAAGAGAACAGGAGAGAGAAGAAACGUGCAAUAUAUUCCAACACGCACACACAAACCAGAGGACGGAAACAAGUCUAGCCAUUGAAAGUAGAGCACAAGAAAAGUCCACAUCUUCAUAGUUGUCAAUGCAUUUAAUGAUACUUCAAUUUCAUUGCUUUAACAAAAACUCACCUAAUCGCAUGAUAUAAAGAAAAAAAAAAAUCACUAUUCAUGCCGGUAGAUAACAUCCUCUCAUUCAUUAUUCCUUCCUUCACAAGAACUACUUUUCACAGGAGCCAUCCCAUUCAUGAAGUCCUGUCUCUAUCCACAUCAAGAGUCCUUCCCCAAUAGGAGCUGCUGGUCUCAUGGGAACUCUUUCCUUCAUCGUCGUCAAGUCAGACACAGCAUUUAGACUUUUCUCUGCCUACAUUUCCCUUCCUUCUAGUUAAUGCACUCCAACGUUUGUUCCCAUUGUGCUUCCUGACAAAUCUUGUUAACAUUCAUAUAUAUAUAUAUGUAUAUAUAUAUAUAUAUGUAUGUAUGUAUAUAUAUAUAUAUAAUGGUGUGGAUUAAUCUCUUAAGAUGGAUCAUCUUCUAAGAAGUUGGGUUCUAACACCAACCUAGCAAACUGGCACAAUAAUGACAAGAGAACUCCAGCACGUAAUUAAACCUCGAUGUUAACUUGCCCCAUUUAGUCACACGUUGCUCUCCAAAUUCAUGUGUAGGACCAAACUGCACGUAACCAAAAAGUCAUGCAAAUGACAGCAUGCAGGCUCCCCGUCUCUCUCCCACUAUAAGUAGGUCACGUCCCUCCCAGUCCCACAUCGAUUACCAGUCCAAAGCGACGACCAUGGCCGGCCUUCCUUAUUCAGCUCCUCACCCUGCCACCAUCUCCGCUUCCUCCAACUCCUUUGCAUGCCCCUUCCGCAGCAAGGGGCUUGUCUUCCCCUACCCUACCAGAAGAGCACUCCAUGUUCGUCCCAACAUCGCAUGCAAGGCAGGCGAGGAGCACGAGAUCGCUGCUAAGGUCGACCGACGCGACGUACUCGUGGGCCUCGGUGGGCUCUGCGGAGCCGCCGCUGGCCUUGGCGGGUUCGAUAAAGCCGCCCUCGCUAACCCCAUUCAGGCCCCUGAUCUCUCCAAGUGCGGCCCUGCCGACCUCCCCACCGGCGUGCCAGUCGUCAACUGCUGCCCGCCCUACCGUCCCGGUGCGAAGAUUGUGGAUUUCAAGCGGCCGUCGCCGUCCUCCCCACUCCGCGUCCGCCCCGCCGCCCACUUGGUUGACCCCGAGUACCUGGCCAAGUACAAGAAGGCCAUCGAGCUCAUGAAGGCGCUCCCGGCCGAUGACCCUCGCAACUUCAUGCAGCAGGCCGACGUCCACUGCGCCUACUGCGACGGCGCUUACGACCAGAUCGGCUUCCCCAACCUUGAGAUCCAAGUCCACAACAGCUGGCUCUUCUUCCCCUGGCACCGCUUGUACCUCUACUUCAACGAGAGGAUCCUCGGCAAGCUCAUCGGCGACGACACCUUCUCGCUCCCUUUCUGGAACUGGGACGCACCCGGCGGAAUGAUGCUGCCUUCGAUCUACGCCGAUCCUUCGUCACCCCUCUACGACAAACUUCGCGACGCCAAGCACCAACCUCCUGUCCUUGUCGACCUCGACUACAAUGGAACCGACCCAACCUUCCCCGACGCCCAGCAAAUCGAUCACAACCUCAAGAUCAUGUACCGCCAAGUCUUCUCCAACGGCAAGACGCCGUUGCUGUUCUUAGGCUCAGCUUACCGUGCCGGUGAACAGCCUAACCCUGGCGCGGGCUCCGUCGAGAACAUGCCGCACAACAACGUGCACUUGUGGACCGGCGACCGCACCCAGCCCAACUUCGAGAACAUGGGCACCUUCUACGCCGCGGCGCGCGACCCCAUCUUCUUCGCCCACCACGCCAACAUCGACCGCAUGUGGUACCUGUGGAAGAAGCUCAGCAGGAAGCACCAGGACUUCAAUGACUCGGACUGGCUCAAAGCUUCCUUCCUUUUCUACGACGAGAACGCCGACUUAGUUCGGGUCACGGUCAAGGACUGCUUGGAGACCGAUUGGCUGCGCUACACGUACCAAGACGUGAAGAUCCCAUGGGUGAACGCCCGACCGACUCCCAAGCUCGCCAAGGCGAGGAAAGCCGCCAGCAGUUCGCUGAAAGCCACCGCGGAGGUGCAGUUCCCUGUGACGCUGGAAUCCCCGGUCAAAGCGACGGUGAAGAGGCCCAAGGUGGGGAGGAGCGGCAAGGAGAAGGAAGAUGAGGAGGAGAUACUCAUAGUGGAGGGGAUCGAGUUCGACCGCGACUACUUCAUCAAGUUCGACGUCUUCGUGAACGCGACGGAGGGCGACGGCAUCACGGCCGGGGCCAGCGAGUUCGCCGGCAGCUUCGUGAACGUCCCGCACAAGCACAAGCACCGCAAGGAUGAGAAUAAGCUGAAGACGAGGCUGUGUCUUGGAAUCACCGACCUGCUCGAGGACAUCGGCGCGGAGGACGACGACAGCGUGCUCGUCACCAUCGUGCCGAAGGCGGGCAAAGGAAAGGUGUCCGUCGGCGGUCUUCGGAUUGACUUUUCCAAGUGAGGAAAUAAAAGAAUUCACGUGCCGUGCUUGCUUUCUAUGUACGAAUAAAAUAAGAGUGCAUCAUCACCGACCAUGGUUCUACUUUAAACUUCGUGUUGUACGUUUGAUGUCAGUAGUCUCUCAUUGUUGUUGUUUACAGUUUCUAUGGACAUGCAUUUGCAGUAUCAGUCUUCGUAUGUUUCCCGACGUUAAAUAGGUUGCAUUUCCAGUAGUAUUUUUGAAGCUAUUAAGAAAUAUCGAAAAGAAAAAGAAAAAGGAGAAAUAUUUCCAUGGUCAAAGUCAAAAUCUUGGUGGCCAAUCUUCAAACACACGGGAAAGAGGCUCCCGACAUGCGCCGACUCUGACGUCGGGCCCACAUCGCUACUUUCUUCGGCCGUCAUAUCGCGAAUCUUAAAGCGGCGACUCUCCGAUCCAACGGCUGGUCGCCAUGCGGUGGAGGUCACGACGCCAAGCGCGCCGUUGUCUCGUCGGCCGAAACAAUCGAGCCCCUUAUUCGUACCCGUACGUGAUUGGAGAAUCUCCACAAGACUUUAUAGGGUCCCGCAGGUUAGUGAUUAUGGUAUACGCAUGAGGGAAACUAGAACUUUUAGAUUCGGUAGAAUGAUGGAAAACAAUACUAAUAAUGACACAUAUAUAUAUAUAUAUAUAUAUUUAUUUAUUUAUAUAUGUAUGUAUAUAUAUAAACCAGUCGUCUUGAGAGGAGAAAAGGCGUCGCUCCUCGUGCUCAAUCCCCCUACCACUUUCCUCCUUCCCUCCGAUCUCUCGGGCUUCCCUACCGUCCGAUCUCGUCGAUCAUGUCUUCGGUAAGCGAUCCUAUCCUCCUAUGGACUUCCUGUGCGACUUGUGAUCCCUUUUCGGUCGAGUUAGCCCACGGGUGGCGUUCUUCUUGCAAUCGGUAGGUGCUUUAGUGUUCGUCUUUCUUCUUUCUUCGACAUCGAUGAAUCGGAUGUUGAUUAUGCAAGCAAGUGUGAUACUUUACUCGGAGUUUCCUAAUCGAGGGAAAUGAGUGAGUUUGUUUAGGUCCGCCUACUGGUUCCUGUCCCGUUUGGGGAUGGGCAGAAUGUUGUGGGAGAGUGACUGUGGUGUAUCGAUUUGAUAGGUUAUGGAACUUGAUUGUUCUUACAUAUAUGUAGAAAUCGACGAUUUUAGGUUUAUUUCUGUAAAACCCAGUUUUUUUAUGAUGUGUCGUCUUUCAUCUAUUGUGCUUUUUGUUGAAUUAGUACUUCUGAUGCAUUUUCAUGUUCUAAGUGCAAGAUGUAAAGUAAUUCAGGUCAUUGGCUUUAUGUUAGGAGUUUGAAAUCUAGACAUGCAUUACCUGUUUGUGUAAGAUAAUUUUCUGUUAACCCAAGACUUCAAAUUGGAGUGUCUGAAUAGAUUGUUUGACCUAGAGUGCUGACUACAAGUUCUUAGACAGACUUCAACUUGAAAAGGUUUACAGGUCCGCGAAAUGUCUGUUGAUAUGUAAUUUAGUUAUAUUUGGAUAAGCAGCUACCUAGAAUUAGGUAUAUCAUUCUUCUCACUUUCUUGAGCUUAGCGCCUACUGUCAAGCUUCACAUUGAAUGUAAGAGGAUGGUGUUGAUUUGUUUCCAUACACUCCUUGUCCUUUCUUCUCCAAGCGGGAAUUAGAUAAAUUAAAUUUGGCAUGAUGUUUCUUAUCAAACAUGUCUCUUAUUUUUGGGAAAUUCCAAGGGUGAUGUGGACCUAAUUUGUUAAAGCAUAUCCAAAAUGGAACAAUGAAGAACUAACAUAAUAAGCUGCAGAAGAUACUGGAAUGUUGGUUCAAUUAGGUUUUUUUACCACAUCCACUGAAGGAACAAUGAGUUUCUUUAUUAUUGAAGCAAUAGUGAACUUGUUUUAUUGCCAGUUGAGUUGCCAGCUAAAGCAUAAUUCUGGGAGAAAUAAAUAAAUAAACCAAUGCCUGAUCUUACAGAUUUCAUCUUACAUGCCGAUUUGUUAGGUUUUUUAUAGUUUACAUAUGUUGCCUUCUCAAUCUUCUACGUUGUUGUACUUUCAUGUCAGAAGAAUUAUGGGUUUGAAUGAAGUGUUUCUUUUCAAAGUUUUACUUUGUUAUACUUAUGAGAAGGAUUAUUGUGCUUUCAAGUACUUGAGUGAACCUUUGCUUUUCAAACUCUUGCUUAUGGGAGUACUCAACUGAAUUAAAAUUUAUUUAAGAAGAUAAUUGAAGUUUAUUCAAGGAAUAAAGACUCCAAAAACUUAUGAUAAUCUUCUGUGUUGAGAACUAGGAAUAACAAUAACAAAGAGACAUGUGGUUAUAGACAUGCUAACACAGCUUAACUGCAGUGUGUUCAUAAGCUGUUUUUUUUUUUAACUUGUGUAGUUCCUAAGGUUGUUCGAUUUUUUUUUUUAAUAGUGAGAAGUUGAAGAAGAUUGCCUGUUGAUUGCUACUCUGCUAUGAGAUGAUCCUUACUUUUUGUUCUAAUAAUUGUAACUUUAGAUGCUAAUACAUUCAAUUUCCAAGCUACAAUCCUCUCACUGACAUCCGGUGGGUCAGUAAUUCAACAGAAUGGAUGUUCUGUUGGGAAAAUUGAGAAAUGUGUUUCUUUUUUCGUUUAAAGCGUGUAUACCUAUGUUAGAUGAGGUGGAAGAUAUUAUACAAAAAGUUAGGUUGUUGAGAGGAUGUUCAGAUACGUAAAUGUAUGGGUUUGUAAUAAUGAUCGAACAGAAAAUUUAUACAUUUAUGAACCAUUAAGAAUAGUUCUAACGAGGAUAAAAAUGAGAGAAGACCUAUAGUAAAGGAAGAUCUUAAAAAUAUUUUUUUAGAAAGAAUAGAUAUGAUGGUCCUUGGUUUGACUGGUUAACCAAUGACCACAGAUUCUUCACUGUCAUUUAAAAUUAACUAGCAAUUGUUUUCUUGAUUAAUGCUGCUACUUCAAGCUUCUUCCUCACCUAUUUACAGUUUCGGUUAUCAUUCAGUCUUUUAUCUUUUGAGUGCAUCAGGAGAAGGGUCAACCACUGCCCAAGUUUGGAGAGUGGGAUGUCAACAAUCCUGCCUCAGCUGAGGGGUUCACUGUUAUAUUCAACAAAGCUCGGGAUGAAAAGAAGACAGGUGCUAACUCCGGGGCAACAGCAACACCACCAAGAAAUGAUGCAGGUGGUUUCCAACAAGAUGAUACCUAUCAGUAUCGAAGAAAAAGUGUAUGAUCCUAACUUAUGCUUUUCUGUUCCUUAAUCAUUACUGAACUUUGGAUCUAAUGAUUAGGAAAGAAAAAGAUCGAAAACCCAUAUUUAUAUUAUUUUUGCACUCCUAUCCAUGAUGAUAUUGAUUUCAAACUCAAACUAGCUUGAAACAGUCAUUUGCUGCUUUCUGUCGUCACAAGCACAGUGCUCUGUUCUUCUUCUUUUAACUAACCACUAUAUUUUGAUUUGGUUCAGCGGAAGUGGUUUUGCUGCUGUUGAAUGCCUGCUGUUUGGAGCCAAUAGGUACUUGUUCACCGUAGUUUGGGGUCGCAAGCAUAAAGAAUGUUUGUUUUAUUGUAACAGAUGCUGUUUAUGAAUAAUUAUCAUAUCUGGUUCGUGUGAAUCGGUAUUAUUUGUAGACAAAAAAAGAGGGCAGAUCGAUGGAAGAUGGUUUAUAUCUUGUUCAAUUUUGCUGUAUGAUUGCCGAGUGUAAUUAGAAGAUACUUGUGUGUAGAUUUGCUAUAGAUGUUGGUUUAUUAAACAUAAACUUAAAGAGGCAAAGUACAGUAAUUACUUUGGAGUAUGAUGAAGAUGUAUAUAUAUGCAAUUUUGGGUUUAUUGAAUUAUAUUUGCUCUUCCCAAUUCAGUAUCCAUUUCCUUUUUCAAUACUUUAAAUUCUAAUCCAUAUUAUGCAUGUUUUUCCCAAGUCAUUAUCAUAUCAAUUGCAGGUCCAAAAUGUGUCAUCUUCCCAUGCAUUUUUCAUAUUACUCCAAAGUGUAAAUAUAAGAAGAAAAAAAAGGGGGCAAACCAAAGUCACCUCAGCCAACAACACCUCACAUGCCUCAUUUCUGCUACAGCCAUUAAUAAAGAUAAGGCCCCAAGGAAUCUUUCCAAUAGUUCAACCUCUGCCAUGAUUGGUUGUCCUAAAUCUUAUGAAACACUCUCAAGAUUCUUCAAAUCUCCACAUCAUUUCUCUAUGUCAUAAUAAUGUAGAAAUUUCUAGGGCCUAUGAUUGUUACUGAAGGUCUGAAUCUGGGAGCAAUUCCCAUGACAGAGACAUGGCCCGGAGGCAAAAUAGUUUUCUCUGUUCUUGGCUGGCAUUUCCAGCCACCAAGCAACAUGGAAAACCACAUUCCACACGAAUCAUGGCAUGAUGUUGUGCCAGAGCACACGGUCCCCAGUCGUUCAAGUUCCAUGCAAAUGUGUUGUGCUUCUUACUGCGUGUUGGGAAAAUGAUAUGAAGCUCCCAUCCAUUGAUAGAUCAAGAGGUGCACUGUUUUGUAAGGAUCGAAGCAGCGGACAUGUUUAGCAUGGAUGCAUGUUUGUGACAGACUCCGGAUGGAGUCGAGUAAGGUUGUGAUGGAUCAAGAAAUUGAAUGUUCAGUGACGAAGAGCUUGGAUCGGGCAAAACCUUGUGAGCGACGGUGAUUCACAUAACAGGGAUGGAUAUAUGUAGCUGAGUUAUGACGAAGAAGAAAAGCCAAGGAGAGAUAAGUCUGUCGACAGUGGUUGUGAUGAUCCACCCGCAGACAGCAGCAACAGCAUGUGCCCCAUCACCCUCAGUGUGGAUUCUCCCUCACUUGGGUGAUGUCAGCACCCACAUCCCCUGUCACAGCUGCAGCAGAGAGAGAGAGAGAGAGAGCGAUAGUAAAGCCAAAGUGAUGCCUGGAGCUCAAGUUUUGAGCCUCCCGCAAGCAAAUGCUGCAGCUGGGAAGACCCACUGAGCCCUGGACACUCCUGUCAUAAAGGAGGAGAUCCAUCUGCGGUACACCGAGCAUCUACUCUCUGGGUGGGCUUCUCGUCGUCGCAAGGUACGCAGGGACGAGAAAGUUCCUGCCUUUAUCGCAAAGAUCGCUUCUUUUCGCCGGUCUUUGCUGGGUUCUCAGUUUGUUCUUGGUCGGAGGACCGUUUCGCAUCAGAUCUGUAAGCUAUUUUGCUCGGAUGAUUAGAAAAGCUGGUGUAUCAGACGCAACAGGAGGGAGAUCUGUACGGAUCGGUUGAUCGUGUCAAGGAUUUCAUCGUCUGAGAUCUUGCCUCGUUCACGUCAAUUCCUCGGAUUUCUGGGUUUUGGGAGCAUCUCAAAAGGAAAACUCUCGUUUUUCUGUCUCUUUGCUGUUCUAAUUUUUACGUUCUUAAGCAUUGCUGGUAGAUCUUCUUGAAGGAUGCUUGGUAGCAGAUAAAGAUUUGGAUUGGAUCAAAGAAUGACGUUUCUUGGGCUUCUUUUUCUGGGUCUCGCAUCAUUUUCUUUUGGAACUGGAAAUGCUCAAGCGAACAGCUUUCUGGUCGAUUGUGGUUCUAAUUAUAGCACCACUGAUGCUAAUAGUAGGAAAUGGGUUGGAGAUUCUUCCGGUGAUGGUUUUUCCCUGAGCUAUCCUGGAACUACUGCAUCGACUUCCACAGUGGAAGAAAACUCCGUUUACCAGUCCUUGUAUAAGACUGCUAGAAUAUUUGAUACUCCAUCUCACUAUGGCUUCAAUGUGUCUUCUGGGAGUUACUGCUUGAGGCUUCAUUUCUACCCCUUCUCGUUUGUAAAUUUGAAUGUCAAUGAUUCAGUGUUUGAUGUAACCGCGAACGAGCUCAAGUUGGUUUCUAAGUUCAAUGUGCCGGCAGAAAUCUCAUGUCGGAGCACCACAAACAACUCGGUCAUUACUUCCCUGGUGAAAGAGUACUUCCUUUACAUCAGUUCAAGUGAACUGCAAAUUCGGUUUGUACCGAACUCAGGGUCAUUUGCAUUUGUCAAUGCCAUCGAGGUUUUCGAAAUACACAACAACUUGUUUGUUGACUCUGUCAACAGAGUAGGCAGCAAGGAGAAGGUUCCUUUGAGUAUGAAUGACCUUGGAAUUGAGACGAUGUACCGGUUAAAUGUUGGAGGGCCGGCACUUGAGCCAAGCAAAGAUCGAGAUCUGUGGAGAACAUGGGAGCCGGAUGAUGGAUUUAUGUUUUCUGUGAAUGCUGCUACUGCAAUUAGUAGUACAUCCAAGAUAAGCUAUUCAUCAGUUAAUGACUCUUCGAUUGCACCUCUAUUGGUUUAUGAGACAGCCAGAAUAAUGUCUGAUAAUGAAGUUGUUGAGAAGAGAUUCAAUGUCUCAUGGAGGUUUGACAUAGAUCCCAACUUUGACUACUUGGUCCGGUUGCACUUCUGUGAGUUGAUCUAUGACAAGCAAAACCAGAGAAUUUUCAGAAUCUACAUCAAUAAUAAAACUGCGGCGGAAGAAUACGAUGUGUUUAUACGAGCAGGAGGGAUGAACAAAGCCUACCAUGAAGACUAUGUUGAUAUUGUACCACAGCAGAUAGACACCCUUUGGCUUCAGCUAGGGCCUGAUUCAUCGAUAGGUGCUUUGGGUAUUGAUGCGAUCCUCAACGGUGUGGAGAUCUUCAAGCUCAGCAGGAAUGGAAAUUUAGCUCAUGUUUCAGAGAGGAUUGGUACUGGUGGGGAAGGAUUUGGUACAAAGAGGACAAAAAGUAAAGUUCUUUGGGCAGCCACCGGUGGUAUUAUUUCUGUGGUUACCAUUUCCAUGGCAUGUGUUUUUUAUUGCCACCGAAUUCAGAAAAGGAAAGCAGAUGGUGUUAAGGAGAAUCCUCCUGGUUGGCAUCCGCUUUUCCUUCAUGAGACAAUUGCAAGCACCACAAAUGCUGGCACAUCCAAACUGCCUUUGAUCAAUGAUGGUUUAGCAGCUUCUUAUAGGCUUGGUAGAAGAUUCACUUUAGCAGAAAUUAAAGCUGCGACAAGCAACUUUGACGAUUCCUUGGUCAUCGGAACUGGAGGCUUUGGCAAGGUCUACAAAGGUGAGAUUGAUGACGGGAUACCGGUUGCUGUGAAGCGAGGAAAUCCACAGUCGCAGCAGGGCCUAGCAGAAUUUGAAACAGAGAUCGAAAUGCUGUCAAAGCUUCGGCAUCGGCAUCUCGUCGCGAUGAUCGGUUACUGUGAGGAGCAAAGAGAGAUGAUUUUGGUUUAUGAGUACAUGGCAAAUGGGACACUUCGAAGCCAUCUCUAUGGCACUGCUCUUCCAGCUUUAUCAUGGAAACAGCGGGUUGAUGCAUGCAUUGGUGCAGCACGCGGUCUACACUAUCUUCACACUGGUGCAGACAGGGGUAUUAUCCACCGAGAUGUCAAGACAACAAACAUUUUGUUAGACGAGAACUUUGUUGCAAAGAUGGCCGACUUUGGGUUGUCAAGAGCUGGUCCCUCUUUGGAUCAGACCCAUGUGAGUACUGCAGUGAAAGGGAGUUUUGGUUACCUUGAUCCUGAAUAUUUUCGGAGGCAGCAGUUAACCCAAAAAUCAGAUGUGUAUUCCUUUGGAGUUGUGCUCUUUGAAGUUGUUUGUGCGCGUCCAGUGAUAAACCCAAGUUUGCCGAAGGAUCAAAUAAACCUGGCUGAAUGGGCACUGCGAUGGCAAAGGCAACGGUCACUUGAGUCGAUUUUGGAUCCCAGAUUGGCAGGAGAUUACUCUCUGGAGUCUCUGAAGAAGUUUGGAGAGAUUGCAGAGAAAUGUCUGGCAGACGAGGGAAAGAACAGACCUACAAUGGGGGAGGUACUUUGGCACUUGGAAUAUGUUUUGCACCUGCACGAAGCAUACAGGAAGAGCGGAGAUGGGGAUUCUUUUGGGAGCGGUGAGUUGGGAUUCGCAGAUAUGUCUUUCUCACUCCCAUUUGUCCGAGAAGGAGAUGAGGAACCUUUUCCGUAGCCAUCAAGAUUCAAAGAUUUCCUCGAGAGCCAAAAGGCCUUCGACAUUGUUCGCUGUAGACAGUUGCUGGUGUUGGUAUUCCAAAGCUAUUUUACCAUCAGAAAAGGCAAGUGGUUGUAUCACUUUCCCAGUACUAAAGCUUUUAUGCUUGAUCUCUUGUGACUGUAACUCCUUGGUACAAAAUCUUAAGAAGUUUGUCAUGUUAGUGAUCCUUCCCUUGUAAAAAGGAAAUAGUUUCUCGGAAUCAUGGAAGAGUUCUAAUUCUUUUGAGAGAUUUAGCUAAUUGUUUGUGAUUUAAUCAUUCUGAAAAGCCAAUGUAUGUCAGGAUUUUGCCAAGGCUGCUAAAUAGCAACAUUCGUUGCUUUUUUAAACUUCAGAUCGUGUGGCGAUUACCGGUUUUCACUUCAAGUUAUUGUCUAUUGAUUCAGAAUACUUGUUGUCGAUCUUUAAGUCUUUUAACAUAAGUUAUUUUGCUUGUGCUUAUUUAGCUGUUCUUGGUAGCUUAAACAAGUGUUGGUAUCAACUGGUAAACUUAAUUCAAUCCAGUAUUCUGCUCAAAUGUUGCCAGAAUCAAAAGUACGAAAACCAAAGACGACUUUUUUUAAUUAAAACUCCAUAGUUCAUUUUGCUGAAAAUUGCCAAUGAGAGAUGUCUCCAGAGGUGCAACAAGAGGAUUUUUAUUUGAUUAUUGACUCUUCAUGCCAGCACUAUUUAUACGCAAAAUCUGUAAUCGAUAUUACCUAACCUAUCGAUGUCUUUUGCCUCCUUUUUACCAGGAAAAACUGUUCUAGAGCUAGCCGAGCCGCCAAAUGACACUUUGAAAUGUGUUUCCUAUGAAGGUAUCUUCCCUCAUGAGCUAGCCUUUUACAUCUGGGCACCAGAUUGACAUGAGAUUUAUGAAGACCAUUUUACUGUGUGUUAAAAACAGACAACAAUUGCAGAAUGCUUUUUUUUGUGCUUGGCUGUUGGGGGGCAAUUAUAUGGUAGAGUUUUAUGAACACAAAACAAACUGCUGCUAUCUGAUUUGCUGAGAGUCAUACUCUUAAGCAGACUUUUAUGUAAUCAAGGAUUGCAUUUUGUAGUCAUAUCCACAGAAGUGCAAAUAGGAGGCGUUUCUCUUUUUUGUUGCUUACCAGUCUUUUGUAUCAUAUUCAUCAUGGAGAUUUUAUGUUACCGAAGGACGACAGUGUGCCAACAGUUCUGUGAGCACAACACAAUCUAUAUAAUGGACAUCUCUGCUCAUUUUCAAGAACAGUAGUUGAUUGAUUAAGAAUGUUAUCUCCUAUUUACAUUCACUUGAUAUUUCUGAGAUUUUACAGAUUAUAUUAAUAACACUUAAAAAUACACUAACUUUGUGCAGUUCUGAAUGAACGUGCAAAAAUAGGUUUGAAGUGGUCUAAUAGAUAACAAAUCAAUCCUAGAUAAUACUCGAAGACCAUCGAUAUGAUUGUGGUUAGAUAAUAUGUUUUUUUUAAAAAUUAUUUUUUUUAACGAUCAGUAUUUAUAAAAGCAAGACACAAAUAUCAACAAAUAUUAUAUCAAACAUCCUGUGUUCAUGAUAUUUUUUUCCAUUUAUUUAUUUGACGUUCUCAUGGAGACAUUUGAGGACGUUAUAUCUUUUUGACUUUGCUGAAUCUUUAAUCUUCUGGUCAAAUUACAAUGCAUCUCUUGUCACUCAGUUAGUUUUUGUUGUUAUUGUUAAAUAGUCAAACUUUGAUGUCAUAAUACUCAUAAUCACAUUUAGCUAUGAAUAUAGAACAAUGCCCAAUAAUAAGUAUGAUUCUAUCAAAUAUUUCUAACUUAUUUUCAUUUUUUUUUAACUAUUUAAUCCAAACCCUUUUCACAUUCCUCUCAGCUCAGGAUAUAUAUAUAUAUAUAUAUAUGUAUGUAUGUGGAAUUACUAAUUAACUUGAAAAUUGGUAUUUACUUGGUUGAUUGGCAUGGAACUAAUAAUUGAAAGUUCAAUUGACAUAAAUAUCCUUUAGUGAUAUUUUAGAAAAUGAGAUAAUUAUAUAUAAUAUAUGCUUUUAUAUAUUUUUAAAUUCAAACAAACUAACGUCAAUCACAAUACAAAAUGUGAACAAUAACGUCAUUGGAUGGAUGUUUUGCUAAUAUUUUGAGAAAUUAUUAUGUUAUAUUAAAUUUAUAAGGUUUAAUAUGCUAAUCCUAAAUUUAUUACGUUAUAUCGGCCGUUUAAUAAGGGUUGGGUUUCGGCUCAAUUCGACCAAAUUAUCUGUGAACCGUCGGCCCAUUAACCCAAUCUAACGGGAUGGCAUGCGGUUCGCCCAUCCUACGUUUUCUUUUUUACAUUGGCUAAAUUACCCUUAGGGUUAGCUUCAAAGAUUGGAGCCGCUUCCGGAAAGGAGAAAGUCGAUUGGAGCAGCGACAGAGAUCAUCGAGCGUUUGGGAGUUCCCAAGAGAUGAGCGCGAAGGUAAAUAUUUGAUCUUUCCCUCUGUUCAUUCUGCUUGAAUCGUUCCUUCUCUUGCGAUCCUUCGCUUGCGAUUGUUUUGUUUUCGAAGGCAUAUUGUCAUUUGCCUCCUUUUUACCAGGAAAAACUGUUCUAGAGCUAGCAUUGGUUUGUGCAGUUGUUGCGGAGCCGAGCCGCUAAAUUACACUUUAAAAUGUGUUUCCUAUGAAGGUAUCUUCCCACAUGAGCUAGCCUUUUACAUCUGGGCACCAUAUUGACAUGAGAUUUAUGAAGACCAUUUUACUGUGUGUUAAAAACGACAACAAUUGCAGAAUGCUUUUUUUUGUGCUUGGCUGUCGGGGGGCAAUUAUAUGGUAGAGUUUUAUGAACACAAAACAAACUGCUGCUAUCUGAUUCGCUGAGAGUCAUACUCUCCAUGUUAAGCAAACUUUUAUGUAAUCAAGGAUUGCAUUUUGUAGUCAUAUCCACAGAAGUGCAAAUAGGAGACGUUUCUCUUUUUUUGUUGCUUACCGGUCUUAAUCAAGUAAACAUUUUUUAUGUUGAAUUGACGGUUUGUUUUCAUGUUUUGUAUCAUAUUCAUCAUGGAGAUUUUAUGUUACCGAAAGACGACACUGUCGACGUAUAUCCAUAGCUUAGGUAUUGAAAAGAUCAUUGUGCCAACAGUUCUGUGAGCACAACACAAUCUAUAUAAUGGACAUCUCUGCCCAGCGUGAAGCUCCAUUUUCAAGAAAAGUAGUUGGUUGAUCAAUAAUGUUAUCUCCUAUUCACAUUCACUUGAUAUUUCCUGUUCGUUUUAUUUUGUAAGAUAGCUUCGGAUAGAAAAUAUUUAACUCGAGAUUUCACAAGUAAAUAUAUUAAUAAUACUUAAAAAAUAAAAUAUGUUACGAACAUAAACUUUACGAGUUCUGAAUAAACGUGUGAUAAAAGAUCCGAGGUGAUCUAUCACGCUCAAAAGUCUUCAGCAUAACAUCGUUACAGGACAAGAUAACAAAUUAACCUUAGACAAUACCUCAAAACUAUUCGAGUAGCUUCAAGGUGGUAUAUUGGCUUACACUUUGCAUUACUUAGCGGAGCUAGAAGACUCCCAAUAUAAUCGUGGUUAGAUAAUAUGUUCUUGAAAAUUUUAUCUUUACUUAACGAUGACACAUAAUUUGUAUUUACAAAAGUAAGAUGGUCUGAUAGUCCUCUACAUGUCAUGUAAAAAAUGAACAAAAUCGAAAGACACAAAUAUACACAAACAUUAUAUCGAACAUAUUGUGCUCAUGAUAUUUUCUCGUACUUAUUCCUUUAACGUUCCCAUCUUUAAGGAUAUUGUAUCUUCUAAUCAUUUCUGAACCUUCAAUUUUCUGCUUUAAUUACAAUGCGUUCUUGGCCUAGUUACUUUUUAUUAUUGUUGUUAUUAAGUAGUCAAACUUUGAUACCGUAAUACCUAUAAUUGAUGCAUUUGGCUAUGAAUAUAGAACAUGAUUCUUCAAAUAUUCAGAGAGUUAACUAAGAUAGGCCUGCCAACACACAUUGAUCAAAACCAACUACCAAAUCACAAAUGCUUCUUACAGAUACUAACAAGUCAAAUUGCCGAAGAGGUCAUCAUCACAGAGAUGGAAUGGAUGACCAAAUCCAUCGGAAAGAUGCAGCCUUCCAUUUCCAUUGUGGAUCAUAGUACUAGUUUGUGAUCUCACUGUUGUCAAUAGCCAUAUAUAAACUGUUCUACUUCCUAAAUCCGCAACCUCUUCUGUGAACUCUUGUGAAGUAUUUCUGCAUACCUUCUUUUUUGAGUCCGUAUGAUCCAUCUUCCUCAACUUAAUGUUGGCUGGUGAUCCCUUAAUAUGAUCCCAAUUCUCUGUGUAGAAGUGGAGAUGGCACUCCAAUCAAAUGCUUAGCUUCUUGUUUGUUGGCUGAGAAUUAUGAGAUGGUUUUGAGUCUUUUGACUGUGAUAACCUUAUUGCUUUGGAUGAAUGCCAUGCAUCUAAGCUUGACAGUGAGAACUGUUGCAGAGGACACUUCUGCAACAAAAGAUCUACAGCAAAUGUUCAACAAUUACUUCAUGAAUCUACUAUAUGCCUAAGUAGGAAAACAUACACAGACAUCUGAACCAAUCUAGAGAGAGAAUAGUACUACUGCAUGAAAGGAGCAAAGCAGUAGUACUGUGAAACCUCUGCCUACAUGCAUGCAUACAAAAAUAAGUCAAUUAUUUGGAUGAUUAUUGUUAAUAUUUUAAGAAAUUAUUACGUUAUAUUAAAUUUAUAGGGGUUAAUAUGCUAAUCCCAAAUUUAUUAUGUUAUAUUGGUCAUUUGCUGAGGGUUGGGUUUUGGCCCAAUUUGGCCCAAUUAUCUGAUAACUGUCGGCCCAUUAACCCAAUUUAGCAGGAUGACACGGUGUUCUUUCAUUAUGUUCUUUCAUCGGACGUUUUCCUUCCUCACAUUAGCUAAAUUAGGUUAGCUUCCUUCUCUGCAAUAAAUAGGAGCGAGCGGUGGGUUUGAACCCCUCGCCUCUUUCGAAGCCGCUUCCGGAUCGAUUGGAGCGAGCGUUUGGGAGUUCCCAAGAGAUGAGGGCGAAGGUAAAUAUUUGAUCUUUACCUCUGUUCAUUCUGCUUUAAUCGUUCUUUCGCUUGCGAUUGUGUUGUUUCGGAAGGCAUAUUAGCUUCUUAUUUUCUUUAUAGCAGUUCAAAUCGUAAUAGAGUAGCAUCGUUUGGCGAUCUGAUAGCAGGCUGCCGAGAGUUCCCUUUGAUCUUUUAGGGUUUGGGAUUGCGACGACAUUCUAUACAAAGAUUGGUUUCCCUUUGUUCUCUCUUCUCCUCAUUUGGUUAAACGCAUCAUUGUUUACGUUGGCAGAUCUUGUGUUUCUAUUGCUAACAAAACUCCAUGUACCGUAUGAUGAAGAGACUCAUCCCUUGUCCAUCUCAUGUCUAGAAGUUGAGCUGGCAUAAUAAUCAUCAAAUCCGUACCGAACACACGCAAAGUUGUUGUCUUUGUGCGUAUAUGUCGGUUAGGUUGUACUUGAACCUAAACGUUAUUUAGCGGGACCUUUUCUUAUGACAUCCAAUCUGAAUGUUUUUCUUUUAAUAGGAUCAUAUAUUUAUCCAUUUUAUCAUCGUUUUGUAUCAGCAUAACUAGGCAGAUGCACUUUGUGCUGAUAAGAUUUGUUCUUGAAUAGAUACUUUAGGUUUUGCUGUGGUUUUGUUAAUUGAGUGUUAAUUUAGUUGAUACUUCAUAGCUUGGAAUUUGAUUGUAUUUUUUGUUGAACUAAAUUGCGUAUGCCAUGCAUAGUUUCACCUCUAUCAUUAACCUCUGUCACUACAUGUCUUUGUCGCUUUUAGUGUAAUAUUCGUUUGUAUUAGUUUGUAAUAAUGUCUUGUCAAGUUAGGUGGAGUAGGAGAACGAGGGGAGUGAUCAAAGUGAUGAACCUUCUUGAUUAUUUUUUAUUUGGAUGAAAAUUUGUAUGGCUCAGAUAACUUUGUCAUUUUUCCUGGUUUUUAAUUCCUCCUGUUAUUUCUGACAUGCAGUGAAAGAUGAAAUACUUGAUUCUCAUCUAUUUAGUUUGUAUUUAAAGAAUGGUUGAGUUAUUCAGACUAUUCUGCUAUAUUGAUGAAAACUCUACCUAAUUCAAUUAUGUUCCACACUUUGUGUUGUACCCGUGGAAAUGUUAUUUGACUGGUGAUUCAAGUCAUAUUCAUAUCAUAAAUAUCUGUAUUUGACCAUGCCUGUCUACAGCAAAAUUGAGACAAAGGAGACAAAUAUAGCAAUGAGUUGCAUGAGGUUUUCAAGGGGAAUCAGCAUCACUAACAAGGCUGCUCGAUUGGUGGGUGCGAGAGGGUUCGCAAUAGCUAGUGGCAAGGGAAAGAAGGGCCCGAAAGGUGGCGCUAAUGAUGCGCCUAAAGCUUCACUUAUGAGCCAUGAAGUAAAGAGCACAACAGUUGUUGGAGCCAAUAUCCUCAAGGAUGGUACUGAUCCGAAGAUAGUGCCCGAUUCUGAGUACCCAGACUGGCUGUGGCGCUUGCUCGACAAACGCCCAACGCUGAGUGAACUGCGGCGGAAGGACUCGGAAUCUCUCCCAUUUGAAGACCUUAAACGCUUCGUGAAGCUGGAUAACCGUGCCCGAAUCGAGGGAAACAAUGCUGCCAGAGCUAAAAAUUGAAGUUUAUACUAGAAUGUUGCCAUUGUUGGCUGUUCUCUGCAGUGUAAUCCCGUUAUGUUUAGAAAUGUCAUUUUGUAAUGAUUUCUCAUGGCAUUGUCAUGAUGCUGAGAGUUCAUGAGUUUCGGUGACAAUGCCCAAUAAUUUGUAUGUUUCUAUCGGAGACUUCUAAAGUAUUUUCUUUUCUAACCUUUUGAUCUAAACCCUUUUCAAAUUUCUUUUAGCUCUGGCUAUAUGUAUAUGGAUUUUCUCUUUAACUUGGAAAUUGAUAUUUACUUGGUUGAUUGGCAUUGAACUAAUAAUUGAAAGUUCAAUUGACAUAAAUACCCUUUAAUGAUAUUUUAGUAAAUGAGAUAAUUAUAUAUAAUGUAUGCUUUUAUAUAUUUUUAAAUUCAAACAAUAAUGUUAUUGGAUUGAUGUUUUGUUAAUAUUUUGAGAAAUUAUUACGUUAUAUUAAAUUUAUAGGGGUUAAUAUGCUAAUCCCAAAUUUGUUAUAUUGCUAAUCCCAACUCAUUUGCUGAGAGUUGGGUUUGGGCCCAAUUUGGCCCAAUUUUCUUAUAACUGUCGGCCCAUUAACCCUAUUAAGCAUGAUUACACGGUGUUCUCACAUUAGCUAAAUUAGGUUAGCUUCCUUCGCUGCAAUAAGUAGGGGCGAGCGGUGGGUUUGAACCCCUCGCCGCUUUCGAAGCCGCUUCCGGAUCGAUUGGAGCAGCGACGUCGAGCGUUUGGCGUUUGGGAGUUCCCAGGAGAUGAGGGCGAAGGUAAAUAUUUGAUCUUUCCCUCAUUCUGCUUUAAUCAUUCUUUCGCUUGCGAUUGUGUUCAAAUAUUAGCUUCUUAUUUUCUUUAUAGCGGUUCAAAUCGUAAUAGAGUAGCAUCGUUUGACGAUAUGAUAGCAGGCUGCCGAGAGUUCCCUUUGAUCUUUUGGGGUUUGGGAUUGCGACGACAUUCUAUACAAAGAUUGGUCUCCCCUUGCCGAUUAGGUUGUACUUGAAAAUACCAUCGAUGUUCGAAGUCGAGGUAGGGUGUGAGAGGGUUCGCAAUAGCUAGUGGCAAGGGAAAGAAGGGCCCGAAAGGUGGCGCUAAUGAUGCGCCUAAAGCUUCACUUAUGAGCCAUGAAGUAAAAAGAGCACAACAGUCGUUGGAGCCAAUAUCCUCAAGGAUGGUACUGAUCCGAAGAUAGUGCCCGAUUCUGAGUACCCAGACUGGCUGUGGCGCUUGCUCGACAAACGCCCAACACUGAGUGAACUGCGGCGGAAGGACUCGGAAUCUCUCCCAUUUGAAGACCUUAAACGCUUCGUGAAGUUGGAUAACCGUGCUCGAAUCGAGGAAAUCAAUGCUGCUAGAGCUAAAAAUUGAAGUUUAUACUAGGAUGUUGCCAUUGUUGGCUGUUCUCCGCCGUGUAAUCCCGUUAUGUUUAGAAAUGUCAUUUGUUAACCUUCACUUUGUGGUAUAAUCCAGUUUGUAGUGGUUUCUCAUGACAUUGUCAUGAUGCAACUAAAUUAUCUCACUGAUGCUGAGAGUUCAUGAGUUUUGGUGACAAUGCCCAAUAAUAUGUAUGUUUCUAUCGGAGACUUCUAAAGUAUUUCUUUGGUUUUUCUAAUCAUUUGAUCCAAACCCUUUUCACAUUCCUUUUAGCNNNNNNNNNNNNNNNNNNNNNNNNNNNNNNNNNNNNNNNNNNNNNNNNNNNNNNNNNNNNNNNNNNNNNNNNNNNNNNNNNNNNNNNNNNNNNNNNNNNNNNNNNNNNNNNNNNNNNNNNNNNNNNNNNNNNNNNNNNNNNNNNNNNNNNNNNNNNNNNNNNNNNNNNNNNNNNNNNNNNNNNNNNNNNNNNNNNNNNNNNNNNNNNNNNNNNNNNNNNNNNNNNNNNNNNNNNNNNNNNNNNNNNNNNNNNNNNNNNNNNNNNNNNNNNNNNNNNNNNNNNNNNNNNNNNNNNNNNNNNNNNNNNNNNNNNNNNNNNNNNNNNNNNNNNNNNNNNNNNNNNNNNNNNNNNNNNNNNNNNNNNNNNNNNNNNNNNNNNNNNNNNNNNNNNNNNNNNNNNNNNNNNNNNNNNNNNNNNNNNNNNNNNNNNNNNNNNNNNNNNNNNNNNNNNNNNNNNNNNNNNNNNNNNNNNCGUUAUAUUAAAUUUAUAGGGGUUAAUAUGCUAAUCCCAAAUUUAUUACGUUAUAUCGGUCGUUUAAUGAGGGUUGGGUUUCGGCUCAAUUCGGCCUAAUUAUCUGAGAACUGUCGGCCCUUUAACCCAAUCUAAUAGGAUGGCAUGCGGUUCGUCCAUCCUACGUUUUCCUUCUCUGCUUACAAAUAGGAGCGGGCGAAGGGGUUGAAUCCUUACCUGCUGUCGAAGCUGCUUCCGGAGAGGAGAAAGUCGAUUGGAGCAGCGACAGAGAUUUGGGAGUUCCCAAGAGAUGAGGGCGAAGGUAAAUAUUUGAUAUUUCCCUCUGUUUAUUCUGCUUUAAUUGUUCCUUCGCUUGCGAUUGUUUUGUUUCUUAAGGCAUAUUAGCUUCUUAUUUUCUUUUUAGCGGUUCAAAUCGUAAUAGAGUAGCAUCGUUUGGCGAUUCGAUAGCAGGCUGUCAAGAGUUCCCUUUGAUCUUUUAGUGUUUGGGAUUGCGACGAGAUUCUAUACAAUGAUUGGUUUCCCCUUGUUCUCUCUUUUCCUCAUUGGUUAAACGCAUCAUUGUUUACGUGGUUAGAUCUUGUGUUUCUAUUGCUAACAAAACUCCAUGUACCAUAUGAUGAAGAGACUCAUCCCUUGCCCAUCUCAUGUCUAAGUUGAGCCAGCAUAAGAAUCAUCAAAUCCGUACCGAACACACACAAAGUUGUUGUCUUAGUGCGUAUUUGUCGGUUAGGUUGUACCUAAACCUAAACGUUAUUUAGCGGGACCUUUUCUUAUGACUUCCAAUCUGAAUGUUUUUCUUUUAAUAGGAUCAUAUAUUUAUCCAUUUUAUCAUCGUUUUGUAUCAGCAUAACUAAUCUAACUAAGCCAAUGUAAGCUAGGCAGAUGCACUUUGUGCUGAUAAGAUUUGUUCUUGAAUAUAUACUUUAGGUUUUGCUGUGGUUUUGUUAAUUGAGUAUUAAUUUAGUUGAUACUUAAUAGCUUGGAAUUUGAUUGUAUUUUUUGUUGAACUAAAUUGCGGAUGCCACGCAAAGUUUCACCUCUAUCAUUAACCUCUCUCACUACAUGUCUUUGUCGCUUUAGUGUAAUAUUUAUUUGUAUUAGUUUAUAAUAUUGUCUUGUCAGGUUAGGAGGAGGAGUAGGAGAACGAGGGGAGUGAUCGAAGUGAUGAACCUUCUUGAUUUUUUUUUAUAUGGAUGAAAAUUUGUAUGGAUCAGAUAACUUUUCAUUUUUCCUGGUAUUUAAUUCUUCCUGCUAAACCUUAUUUUUGGGUUUCUCUGUUUUCGAUAGAGGUAUUCACAAGGUUAUUGGUUAUAAACGGCAUGGCAUUGGCCAUGACCAGUUAAUUGGUGUAAGAGCUUCUAUAGGAACAUAUAUGUUCUAUAUAAAUUUAUAGGGAUAAAUAAACUAUUUCCGAAUUUUGUAAGAAUAGAUGUGUAAAUUAACUUAUUGAUAGGGUUAUCAAUAAUAAUUGAGAAUAUAACAAUCAAAGGCAUUUGCCCAUUGCUGGUAUGUAGAGAUUAGGAAUCUGUCUCGACCUAUCCAAGUUUAUUAGUCAAUACCUGGCUUACAGGCCCAUUCAACCAGGAUGGGUCUGCCCAUCUUACGAUUUACAAAUUUUUGUUUGUCAAAAUGACUAAAAUACUAUUAGGGUAUGCUUUCUUCUCAGGUGAUAAAUAGGAGUGCAUAAGCUUGGUUUCACAUUACCCGGACUCAAAGCUGCUCCAGGUGAAUAGAGGGAGGGGGAUCAGGAGUUCUGAAGAGAUUAGGGCGAAGGUAAAGAAAGAUCUUGUCCUUGGUCAUUUGCCUUCUGAUUGUCCGUGGUGAUUUUGUUGUUUUGGGGUUUAGAUCAGUUUUUUUUUCUUAUGUUGUGGAUCAAGGGAGAAAAGAACUUUUAUAUCUUGAAAAAUUUGAGUCUUGUAGAUUGUUUUUGAAGGGCAUACUUUAGACAUUUUCAUGUUUACCUUGAAUGGAUCACACCUCUAUUCCCUAGAUGAUGGCCAUGGUGUGUGUGUGUGUGUGUGGGUUUUUGUGAGACCUGUCAAGAUGCUUAUAAUUUUUGGAGGAAUAAAAAAAAAUGAAGAUUUUCAGUUCAAGUGCUAUGCUGCAGCAGAUAUUAAUUUGUUAGAGUAGAUCAUUUUGGUGCUUCUUUGUGGUUUUCUUCUAAUUGGCCAUCCUAGUUGAUGAUGAAUCUCUUGUUAUAUUUUCAUGCUCGAAAAGUGAAAUAUAUUGUUCUAAUCCAUUUAGUUUGUAUUUUAAGAACCAUUUCGUGUGCACAUUGCUUCUAGCAGACAUUGUUGCCAGAGUGGAACUCUUUUGUGUUUGCCAUCUUGGUUAAAGAUCCUCCUGUUAUUUCUGACCGGAGUGGAACACUUACAGACUGGAAACCAUUUUGCGAGAGUGGAACAUUUUUGUGUUUGCCAUCCUGGUUAAAUAUCCUCCUGUUAUUUUUGACAUAGAGUGAAAGAUGAAAUACUUGAUUCUUAUCUAUUUAGUUUGUAUUUAAAGAAUGGUUGAGUUAUUCAUACUAUUCUGCUAUAUUGAUGAAAACUCUACCUAAUUCAAUUAUGUUCCACACCUUUGUGUUAUACCCGUGGAAAUGUUAUUUGAUUGGUGAUUCAAGUCAGAUUCAUAUCAUAAAUAUCUGUAUUUGACCAUGCCUGUCUGCAGCAAAAUUGACACAAAGUAGACAAUUAUAGCAAUGAGUUGCAUGAGGUUUUCAAGGCGAAUCAGCAUCACUAACAGGGCUGCUCAAUUGGUGGGUGUGAGAGGGUUCGCAAUAGCUAGUGGCAAGGGAAAGAAGGGCCCGAAAGGUGGCGCUAAUGAUGCGCCUAAAGCUUCACUUAUGAGCCAUGAAGUAAAGAGCACAACAGUCGUUGGAGCCAAUAUCCUCAAGGAUGGUACUGAUCCGAAGAUAAUGCCCGAUUCUGAGUACCCAGACUGGCUGUGGCGCUUGCUAGACAAACGCCCAACGCUGAGUGAACUGCAGCGGAAGGACUCGGAAUCUCUCCCAUUUGAAGACCUUAAACGCUUCGUGAAGCUGGAUAACCGUGCCCGAAUCGAGGGAAACAAUGCUGCCAGAGCUAAAAAUUGAAGUUUAUACUAGGAUGUUGCCAUUGUUGGCUGUUUUCUGCAGUGUAAUCCCGUUAUGUUUAGAAAUGUCAUUUGUUAAGCUUCACUCUGCGGUAUAAUCCAGUUUGUAGUGGUUUCUCAUGACAUUGUCAUGAUGCAACUAAAUUAUUUUCCAUGGAAUUUAUACUCUGAGAAGGCAGAAUCACUUGUAUUGUGUGUGUGUGUGUGUUAGGUUCCAAAGGGGCCAUAAAUAUUCAGCUUCUUAAUUGUCAUAUCAAAGAAUAUUAGGUAUUGCUUGUUACCAUCAAGAUUACACUUAAUGGUGGGUGGAACAAGUGAUUUGCUUUUUUUUUUUUGUGGGGGGUAUGAAUUUGGAUCAAUCUUCAAUGUUCCAUCAGAAUGCGUUUUUACUUUUUGUAGUUUCAUGGUUAUGCUCAAGUUGCUUUCAUAUGGUAUUUUUUUCACCUGGUUUACCAUUCAACAUUUGUUGUUACUACUUUGCUAUCUAAGAAAAAAGAACUUUGAGAUGUAUAAUUCCCUUUGGGAUGACUUAUGUGUGGAAUAGACAGACAGGUGGAUUUACUCCCUGUAUCAAGUUAAUUAGACUCACUAAUCUUACAGAAAACCUUGUUUCAGUGUUAUGUGACAAUGAUUUAGCUGUUUUGUCUUGAAAAAAAAAUCGAUUUCGCUGUUUUGCCUUGAAAAGAAAAUUGAUUUAACUUCACAUUAUCUUGCAGUGGAAGAAGAAACGCAUGAGGAGGCUCAAGAGGAAACGCCGAAAGAUGAGGCAGAGGUCAAAGUAGGCAUGUAUGGCUGCACAGCAUCUCAGUUUUGAAGGUGAUUGAUUCUGAUUCCGUUUUCCGCAUGAUGGUGGGUAGGGUGUAUUCAAUCGAGGCAACACAGUAUCUGAUACUUUGUUAAACAUACAGUUUCAGGAACUCAAUACUUUGUUUAGGAAGUUGAUACUUGGUGAUUUACAUUCAACAGUGGUGUUUUUGUUCGACACAGUAUCUGAAAUUAAUCAUGCUCUUUGUCUUGUUGAAUUGGCCUUUUUCAUAGUGGUUUUAUUUAUGUCUGUGUAAGAGUAGAGUACCACUAACAGGGGUUGCUUCUUGGAAAAUAGUUAAUAUGCUUUCUGAUGAUAUUUUUUGUUCCUGGUUUUGUCAAGUGAUCGUUCAACUGUUUUGGAAUGAGUUCAGGGCAACAAUUUGAGUUAGGAAUUGUAUGGUUAUGAUGAUGUGUUUUAACUCAUAGCAGAUUGAAGAAUUUGGUGAAGAGCAAAGCAUGCAAACAGUUCUACACUAAAUGCUUGCAUGAGCAAAAAAAAAAAAAAAAAUUAGUGAUUCUUGUAGGAGAACUUUUCAAAUGGUCUAUUAGCAUCAUAUUCGGUAAUGAUUAGUCUAUAAUCGAUUUAUAUUUGUAAAGAUUUAUUUUUUAACCAGCUUAUUAAGCUCGUUUGGUCUAAAUCAUUCAUCAAAAUGUUUAAGCUGAAAUUGAUAAUAGUACACUCAUCAGACUCUUAUAAGACAAUCUUAAUCCUGUCCACUUUUGAUGUGGAACUAAUCAGGGAUAUUACAUUUGUUCACUUCAAUUCCAAUCAGAUGAAAAUAAGCUUUGAUAUGAAUACAUUAUGUAUGUUAUACAUGUUGAAUAUAUGUUUUUUUUUUUUUUUUUUUAAUUUCAUCAUGAAUCGUAUAUGUUAAUCGACAAACAUAUUGUGUUGCAUGUCAUAUUCAUCUUAUCAUCGUCUUAUUUAAAUUAAUUUAUAUAUUUAUUUUAAUUAUAUAACUUCACAUUUUUUCCUUGCUUAAUUCGAGAUUAGGUACGUCUAAUCGACAUGCCAUGUGUUUUAUAAUUAUAUUUACAAAAGAAUUCCUCCUUUUUAUUCUUGUCUUCCUCUUCUUCUUUUUUUUUUUUUUUUUUUCUCUUUCUUCCUCUUUCUUUCUUUCGUUCUUUUUCUCCUUAUUUUUCUACUCUUCUCAAUGGGAAUGAUGACAACUUUCCUAAUCAAUGAUGAUAUUACUCAAAUACCCAUUUUAUAACUCGAUUUUAUUUAGAAAAUAAAGAUUUACCUGUAAUUAGCAUAUAUAUAUAUAUAUACAUACAUAUAUACAUAUAAAUAUAUAUAAAAAUAUAUAUAUAUAUAUACAUACAUACAUACAUAUAUAUAUAUAUAUAUAUAUAUAUAUAUAUAUUUAUAGAAAUAUAUAUAUAUGAUAACUACGCCCAUCUAGUCAACUACUCGAAAUAGUUGGCCAAAAUAAAAUUAUUAUUAUUUACUCCUUGCAAUGUUGUCAUGGAAUCAAGCAGCAUUUAUUUGCGACACAUGAUAACAUGAACACCGCUACAUAAUUAACUGUUCAUUUAAUCUCAUCACCACGAGUUACUUUGAAGCUUCACGUCUAUAAAUACGUAGGUGGCCUCGCCACAGUUACCGCCUCUCUAUGACUUACGUCUCCUCUCCCCUCUCUGUUGCGCUGUUCGCUGCAGGACUCGCAGAGAAAAUAGACGUCGGGAUGGCUGCGGAGGUGAGCUCCUUGGCGACAACCCUCGGGGCAUACGAGGACGACGCGGAAGGAGAGAGCGAGCUCGUCACCCGGGACUUGCUUGGCGGCGGCGGCGGCGGAGCCGGCGACGUGGAUCUCCAGCUCCAUGUCCCCGCCGGCUGGCCGACCCGCAUCGACCUCCCGGUACGUGUCGCUGCUCGUAGCUCAAUUCACUGUUCGUCGCGUCGCUUGUUGGAAUUCCAAUCUGAUCUGGCCUUCAUUGAUUCCAAGAUUUAGGUUCUCCUUUUUUCCCCUCUUUGGUUCGUUUCGUUGAAUCGAUUGUCGUCGGUGCGGAUUGCUGUGGUCCUUCGAGUCCGAAGCACCAAGGAUUCUCUUCCUUUUGACCCCCAAAAGAACGAUUCUGUGGAUCGUACAUCCGCAUCCAUUUUAUCUCGUACUGGAUCUCCUAUUCCCCGCCGAUGCCGCGCCCUAAUUAUUUAGUUGUCGCUCGCGCUUUCGAUGCAUAUUUAAUUGUAAUAAAAGGUUCUGUUUUUGGUCUUUCGAUCGGUCAAAGAAGCUGUUUCGAUGAGAAAGAAUCCUUUUUUUCCCCAUGAACUCAUGUCGAAGUCGCCGAUUUGAGUCGUCCUAGUUCAUUCUUGCUUUGAUUCGACUAAGAGCAUCUCGAUUCCCAUGGUUGCAGUCCGGGAAGGCGAGCCUCGAACAGCGGGACCCCGAUCCCGCUCCCCGCCAUCUGCACGACCUUAACCUGUCGCCGCCGUCGCCGUCCGUCGCCUCUCUCGCCCUCGAGCUGGCGUCACCCUCCGCCGAGUACCAGAGCGUCUGCACCCUGGAGAAGGUCAAGUCGGCGCUGGAGCGGGAGUCGCGCCUCGUCGCCACCACCGGCCCCGCGUCCCCGCCCCCCUCUUCCACCACCUCCUCCUCCUCCUCCUCCUCCGCCGUCUCGACCAAGCGUCGGGCGCCGACCUCGCCGGACGAGGACGGCGCCGCGGGAAGCACCAUGGCGGUGGCCACCUGCCCGGUGUGCCUCCUCUACGUGCUCGUCUCCAAGGCGGAGCCCAGGUGCCCCAGGUGCGCGGCGCAUGUGCCGGUGAACGACCUCCUCAAGAAGAAGCCGCGCAUCGACCUCAACUCCUCCCUCCCAUCCCACUGAAACCUGCACAGAAGCGAGAACAAUACCCAAAUCUUCGAUUCCCGAGCGUAGAAGACGAUUACUACUACAAGGGUCAAAAAAACGAAGAAAGGCCUCUCCAUUUUUGGCGACUGUAAGAAUUUGUUCUCGGUUCAUGGUGUUCCACCGUGAGAUGAGAUCAUCGUGCAGCAGUUUGUUCUGCCCUUUCUCUGGGCAUUAAACCUGCCAUUAAAUUUUGGGGGUUCAAAUCUCACUUGUCACAGGAUGCUCUCUUCUUCUUGAUGCAACCCUUCACCGGUGAUUUGCGUGGUUGGUGGUGUUUGCACAUAGCCAUGCGGGUGCGGAGACUGUACAGCGGAAGCCUUAAUGGAGGCCUCCGAAAGGACUCGUAGCAAUCACAAGGAAUGGGACAGACUACUGAAACCAACUAAAUAAUUGAAUGGGACUUUCCCUGCAAUAAUUUUAAUGCAGUAAAUAUAUAUCUUAAACACAAAUUAAUAUUUGAAAAUAAUUAUUUAUAUUAAUAUUUUUCUUGCUUUUUUUAAUUGGUGAAAAGGGAUGUCGUCGUCUGCCGUCAGCUCAACUUAAAAAGACUGUUGCAUACUCCGUCUGUAAUAAAUGACGGGUGUCCCUAUCCGACAUUUAAUGCAGCAAGAAGGGCGCCUGAUCGUGACACGUGGUGCGUCAAUUAAUGCAGCCAUUUGUUCUCUUGCCGCGCGUGAGUAGCUGACGCCACGAAAACGAAUCGGGCCCCACUCGCCAUCAAUAAAGAACGGUCAAAACCAAACCAAGCGGGCCCACUAAAAUGACAGUUGGGUGUGUCAUAAGAUUAUAUAUUAGUUUUCCUUGGGAUGUACCUCUCUCUCUCUCUCUCUCUCUCUCUCUCUUUCUGUGUGCCAAAAAUAAAAUAUUACUCUUCGGUUUGAUAAAAGCAACAACGUGCCACAAUGUAUCUACGACCAUGGAAUUAUUUUAUUAAAAUUAAUAUAUAUAAUUUCAGACAAAUUCUCAAUUUUUUAAUAAAAUAUAAAGAUAAAUAAGGAAGAUGAGAUACAACCAAGUUUUAUUUCUUACCAUAUAAUAUCUCUAUUUUUUAAAAUUUCAACAUUAUCUCUUUAUAUUUUUAGCUUUUUUCUUUUUUAUUUUUUAUUUUUUAAAAGCACCAUAUUUUUAAUUUUUUUUUCAAAUGGUAUCUCUAUUUUGAGUAAAACUAAAAAUAUCCCUUACUAGCCCUAAGAUAUUAAUUAUUCCAUCUAAUUUUGGUUCAAGUGAAUGUUAUAAUUUGUUUCGCCUAUUUUCAUAUUUUGACUAUCGUAAUAAAAAUACUAUAAUAUCUAUUUAAAAUAUUAUAAAUAAUAAUAUGAAAUCACUUACAUGUUUUUUUAGUAGUUUUAUAGUAUUUUCAAUAUCUUUGCACCCUAAUGAUAUUUUUGAUAUUAUUUAAAAUAGAAGAUCAUUUGAAUAAAAAAAAAUGAGGACAUCUUUCGGAAAAAAAUGAUAAUAAAAAUAAUAAGGGCACUAUUGAGUAUCUUUUGAAUUUUAUGUUGAUAUAUAUUCAGCAACAAUACCAAUCAAAUAGUAAAUCUUAAUUAUUUAAGAUGGAGAAUCUUUUAUCACUAUUAAAUAUAUUGAUAUAUAUUCUAAAUAUAAAUAUCAAACAUUCAAAGCAAACCCACAUCUACACCCUUAGGAUGUGUGGAUAUGUACAGAUCCAAAGCACCUAACAUCCAUUAAAACCUGACCCCUCCUUGAAACGGCCCAACCCAACCUUAGAGAGAGAGAGAUCGAUUGAGAGAGAGAUUUCAAUAGGAGUCGCAUAAACUGAUCAAAAUGCAAUUAUUGUUUUUAGGGCUACAACAAAUUUACAAGUGUCUACGAACAUCUAAACAAUCUUUCUUAGAUCCUUCGGGUCGUCCGAAGCGGAUUCAAGAAAACAUUGUGGAUCUGCUCGUCUUCUGCUAACUUGUAUGGUUGACUACAAGCAUCGUGUCAGGAACAGGCAGGUGAUGAGAUGGUCAGCUCCAAGUUUACGUGCUUCUUUGCUGCACUUGAUCCCCGGUCGCCCGUGUCUGCCAAGCUUCUCUGAUUCCGGUAGGCAAAAGACGAUAAGCUCGGCUCGCGGUUGGUCUCCUUCGGCGGCGAUCGCUGAGAAUAAGCGAGCUGGAGUAGCUGCAACGACGAAGGAAGAGUGGGAUCGACCGCUUGUGAUCAGGACAAUGUAAUGUGAUGAUGAGGGUGUCAAACCUGGCUGUUGUCUUCGGUCAACGUGUCUCUUGGAAAGAUGGAGGCCAUGUUCUUUGCUGCCCAGUCUCUCAGCAGCUCCUCAAACGUCGGCCUGCAAUCCAGAGUCGACGCUUUAGAGGUAGAAGAAGAUGUCUGCUGCAAGAAAGACACUGAGAGAGAAAGAAGUGAAGGAGCCGGACACCCACGUACGAUUGAAUUGAACGGGUGAGACCGAGGUGUGCGUCCGCUCUCUGCUUCGGCAGACUGUAAGCCAUGAGGACGUCGUGCCGCGGUGCUUCCCGUUGCGUGCUUCGGUUCUUCUCGCAGUGGGUGCUCGUGCUUCUGUACAUCUGUUACCAGAAGAAGAAGAAGCAAGAGAGGCAUCAGAAGGCAUGUGUGAAUCCGAAACAUGCAGCCUUGACUUUGAGAUAUGACUCACAUUUGUCUUUCACCAUUCACACACCCAACUUCUAUCUUACCUUUGGAAUUGAUAUGGAACAUUAAAAAAGCUGUGACCAAACAUUUGUUUCUUCCGAUCAUUUGACUAUUCUAUUACUGAUGGAUAUAUGUGACAGAUGUUGUAAGAUGAAGAUUGGAAGAAUUGGAGUGUGCAGAAGAAGUAAACAAUCAUUACUGUUUUCUCAUGGAAAAGGAUUGGAACAAAUUACCUGCAGAUGGCUUUUGACAUGAGAUAUGCUUAUUCCUUUUACGCCCAUUAACUGUUGAAUUCUCUUUGGAGUUGCUUCUGCAGGAAUGUAUGUACGUAAACAAGAAAGAUUUAGUCUGUUUGCACAUUUCGAAGAAGAAGAAGAAGGAAAACAGAGUCUUCCGAUGUGCUCGUGAGAGAAAGCAGUCAUUGGCGACUUACCCGUUUCUCCUCCGAGGCAAUCGACUGCUUCGACAAAGCACCGAUGCAGCUCCUCCGUCCAUCGCAUGCGAGGAGCGUCGGUUCUGUUGUACUGCCUCACCCUUCUUCCCAAGAAUCUCAUGCCUUGAUCCGUACUCCUCCUUCCCGAGGUAUCUUGAUAUCUUGGCCGAGCCGAUGAAGUUGUUUAUGUAGGAGGGAGGCUUCUGAACUUUACGACAGGACUCGGUCAAACAUUCCCAAAGCCCUCCAAAGAGGUAGAAGGAAUGCCCUGCGGUUCGAGAAAAGAACAGCAACGACAGUACAAUACCAUGUCCUUUUGAAUAUGGAGACGAAGCUUAGCAUUGCUGUCAGGACUCAAAGAGCCACCAGCCAUGUAAGAGAAACUGUCAAUGGUUGAAUGAUUCCACAGACCUCGUUCCCACGAAUGCGUUGAAUGGCAUCGCUCCCUCCCUAUUCAUGGAUGCGUAAAGCAUCGGUUUCCACAUGAAGCACUGUAGCACAGGGCAGAUGGAUCGCGGAGGUCCAAGAAUACUUUUUUCUCUUCCCUCUUCUGGAUCAUGUUUCCGUACAGAAACAGAUCUUUUGGUACGGUGCGACGACUAGGAAUGGUGCGUCUUCGUCGUGCUUGUUUCAUGGCUCGAAGCUGAUGGAUUACUUUAUGCAGCUUGUGGUUGACAUGAAAGCCUUGCGGGAGUGAAAUGCUGACAAAGGAUGCCGCCUUUGGCUCACUUGUCCACGACAACAGAGAGAAGGUUUGUGAGAGAAGCAAACAGCACGGCGGCGUCGUCAACGAUAGCCAUCUCAAUCGAGAACGACUUAGAGAUCAUUCUCAGGCACCAACCCAGCAAAGAUGAGGAUCCAAUCAACAUGGUCAGAGCCAAUUCUCAAUCACACCAAAGAUCUUCUCUCUCCUCUCUCUUUUUCCUACUUUUUAUCUAGAAAAAUUAUCUGAUUUAGACAUCGGAAGGAUCGAGUUGAAUCCACUUAGAUCUUCGCUUAUGAGGUUAAAAUUUUCCGAAAUGCAUAUCUCACCUUUUCGGAUCCUAUCAACCGUCUUUUCUUCCUCCACCAUUAAUCAAAAUACUUGUCGAGGAUAAUUGUUACCCUCUAAAACUAGAUCGAAUUAUCUCUGUAAUUCACAUGACUUUCGGAUAUCGUUAAGAGGUCAUGGAUAUGUAUAAACAACAAUUAAAAACUGAGAUAGAACAAAGGAAAUCACUGCUGAACUCCAUUGAAUGAAUUGGAGAAGAGAUAGACUUCCAUUAGAGAGGUUCUUCACGCUUCACCGAUCUCUAAAUAGUGUUCAACCACCUUUUUGUUGGCUUAUGAUUUGACUCACAUAACAAUAACUAUGGGAGAAACCCAAAGCCGAAAAGCUUACCCAUCAACCUCGAGAUAUGACUUUUACACAUUAAUUCCUCCGAUCUAUCCAAUGAGUUCAUUCCAUGUAAUCCAAAGACGGUGCCUACUUUUGAACUUGUUUCGUUUGCUUGCUUGCCGUGUCUGAACCAAUCAACUUGUCAUUAAGCGAAGGAGAAUUAGUAGGACAUCAAACCAACACAUUCUUCGCACCACCAAAAGACCAAUAAGAAAAGCAGCACAGCUGCUUCCUGAGCUUUUGGGUCAACAAUGUGAGUUAGAAGGAUACGAAUUAGUUCGAUUCAAACAAUCCAAUAAAAAAAAAGGUCAGAAAAUUCAACUCCUAUUUGUCCCAAAGAUUGGAAGGUUGAAUAAUCCUUUUUAUAGCCACAACCAAAGGAUAUGAGACUUCAAAGAAAAAAAACAAAAAGAUCUGAUUGCAUCAGAACUUUCAGUACUAUCUAACUUGUAAAGACUAUAAAUCAUCAUAACGUAUGAAUAUACUCGACAUUUAUCAGUUUAAGCUUUAAGCUUUUGUCUGAGAUAAAAAUGGUUGUGUGUGAUGUAUCUUCAGAAGAAACAGUGCUAAGAAAAUGCUGAAAUAGAAUUUGGCAAGAGAAUAUUUGUAGAACGUCGUGAGGCUUCGAAUUGGUCACUCGAUAUCAACUUAAUUAAAAGGAAAAGAAAAGAGAAUUAUAAUUAGUUGAUGAGAGUGGAUCAUCUUCAAUCAGGCAUUGUCAAUGAGACUGCAGUGAAUGACCUUAGAGAAGCUUGGCUUUAGCUUUGCGUCGACUUCAUUGUACUGUCGAGUUGCUUCCUUCCUCUGUUUGACUUCAGAGGAAGGAUCUCUUGAAACUGAAUGAAUCAAGAAGGAUUGUCAGAACUUUAUUCAGAGAAUUAUCUUAUAGAUUUUGUACUUAUUCUUCUUACUCGAUUGGAUUGACUUGUGCUCUAAAAACUUGUUCUUGUUGUUAUAUACUGUCACUACUUGUACUUUUGGUCUUUUCUCUCCUUGUUCCUUUGUAUAAACUCCCCUUCUACAAAUGAAUAUUUCUCAUCUUUUAUGUCAAGAACAAAAACAACAUGAUUUUUGUUGAAAUGUAGGAGAAUAGAAAGACAGCUGAAGCCCAACUCUUUUCUCUUUGGUAAGAGUCUUGAAAGCAAUGAUCAGAGACAGCAAUCUAGUGCAAAUGUGGAGACUUACAUGCUACCUUUUAUGACCCAACUACUCCAGGAAAAUGGUGUAAAUGUGGUUGACUUUUGGCUGCAAAGCAUACAAGUAGAUAAUUUGACUUUUGCUAAUGAAAAUAUCUUGGAACACUGCUCACCAUGUCAACCUAAACCUACAUUACAUGCAUACAAUUCUGUGAUUAGUGAAACUAAUCCUCUAUAAAAAAUUUAUAAUCAACCAUCUUAAAUGUGUUUCUAGAAAUCUUUGUUGAUCGUAAAUUUUAUUUUGUAUUCCGAAAGACCUCGAAGAAGCGUUUUCAAAUUAGUCUAAAGAUUAAAUAGUUGACUCAUAAAAUAUUCUAAUAAAAAAUUGAUCAACAGUCAAGUCAAGAUAGACGGCAUAAUCACGGGUUCAUUGUCAAAAUAAAAAUUUAAAUCUCUAAAAAAAUUUAAAAAUAAAAUUCAGAUUUAAUGAACGAUGAUCGACCUUCAAGUAUACGAGACAAUUCUGAUUAUGACAAAAUUAAUUAAUUAUUUUAUCGAAUGGUUCCCAUGAGUUGGGCAUGGAUACACUAAUUAUUGCUAUCCAAUCUUACCUUUUUUAAGACAAAAAUUCGAUUUAAAUCUUAAUUGUAUUACACAUUCUAUUAAGAUAACAUUAAAAGCGCAACGUUUCAAUUUCCAUAAUACGUUCUGUAAUAUUCAACUUUAUAUUUAAAAGCAUAAUAUGUAUAUAUAUAUAUAUAUAUAUAUAUAUAUAAUGAUAAAAAUAUUAGCAAAUAGGGGCAUGUAAUAAAAUAUAUUAAUCUAACUCGGUCCUGAAUGAAGAGAAUGCCGUGGUGGACCGGUUGAUUAGACCGGUCCAGAUUUGGAAGCAAAUCGGUCCGGUUUUCUCUCUCUCUCAAUUUUCCCGUUUCCCUCUUAGAAGACCGAUUUAAAUUUCGAAAUCCACUCCCAUUCUUCCUCAAAUUCCCGUUUCCGGUCGAAACGAAAGCCCUCGACGACGGACGAGAAGAAAGAAGGCGAUUGCGAACUCUGAUCGCGCAGGGUUUCCGAGGAGUCUCCCGUCAUCUCCCUCGAUUGCUCCACCCCAUGAAGCGCUCCAAGUUCCGCGUCAUCGAACAGGUCCUGGGGUUCUUCGAAUCCGUGCUGAUGAGUUGCUUCUUCGGUUGCUUUCGGAUCAAAGAUGAUGCUCGGAGGAAGACCGAUUCAUGCGCCAAUUCGAUCUCCUCCGAGGACAGGGUAUGAGAUGCUUGUCCGUUCUUUGUUUGUUCGAAUCAUGUGUCUUUCACUGGUAUUUAUGGGGUGUUAUUAUGUGAUCUAUUAGGUUUCUUUGGUAUCAACAAAGGAGCUUGCGUCUGAUUCCUUGUUUCGAGGUAAAUGUCUGAUCCUUGAAAGGAAAGAUAGUUAUUUUGAAUGGUUUGUGGCUUGAAUCUCGACUUUAACUUCUCUAACAAAUCCUGAACUUUCUCGGUCAGAGCAAGAAGCAUAUUCGUGUGUCGUGGAGAAUAUUGAAGAAAGUAGCUUUCAGAAGGAUCUUGAGAUUCAGGUGUGCAACUGCGAUCCCGUUUGUUCUUGAAUAGGAUUUGUUGCAUCGAAUCUGCUCACUUUAGACUGAUAUUGCCAUCAUGGAUUGCAUGUGUGGAUGAAGCAGCAAGUCUUGUUUACCAUGUCACUAGGCAUCAAUUUUGCUAGUUUAGUUCAAUCACGUACUGAUAUGAACGCCUCGUGCAUGCUUUGGAUAGUUGAAUUUAUUAAUUGAUUACAAUAUUAUGAUUACUUUUACGUAUAAUUCAUGUAAACCAACUACUCUACUUGUACUCUGUUCUUAUUAAGAAAUGUAUUUCAUGGCCUUCAUGUCGGAUUUAUUAUUGAGGAUAAUGUUACAAAGCCCUGGGUUUCCUUGCAUUUGAGUCUUUAACUUGUUAUGUUAUGUUAACCCUAUCAUAUGCAUUUGGGUCUUAACUUGUUUUGCUUGAUAAUUGGCUAAAUAUCAUAUUCUUAUUGCUUUGAUUUAUACAACAAUCAUUUAGUUUUUCAAGUUAACUGAAGAAUGACACUAUUUUUUUGAUGAAUUAUUGCCAGGCUAAAUUUCUAAAGAAUUGUGGUGCACUAUCAAAAAUUCCUGAAGAAAUACUGAGAACGCCAAACAAAAUAUUUUCUCAGGCAUCUAAGGAUGAUUCGUCUCUUAAUUUCCCCUUGCGACUUCCUGGAUUAUACGGAAUGGAUGAUAAUUUGGACGAACAGAGUGAUCCAAGAGCGCACAGCGUGGAGAAACUGGACGAUAGUUUUGGACUGUCAGAAAAUGAAUUUGAAGGGUAAAAAUUUUUCUUCCCUUCUUAUAGGUUUAAAUAUCUACAAGUUCUAUUAUUUAUUUAAUUUUAACCUUUAGUGCUGAUGAUUAUACUUUUGAAUGUUAUGUAGCUCUAUCUUAGAGGAACAAGAGACAGUAAGGAAGGUUCUGCAAUUUGAUGUGAAUAAGCGUCUAUCUCAAGUAGAUCCUGCGCCGGAUCUUGUUAAUUUGGAUAUUUCUCCUUCUCGUGGUGAUAGCAAGCCUCAAAGGGUUGAUUCUAGUGAUUCACCUUAUCCUACUCCAUUGAAUUUAACCAAUGAAAUGCAGACCCCUGGAACAGUUUAUCCAGUGAAUCUGGAUAGUCUUAGAACCGGAAAGCACACCAGGAUCCGCACGCAAUAUGUAUAUCCUGUUUUGAAGCCUGUGGAGAAUUUGCCUCAGUGGGAUGCACUGAGACGAGGCUCUUGCCAGCAUGUUCAGUCGGAUGAUUCCUUUGAGCAGCAGUUGAGUUCCAGAACAGAUAGUGUAGAGAGAAGAAACAAGGUUUUCCUGACUCCAGCUCGUCAGGAUUCACAGUUUAUCAAUUCAUGGUUGCUAUCUUCCCGUGGAAAGAAAAAUCAAGAUGGAGACAGAAUCUUUACAGAGAAAUCUGUUGACAAGAUAAUGCCACCUGACUUGACACUAAUUUCAAGUGGCAGAGAUCGAGUAGACGUUGAACCAGAUACUCCAGAGCUCAUAAUCUCAAGCUUAUCUCGGUGGCUGAAGCCGAAGCCUCUUAAAAAUAGGAAUUUUGAUGUUACUGCCUUCAUUUCUAAUGAACAGUCUUGUCCUGUGAUGAAUUUUGAUGCUGAGAGGCCUAUAAUCGGAACUGUUGCUGCACAUUGGACUGACGACGAUGCCUGUUCUAAUUCCCAUGGGCAUUGGAAUGGUAAUGGAAUUCCAAAUUCAACAACCAAGUAUAAGGAGGUACUUAUUCUUUAGUUUUGUUUUACAACAAGUGCUUCGUUGUGAUGAAGGUUUAAAAUAAAUUCUGUUCUCAUUAUUAGGAUCAGCGAGUUAGUUGGCAUGCGACGCCUUUCGAAGAAAGAUUAGAUAAGGUUUUAUCUGAUGAGAAGCUUUUGCCUCAAAGGUAUAUUACACCAUAUGUAAUUCAAGCCAUCUGUUUGUUUUAUUUAGUUUUUCUAAUCGCAUGCUUAUGGUUUUCAGGAAGCUUCUAUAUAGGGAACCAAUAGAGUCAGAGGACUAGUACUGUGGCAACCUAAGAAGAUUGAGCAUGCUAUAGGAGUUUUGAGGAGUCCAAUUGUCUUGCAAAUUGAUAACAGAUUGUGGAAUUGGGAUAGCAUAUUCUUGCACUCAUUCAGCACAACUGCUUGUUCAAUCGAGUCUGGAUUUACUUUUGUUGUAUAUUGACAUCCUUCAAAAGCUUACUGGUCAGUCAACAAAUGUUUACAUCUUGGUAUCAGGUUAACCUUAUUGCUGUUAUACUUGACUGCAGUACAUCAGAAAUUGAUGCUGAAGAUCUGUAUAAACUUGGGCCAAGUUUUAUUUUUUUAAUUAAAGUUACCAAAAUAUUUCUGAAUUAGGCUUUUCUAAUGUUUCUUGAUUUCUCAAGUUAAUUUUAAAUUCAGAUUCUGAGGUUUUGAGUGCAAAUACGGACAGAUUCACUCCAUAUUGAUUCGAUUACUUGUGUGUGGUUUUCCAUUCGUCUUCAGUACAAUAUGGAAUUAUGCUGUUGGAAGGAUUCUGAUGGCUUACAGUGUAUCAAAUCUUUGUUCCUGUAGUUAUACCCAAGUAGAUUGCAUGUUGCUCAUACUAUACACAUGCUUCUAGUCUUUUUUUAAUUUUAAAUCAGCUUGAUCAUUCAUCAGGCAAUCCAAUCUAAAAUUGUUUUAAUGUAUCCAUAGCUUUUGAUGAUGAUAUUAACAAGUUUUGCAUGAAACAGUGUUCUGUAACUGCUCAGGCAUGCUUUGUUUCUUCAUGAUUAAUUAGCUUUUAGGCUAAUUGAAGUUGGGUGAUUACACAUCAAAUAAUGGAUUAAGAAAAAUGGUUGACAUUUUUUCAAUGCCAAAUAAUAAAUUCAUAUAGGAUACUCUAUAUAUACUUGAAUGAGAUUUUUGCUUCGGUGAAGCUACGAGAAUUAUUGAGAUAAUUGUCCUACCCAAUUGAUAUCGAUGCUUGUAUGAAGGUAAAGUUUGUUGUUUGACAUGUUGUUAGCUGUAGGGAAACAUGAACAGGCCUUGCUAGGUACCACUUCUUAAAAAUCUGCAGUCUGUGCAGAUAUGUUGGUUCAUGAAUGAAGAUUCUUUUCCUUUUUCAUUUCUUUCUUCUCUUGCUUUAUGUGCUAUGAAGGGUUGUAAAUUUGGAAUUGGAUUCAUUUUUAAACUUAAUCAUGUAACAAGGUCAUGAACCAGCACUUGAUGUAUACCAGACCUAAAUCUGCAGUUUGUGCAAAUGGCUUGAAUUCUGGUUGAAUAUUUUCUUUUUGUUUCUCUUGCUCAAUAUGUUCUGUUUCAAGAUGUAGCCUCAGAGAAUGCAAAUUCUGAAUUGUUCAGAUAGCUACUCUCUUGUCAUUCUUUCACUUGCUGUGGUGUUCAAUAUCUUAGCAGGAACAGAAGCAUUACCUGCAACCUGCAUGCUUGAAAUUGGAUAGCACUCACCAUGUAUCAUGGCACCAGAAGGAUUUUUGCCUCUCAGCACAGAUCUUGCCAUUGAAGCACAUACUGUAAUAGUUAGACAUAUAUUUAUAUUACUGUGAAGAUAGUACAAAUUGAGACUCUUGUCAAGCCACAAAAUGCCCAUUGUAAUGCAAUUAUGUGACCAGGUUACAAAGUUUCUGCAUUGAUAAAUUACCUUUUAGAGUGAUCAGAUCAAUGAAACUAAAUGUCAAAAUUUUAUUUUCCAGCAUAUGGUGAGAUAUACAGAAAUGAAACUAUGACAAAUAUCAUACAAGGGGUCUUUGAAAUAUGAGCAUCACAUGGUCAAACAUUGGCCUUAAUGAAGUAAGCCUUUGCCAGAACUACCCAGCUAGAGAUAACAAGGAUGAGAAUCCAAUGAACUCUCACCACUCCAAAUCCAACAAAACCUCAAACAUGGUGGAACACAACAUAUCCUAUAAGCCUUAGGUUAGCAAAGGGGUUGGAAGAGGUGAAGUCCCCAAGUCCUUGUCCACAAAACUCAGCCAUAGGAAGGAUUCAUUUGGCUACAGUACAAAGGGCAGCCAUGUGCCUCUCUCUCUCUAUUGAUCAUAUGCAGAGGCAUGUGGUCCCUCUUUUGAGGGCUUUGCCCAUGUCUCUAAUGGCUGUCAUCUGCAUGACACUGGAACCACCCUUGGGAAAAGACAAGCCUACAUUAAUCCAUGCACAAGACACUAAGCUAAUUGGCAUUUGGAGCUUCGAUGCUGUCACUGACAUUGUUAUCUCAAUGUCUUUAGGGGGUUCCUGUUAGAAGAAAUCUUUCUUUUUGGACAUUGGACAUGCACAGAUGGACUGUUGUCCAUAGGAACUGCUCAAGAUAGAUGACAAGCUGAACAGAGUAUGUUUCAAGAGGGUUUGCAUCCAUAGAUCAAUAACAAGCACGACAAGAGCACAAACUAGUACACUAUACCAUAUUUGCUGCUCUACUACUGUUGCUUCUGUCCAGCCAGUAUACAAAGCCUUCAUGAUCAUCUUCGAUCGUGAGGUCCUCAUGUUGUAAUCAUACGAUGUUUGCCUGUGUAGGGGGGAGAUGGAAGAACUUGUUUCGUUUCUCUUUUACUGCAAGCAUUUAAUGAAGUGAACAUUACACAAGCCAAACAAGGACGAUUUGCUUACAUCAAAUGAGAGAUGCACUCAGACAGCCAAAGAGGUCCUCACAUCUUUGCUCACGUAACUUUGUUUUGCAUGAUGUCCUCCCCGUCGAUGUUGUUCUGUAGUUGCUGCUGCUGAUGAAACCAACAAAACCAUUCCAUCAGCAAUGGCUACUAUUGCUGUAAUUUCUAAAACAAGUUUUUGUUAUGAUGUUGUAGUUGUAUCAUCUCGAGGGAAGAACUUUUGUCUGUGUUAUUGAGUUUUUGUCUCGAGUUCGGGUAACGCAGGAUCGCGUUAGAUCAGUGACGACCAGCGUAAAACUAUGUCGGAUUGAAUAUAAGAGGAGUGUCUGUCGAUAUCGUUGUUUUGUAGAGAGACCAGAGUCACUGUCACUAGCUGUAGGAAGGGACCGAAAGGCCACCAAUAGAUAGAUACACUGAAGUAAUAUAUUGCAAGAAGAGGGGGAUUCUUGGUGACGAGGUGCAUUUGUAUGAGGAUAUAGAAGAGUCCUCUGGGCUGCAACCACCAUGCAUGGCUUGCGAUGGAGCAGACUCUCUCAUCUGCUUCCUACCUCUACCACCCUGUGGUGGUGGCAUGUCAAAGCCCACACUUCUCUUUUUUCCCUCAUCAAUCUUCUCAUUUUUGGUUCUCACACCCUCUUCUCCCCCCCAGUUCUUGCCUUAUAAUUCUCUUUGUUGGUGUGAGAGGUUGAAGCUGCCAGCAUGAUCUGGUCCAGAGUUGUUGUUUCAUGGUUCAGACUUUAGAGCUCCCAUAAGCAUUAGCUGUAGGAAGAUUACUCAGCCUGAUCAUGGUGAUGGGAUCAAAACCAGUAGAUGUUAGAUUAGCUUCCAUUCCACCAUGAGAGAGUGAGGAAGAAAGAGAAAGAUGACCAGUUGGUUGGACUCCAUCAGAUCAUCUGGCAGUUUCAAUCACUCACUCACCAACAGAAGGUUUCACUUUCUGGUUCUCCUCAUGACAGGCUGAAUGCUUGCUCAUAAUUUGCAGAGAAAGCUCACAAAAGGUACAAACUAUCUGCAAAAGUAUUCUCAAUCUUUUUCUUCUUUUGAUUUCUUUUUACAUACAUAAAAUCAAGCUGUUGAUUUUUCCAUCCUCACCAUUCUCUGUCAGCAAUGAAUCAUAAUUGAAGUUAAUAUACAGUCAAGAUUCAUGCAUGUAUACACAUUAGCAACAGAUCCACCAAAUCACAUCUCUGAUACAGACAGACUAUAGGGUUGGAUGAAAACUCUGUGCUCUGUUCCAUGGUUUAGAGAAUAGAAAAGGAUGAGACAGAAGGCAUAUUAGUACACAGGUAAAUUUUGGUGGUGUCCACUCAUGCCCACAUAUGACAGAAUGUAAUGGACAUGUAUAAAAAAUAACACCAUUCCAUAUUGUUGAAAUCUCAUCACUGGUGUUUCAGAAUUCUAGGCAGACACUAUCAUCACCAUAUCCAUCAGUCUGCCCCCAUCAGAUUUUGACACCACAUAUAUGUAGCUGUGAAUUCAUUACAAUUUUAUCGGGGGGGACGAUAUAAUAAUGAUACAUAAGACCUAAAGGUAAGGUAUUUGAGUAGUAUCAAGUGAACAUUCAUGUUUUAGUAGAUCACACAAGUUUUACUCAUUGUUAGAAUGCAGAUGAGUCUCUGCAUACAUGUAAAUUAUACUAAACAAUCUUACAGAUCCAAUUUGGUGGUGAGAGAAGCUACUUUCAUUGUUGUCAGCAAACUAAAAUGCUAUUGGACUCCAUGACCAUCAGCACUAUCACACAGUGGUUGGAGCAGCAUAAAGGGAGUAAGUGAAUUACUGCUCACUUCAGUAAUCAUACACAGUUUUCUUGGCAAUUGUUUUUGUGUUCAGCUUCUGAACCUGAAGAACAAGCAGAAGAUUAAUUCAGAAUGUCUUGCCUAAUAGUCCAAAAUUGUGACUGUUAUCCUAGCUGGCCUUCUAACCCCAUUGUCUUCUCAAUAAGAUCAUAAACUUUUGGUACCCAAAAGAUUUGACAUAUGGUUGACCUCCCUGCUGACCCUGGCUUCUCAAUGUAUCAGCAUAACAAUCUGUAAGACACUCCUGAUCCUUGUUUCUUUUCACUUGGGGAGUUCCAAGGACUUGGAUCAGUGAGUAAUCUCUCCUAGCAUUCUCCAGGAAGAAAAGACAAAUUGAAGGUCCUGAUAGUGAUCCAAAUCCUUGUGUAUCAUGGUGUCUAAAUAUUUCGAAGAAACGCGGAAAAAUAUUGUUCUCCCAAUGCAGCCAGUUUCAGUUUUUCAGUCUAGUUUGAGUCAGGUGAGGUAAGGAUCGAGGUGAUUAGGAGUGAGUUGGACUGGUUUGUGAAACUAAUGUGUUCUUAUAUUUUUGCAGCAAUCUUUAAAUGAAGGAAAUGGCUAAUUAAUCCAAUACAAAAUGGUUCAUCUGAAGAAAGAUUAGGCAAUGCAGAUGAAAAUGAAGCAGACACAUACAUAAUUAAAGCAUGAGACAACAACCUUUUUCCUGGAUACACAAAGAUCUGCUGUUUGUUGUGUAUGCUGCAUAUGCAGCAGCAUUCUGCAAGAAAAUAUUAAUGCUUAUAUUCCAUUGGCAGACAUUGCUGCAUCAACUGUGGCAGUUCUACUGUUCCUCAUAAUGCUAGCAAUUCAUGUGUUUCUCAAAAGAAAAACAAUCCAUGUGCCUUUGUUUGCUGCUUCAGUUCCUUCCACAAUGCCAUGGUUUCCCUGUUGAAAUCACACAGGUGGAUUUAUUCUGCACCUUUUUUUUCUAGUUAUGGAUAGUAAAUAGGAAACCACAAAACCUAGAGAACAACAUACUGCAAGGACAUCCUGCUCAUCAACCCCAUCCCUACCAGAUGAACUGAUGAGCUUCCUCCACAUCCACAACAAUAAGCCAACUCAGAAGAACAUCAUUCUAUUGCUCAAAAGAAAGCUCUGAUUUCUUUUGCUACAUUGGCAAUUCACUGUGACUUAGUUAUGAUGAUACUCGAUCACACUUAACUUGGAAUUAUGUGUGUUAAGUGAAGGAAGAAAGAGAACAAAAAUAUAGAAGAAGACCAAUAGAUCUCAGUUUCUCAUCCAUGUUUUAAGCUUCUCAUUGGGAACAUGAGAUCAAUCUUGCAGAAGGGUCGGAUGAACAAGAAAACAGAACUCUUUAACACCAACCAGAACAAGUUUCAGAAUAUUAGGAAGAAGGAUGGUGAGGACACAUGAAUUCAGCUAAAAAUUCAGGCCUGAAUGAAAUGUCAGCAUCAUGAUGUCUCAAGAAUGUCGUGUUCUUCUCCUUGGAUACAUGUUGGCAAAGAGCAUGAAGGGACAUGUGUGUGGUAGGAGUUGGUGCAACAGGUCUUGAUAACACCACCAAUUAGCCCUAAGCAAGCAUGUGGUUUGCCCCUCCUUGCCUCACAAAGCCACUGCAACCCACAGACUCCUUUCGCUACCAAAAGAUGUUGGUGUUUCAUCUCAGAAACAAAAGCGUCUUCGUUUUUCUACUCACUCAUCACUGAUUGUUGCGGUUUGGUUUGGUUUGGUUUCCAUCACCAUAGCCUAAAUGAUUCGGACAGUCGUAAUAUGUUGCCAGUGGCUGCACAUCUCCACCUUAUCUUCGUCGUCUCCCACCCACCCAUCCAUCCAUCUACCAUCGGAUGGCUGCUGCCCGUCUUCUCUUUUCCUUCCUUCCUCCUUCAUCCUCUUCCUCUUCCUCUUCCUUCUAAUCGAUACUGGUCUGGUCUUGCUUACCAUCAUUACUGCAGCGUUCAUCAGCUUCGGGUACCAACCUGCAGGAUCUUGGCAAGCAAGAUACAGAGAUUACAGUGAGCAUCACGCUGACACCAACCUGUGCGUUUCUAGAUGCAAAUUCAAUGGUUCUUGUGAUAAGCAUCUGUCACAAGAACACACAUAGUGUAGAGGAUGAUCACCAAGAGGCAAAGCACAUUCAAUGGCUCUGACAGGUGAUAAAAAGAGUUUUCAGGAUCAUCCUAUUGAAUUGAUGAUGACGAGGAACUGAAGUGUUGAAUGAAAAGAAGAAGUCUUCCUUCUUUCUUCUGCUUGAUUAACAAAAUCUUCAAAGAUGGUCAACUCCAGAUUACUUUACCUGUCGUGGGCUAAUUCUUCCUUCCUUGUGUGUUCUUACUGGGCUACUACUAUGUUCCCACUGCAUCAACCAAUCACAGUGCUUUUGAUCUUAAUCAUUUUGAUGUAAAAUGUAACAUGUAUAGAGCAUAUAUAUAUAUAUAUAUAUGUAAAAUGUAAUCAUAAAAUGUAAGAUAUAUAUAUAUAUAUAUAUAUAUAUAUAUAUAUAUAUAUAUAUAUAUAUAUAUAUAUAUAUAUAUGGAAAAAGUUGACCUUUUUAUUUGGGAUUUGGAAGAAUAAUAUUCAGAUUUUUUUUUGACAUUUUUGUGAUUAAUUAAACAAAGAAAAAGAACAGAAAAAAAAGGAAGCCUUACGAAGCACAAACGAACAAAAGAAACGAGAAUGCUUCCGCAUUCAGAUAUUGUUGGAGACAUUCUCGAUCGUUCGUCUCUUAUCACACGCUCUCUCGCUCGCUCGCUCUCUCUCUCUCUCCCUCCUCGGUAUCACCUUCCCACAUAUAGAUAUGGGAACGUGCAAUUGAUUCUUGCUUCUUUGGUUCCCUUCACAAGCUCGGUGUCAUCCAUGUCAGUCGCUUCUCCUCCAUGAUUCUUCACAUUCUUUUUCUCGUUUUGACGUUGGAUUACGCCUGAAGCGGAGCGGGGGAGAAAAAUGUCGCCUUUUUGCGCUUUAAUCUUUUCUUUCAUUGUUGAUGUUGCCUCCACUGAUGGUCACUGUGUGGCCGGCGACGCUGCGGUUUUCUUCUGAUGAAGCUGUUACGACGAGUCUGUCGAGCAUUUUGGGAUUAGUUUAUGUUUAGUGUCAUGCACGAUCUGUCUGCGCGGAAUGUGUUCUCGAGGUGGAAUCUUUGUCGUGAAAACAAUACAAAAAGGGCUAUUUUCCCCUCUUUUAUUGGGUAAAUAAGCCAUCAGCUUGCGUUGGGAACGGCUACCUUAAUAAUAGCUGUAAGGUGAUCGAUCCCUUAGCUCUGAAAUUAUGGGGGGUCAAGACAUGAUUAGGAGGUUGAAGAACCCUUGUUGAUGAUUUGCUUGGGCCAUGCAAAUGAGAACCGGACCCUUUUUGCUUUAGAUUUUAUGCUCUUUCGAACAUAGAAAGCAAGAACAUUUGUCUUUUGUCUUCUUGUAAAGAUUUGUAAUUCUUUAGUUGAGACUGUGGGAAAAGCAGAGUUCGGGCUAGAAAACAGAGAACAUUAGCUCUCUGUGCUGCAGUAUGGGAUCAUAGCCCUGUGGCCUGGUGCUGCAUACUGGUUCAGAAAUCAUGGCAUCUUAUUAUCUAGUUAACAGAAGAUAUGAUAUUGGUAAUAUGGUUUCUUAAGUCUAAGAUCUUCAAAUUGUUGAUAUCUAGUUUACCAACUUUCUGUAAUGCCCUAUUAUGGAAAUGGGUUAUCCACUAGAAAGCUUAUUUCAUGGACUACCAAAGUAUUUGGAAUCAAUCUGUUUAAUUAUGAUUUGUUUUCUUGGUACCCUUUCUUGUAGGUUUACCAUUGAGGCUGUCUUGAAUGGUCCAUUUCCAAGAUCAAGAUUCAGCGUAAGUGGCUCCGAAAGGACUUUAAGACAAAGAGGCAAGGAUCCCAGCAUCACUCUUGGGGAAGAGAGAAAACAGAAUAUUUUUCUUGACAAACGUGGGAAAUGGAGAAUCUCUAAUCCCAAAAAGUUGUCCAGGAAAAAGGGUAUGACAAUAUAUUUUCUGCAACCGAGAGAACAAUCACUGUAAAACUGUUAUAUCUUAAUUUUGCAACCUUGCAUACCACAAAGCUCCUUUCGUUUGUACAAUUAUAUAGUUUUCUAGUUUAAUGUACCUCAGAAACACCUACUUCUGAUAUUAUUUUGGGGCAAGAUGUUGGUGAAUUGCCCAAUGCAGUGGCAUCAAAUUAAUUGGUACAUGAUAACUUUCAAAGUCACAGCAGUUUAACCUGAUCGAUAGAAGCUGCUUGGAAUAGCCAAUAAAAUUUCACUGGACUUUUGGAUAGAACUUCUCACAUGUACAUAAAUUUAUAUUUAUGUGCCUUUUUAGUAAUAGUUAAAUUUGAUUUCAUUGUGUUCUUGGCAAGCUUAGUUUGAGAUCACAUCACAAACUUUUUGGUAACAAUUUGCACUACAUUAAUCUUUUUUCUUAUUAGGUGGUUCGCUAAGGGGACGGGGAUGGAAAUAUGGAUCUGGAUUUGUAGAUGGAGUUUUCCCUGUCCUGAGCCCCAUGGCUCAGCAGAUUCUAAAGUUUGUACAGAGGGAAUCCGAUGCUGCCAAAAUUUGGGCUUCACUUGACACUCUCCCUCCUACUCAUAAUUUGUGGGAUGAUCUUAUUAGUAUAUCUGUUCAGCUUCGUCUCAACAAACAUUGGGAUCCUAUUAUCUCCGUAAGGAUCAUCUUCCAUUUUGUUAUUGAAACUCUUGUUUUCACUCAUUUCACCUGUGAAUUAAUGAUGCGUUAGAUACAUAUUUGUUCAUGUUAUCCAAACCUCCUCCUUACUUUUUCAUAGUUAUUCAGUAUUUUUUCUGAUUUGGUUGAUCACCUGGUCACCGUUUAAUUGACAUUCUACUUUCGAGGACAGUGUGUCAGCUCCUGGCACAUAUUCUGAUUUAUACUCUGGAUCAAAAAUUCGUAGUCCCAGAAGGGCUGCUGGAUUGGAUUCCAAUUUUGAAUCAAUUAGCCCAUGUACACGAGUAGUUCUUUUGUUAGUCAGAAACAAUGUCCUGUGUAUUUAAUAUAUGCCGAAUAUAUCUAAAUUCUUAUUCUUUUGAUCACACAUCACAAAGGUCUUUACAUAUUUGCUUUUCUUUUCUGUUCAUGUCUGAAGAUUUAACUUCUUGGAAUUGUCAUAUCUAGGUCUGUGAGUGGAUACUGUACAAGAGUUCCUUCCAUCCUGAUGUACUGUGCUACAACUUGCUUAUAGAUGCAUAUGGCCAGAAGUUGCAACACAAGAAGGCAGAGUCAGUUUACUUGCAGCUUCUUGAAGCUCACUGCAUCCCAACUGAGGAUACUUAUGCUCUUCUCUUGAGGGCUUACUGCACAUGUGGAUUGCUUGAGAAGUGUGAGGCUGUCCUUACUGAGAUGCGAAAGAAUGGCACUCCUCCGGGUACAUCCCUUCUUCGAUGAUAUCCUUUUGGCACUGAAUUAUAACACUUGGUUGCUCUAGAUAGUUUUCGGAGGUAUUUACGUAUUGCUCAAUUUGUAUCUGUUCUGUAAAGAUCUUCUGAAAGCUAUGAAGUCACGAGUUUAUGCAGAAAGAGCAUCAAUUUUGGUCAGGUGCGGUUGUAUAUAAUGCAUACAUGGAUGGGUUGUUAAAGGGAAGGAACACUGUAAAGGCUGUGGAGAUCUUUCGGAGGAUGAAGAGUGAUCAGUGCCGGCCAUCUACAGACACAUAUACAAUGAUGAUUAACCUGUAUGGGAAGGUAAUGUUUCGGUGCGUCAAUUUGUUUAUCCAAUGCAUGCAAAUCCAUCCCUUUCUCGUAUAUUUUUGAUGGAUUUAUUCUUGCAAUGGCAGGCUAAUCAAUCAGCUACUGCCUUAAAGGUUUUUGAUGAAAUGAAAACUGAAAAGUGCAAGCCAAAUAUAUGUACAUAUACUGCUUUGGUCAAUGCAUUUGCAAGAGAUGGACUUUGUGAGAAGGCAGAAGAAAUAUUUGAGGAGCUACAAGAAGCUGGACAUGAGCCUGAUGUUUAUGCAUAUAAUGCCCUCAUGGAAGCAUACAGGUAAAAUUGAUGAUCUUAAGAUGAUCCUCUGUAAUUAGAGUCAAUGAUCAUGCAGUUAGUGAGCCUAUGAGUUUCCGAUACAAAAGCCGUGCAGGUUUUCCAUUUGGUUCCUAUGAGAUCUUUACUCUGAUGCAACACAUGGGAUGUGAACCAGACACAGCUUCAUACAACAUUAUGGUUGAUGCAUUUGGAAGGGCUGGUCUUCAUGAGGGUAAGAGCAUUUUUCUUGAUAGUGGCAUAUGUUAUGAGUUCUUCCUUUAUUUUGUUGUGGUGUCUAACAACAUAGAUUAUGCUUACACAAUUACAUAUAUAGAAUAAUUUACUUGUGGUCUCCAUGCUGGAUAGUCGCUGCAAUUGGGAACUAAUUUUGAUCAUUAAUAAUCAUUUGUUUCAUUUCCUAAUUCUAAUAUACAUCUGCAAUCAGCAAGCUUCUUGGUCAUUGUUAUCACUCUGCGCUCCAACAUUCCUUGAUGCAUUGAAGUAAUGGAAAAUAAUCAACUUACUUUAUUACUUGGAAGAACUAAACGAAUUUACUAUGCAUCUAUAGGCUUUUAAGCUUUUAGAUGGAUUGGUGGUGACGGAAAUUUUAUAAUUGUCACAACUUUUCUGCAGAAGCCGAGGCUGUGUUUGAAGAACUGAAGCAACAAGGCAUGACACCAACCAUGAAGUCUCACAUGCUGCUCCUUUCAGCCUACUCAAAGGCAGGAAACAUCCCCAAAUGCGAGUUCAUCAUGAACCAGAUGCACAAAUCUGGUCUCAAGCCCGACACCUUCGCGCUGAACUCGAUGCUGAAUGCCUACGGCAGGGUCGGUCGCUUUGAGAAGAUGGAAGAAGUGCUGACCGCAAUGGAGAACAGUCGGUUAGAAGGGGACAUCAGCACCUACAACAUCUUGAUCAACAUCUACGGUCGGGCGGGAUUCCUCAGCAGAAUGGAGGAGCUCUUUCGGUCCCUCGUGAGCAGGGGACUGAAAGCUGAUGUGGUGACAUGGACUUCGAAGAUGAGCGCAUAUGCGCGGAAGAAGCAGUACAAGAGAUGCUUGGAGAUCUUCGAAGAGAUGAUUGAUGCGGGCUGCUAUCCCGAUGGAGGGACCGCCAAAGUGCUGCUCGCAUCUUGUACCACGGAUGAGCAGAUCGAGCAAGUUACUACUGUAAUUAGAUCAAUGCACAAGGAGGCAAGGAAUGUGUUUGAUAUAUGACAGUUUAAUCCAGUAAUCCAUGAGAUAUAUGCACACUGUAAUGACACUACAGACAGUUUCUCCUCUUGUUCACGAACUCAAAUCAAAUUUGAGUUGGAUCCAUUUAAACAUAGAUUGCUUUGUGGGGGUAAGACUAGGUAUUUUGAUCCUUUUCCAGAUCCCGUAUUGACGACAACAUAGAUAGCUUCUGACAGUAUUGGCAAGAACAAUAUCCAUUUCCUAAGCUCUGCAUGGAGACAUGUUUCAACAACUAAGAGAGAAGGCAUCAUCCAUUCAACAAUUCUAUGGAGAGCAAACUAGAAAAGGCAAGCAUACACUUCCACGGAAAACAGUUUCGCAUCUCUGUAGAUCAUUUUGCAAAGGUUCACUAAGUAAACAUGAAGAACAACUUAUUCUGGGUAUUAACAUUUUGAUAGUCUCCAGCCAUUGGACUGAACAGAGCAUGGCUUUAGCAAUAACAUACUGAUAUCUCAUGAUACCAACCAUGAAGAAGAUAAAAUCGGAAGACAAGUUUUGGAGAAGAUAAUGAGCAAGGAAGCAUCUAUAGCAGCAGUUGAGUUAUCCAGGAGGCCAUUUCAACUGCCUUCCACCAAGUACGUGCAAAUGUAGAUGAUAGACUGAUUGACCUGAAAGCAGAAUGACAUGAUCAUGAUGCUGCGGACAAGCCAUAGAUAUCAACAAUCUGUAAAGAAAGAUUGGAGAGACUUACAUGCUUCAGGACCGUUGUUGAUAACAACACGGAAACCAUCUACUAUACCUUCCUUCUCAGCCACUAGUUUUGCAGCAAAUAGAAGAUGACCUAAUACCUCAGCAUGCCUUGGUUCAGCCUGAACAAGUUCGUGAACAUGUUUAAACAUGCAGCCGGGAUAGAAGCUUAUCGAGACAAUACAUAGAUAAAAAUUAAAAAAGACAAUCACAUGUUUAAAAAAUUCUGCUUCAGCACCUCAGAGAAUAAAAAAUCAAUCUUGUAAUAAAUUAGUUCGACAACAUAUACUCAACACAUGAUACAAGAAAUUGCUAUCCAUCCUUCAUUGUGAUUCAUUGCUUUUAUAUACUUAAGUAUCAAAACUGUUCAACAAAAUAAAAGGUAAAGAAAUAGGUCAAGCAGUUAAGUAAGCAGUCAGUCAGGUUGUUACUAAUUUCUAAAGAAGUGGUGACCGAUAAAAUGAAAGGCAACAUGAUGAUGUCCACCUAUGUUAAUUUAUUAAAUGCAGAUGAUCUGUCUAGUCCUUGUUCAGUUAGAUGUUUCAUGGUCUGAUGUCUGCAAGUGUAUGCCCUUUAACCUUCUAACAAUCAAGAGUAGCAUGGCACCAAGCAUCUCACAACGAGAACCCAAUUGCUUUGAUGUAGAAACUAGAAAGUAAUAAUUUUAGUUAAUUGUGGCACAUAUAAACUCAUAAAAGUGGUCAUUGACUGGCUAGUAAUAUACACCUUUUUACCUUCAUUUGAAGCAAUAAAUCUUAUAAAAUACAAUAUAAUACAACAUGGACACAGUAAUUAUUGUAACUUUAUACUUCUUACAUUGUAGCAAUCUCUGAUCGAUCAUACUGUAUAAAACUCAAAAGAAGCAUCACUACCAUUCGUGUAACUAACAAAUUCAGCAAGUGGUAACUUAAAAGUUAUCAAUUACCUACAUAUUGCCAAUUCCCCAUAUAUGCUAAAGCUUUAUGUAUAUGAUGCAAGUGUCCAAGCUACGUGCGAUAUAUUAAAUGUGCAUGGUACAAUAGUCGUAAUAUGUUUGAACUUUCAAACAUGUGUUGAAGACUGUCUGAUAAACAUCAUUGCAGACACAAACAUUUGAAAUUGUUACGCACACUGCAGAUGCUAAAGCUUUAUGUAUAUGAUUUAAGUAUCCAACCUAUGUGUGAUAUAUUCAACGUGUAUGGUACAAUAGUCGUAAUAUGUUGAACUUUGAAACAUGUGUCAAAUACUGUCUGAUAAAUGAAAUUGGCAGACAGACACAAAAAUUUGAAAUUGUUAUGCCUCGUAGGUGCAGUAUGUGGGCCAGCGACUAAGGAAGGCAUUUAUGAUUUCAUAACAAGUCAAAAAACCUAGUUCAAAGAAAAGUAUCAGAUGAGCAUAGAAAUAUAUUUCUAAACAAACGUGAACUCCAAAAACUGACAUAACAAAAUUGACAAGUCAAGGAAAAUAGUUUUUCUAUCUUUAAGUUAUGCACAAAAUUCAAGAGCCUCUAGGAGAGUCAUAACAAAAAAUAUAUUGAACAACACGGUAAUUUAUAAACUUAGAGAAUAACAACACAACAUGGGCUAAAAUUCAACGGUAAAGUAUUAUGAUUUUGUCAUCUGCAAUUUAACGGUGCAGGAAACUAUACUGUGUGGAUAAAGGAGUUGUAGAUGCAGAACGCCAAGCUCCCAGUUAUAAAAAAUAUAUCAGGAGGUUAAUGUCCCAGUGUAUUAGUAUUCUAUUCUCAUAAAUAAUUGUGGAAACAAGUAAUUCACAAUGAUCUUAGGGGCUUAACAAAGAAGAUGGGAUGACAUGUUACCAAAAACCAUUGAAGCAGGAUAUUUUUUCCUUGCAUGAGAAAUGAAGCAACAGAUUUGUUUACAGGAUUCAUUGGAAAACCUCUCAAAAGAUUAUUGAUUAUAGCUAUUCCCUGUUCAUGCUGUCUUGAAAUCUAUCAUCUAGUUUGACAGUAGCUUUAUCAGAGAUUUAUUCCAAACCUUCUAGUUAAGUUGCUCCCGUAUUCUUGUAUCUAGAUCAUCUUAAUGAGCUCUUAUGACUACUUACAGCUGUUAUUACAGCAAAGUGUAUGGAAAAAUUCGGAUUGAGGUCUCUAAAUUUUCAUUAGUAAAGAUCUAAACCAAGGCAAUGGUUAACUAAAUCAGAGGCGCUCGGUUUAUUUUGUUUUCCGUUUCAUCUGUCUAUGUGAGUACUAAUAUUGUUUUUUCUAACUGCAGAAUUUACUAUUAGAACAUAUUAAGCAAUAAUAGAGUAUUUAUAUAGCCGACUAAGAAAGCAUUUUACUGUUUCCGGUACCACAGAAGCACUGUUUUUCCGGAUCUCAUAGUAGACCAUCUUCAGAAAAAUUCUGUUGCCAAGAUAGAGUAUAAAGGCUUUUAAGAAACAUCAAGAGUUCUCCAUUUUCUUAUAUGCUUAACAUAAGCGAUAAACGAAAUAUAUGCAUAAGUGGGAAAAUUUUGUAUACUGUUGUCCUGGCAAGUAGCAAUUCAGUAAAUGUUUGUAAUAGGUCAAGAGCAUUACUUUCUUUAUCUUAUAAAUGAACAGAAUAAAAAUCAGGACGGGCGAUCAAAGGCACCUUUCCAAGUUGGGUCAAUCCAUCCCUUAUCUUUGGAAUCACCAGAAUGUGAACUGGAGCUUGAGGGUUAACAUCUCGAAACGCCAAUACCUUGUCAUCUUCGUAAACAAUUGUGGACGGAAUCUCCUUUGCUAUUAUCUUAUCAAAUCUAAACAAGAAAAAAGAAAGAUAGAUACAUUAAUUAUCUAAUGUUAAAUCAGUCAACUAUGUCAACAGAGUAGGACAUCAAGCCUCUGCAAGAUGUAAUUUUUAUCCAGCAAGGAACAGUAUCCAUCUUAUACAUGGUUGGAGCUCCAGUAUCCGCAAUCUCGGCAGCUGCUUUGGCAGCAGCCUCUUCAUUGCCCGAGGCAGCAUUACGGCACAUAAACCUGACUCGUUGUACCAAACAAAAAGGGUAAUAAAUUUUCACAGGCACCAGAGAAUUUCUCGAUCGUCAUCGCACAACACGUAAAUGUGUGCCAAGUUUGCACUUUUGAGUAGCAUACAGCCAAAUCUGGCAAUGAGAAAUGAAAGGAAAUAUUGCAAGAGAUCUCGAACCUGCGAGGGAGAAGAAGGACGGGCGGAGGCCGGGCGAGGUUGAUGGAUGAUGGAUUUGGUAGGGGUUUUGGGAACACAUGGCCUCGUAGCGCACGAGAACGCCUGCCAACAUCGAUGUGAGAGAAAGAAGAAGAACGACAGAGAGGGAGAGAGAGAGAGAGAGUACCGAAGAAGAGAGGAUGUUGUCAAAGCUGCGGUGGAGGCCAUGGCAGCGAGCAAGAACGCUUCCUCGCUCUAACGAAGGCUUGGAUCGGAUCACCCAAUUCGUGUAGGGGAAAUGUCUAUACUACCCUUUAGAUUGAAGAUUACUCUUUUGCAACUCUUUUUGUUAUUUAUAGUCUCAUAAGAAGAAGUCGACGAUUCCUAAUGUUAUCCUUUUAUAAAUAAAUAGACGUCUAUAUCCUUAAUUUUAUUUUUUAUUUGUUAUAUAUAUAUAUAUAUAUAAUUUUGAUUUAAAGUUCUUUUCUAUUAAUGCUAUGUUGCAUAUUUUAUUUUGAUUUUUGUUUUUUCCCCCUACGAAUUGGUGGCAGAGAAAACAGAGAAAUUUUAUUCCCCAUCAUAUCAGAAUUUUAUUAACAAGAAGAUUUUUUCCAGAAAAGAAAUUUGCUCUGCAAUAUUUAGCUUAGUAUUGUCAUAGAACAUCUUCCGCAUCAUUCCUGACCAUAUAUUUUUCUCAACUAAAAUACAAUAGUUUUUUCUUAAUUUUUAUCAGUUAUGAAUUGAAUUGCUACAGUGUCAUUGUAGUUUGAGCUUUUCAUUUCCUUAAUUGCCACCACAGUUUAAGCAAUCAAGUUCAGCCACACUCCAAAGUUUAAUGUUCCUUCUUCUGAACAUUAAGAAGUAGAUGCUUGCAUGUCUAUCCAAAUUGAAUCAGGGAAUAAACUUAUUAAUUGAGAAUUGAAGUGAAAAAUGUGUACAUCAGAACAGCAUUGUUUUCAGAGAAAUUUACAACUGGUGACUACCUAGAGAAAGUGGCUGAUGACAAGAAAAAGCACCAAUGAACACCGAUACCGACGAAGUUACGACAAACAUGAGGAUCAGGCGAUCGGUCUCGAUAAGUUUCGUGCUAUCGAACAAGUUAUGUCAUCGCUCUGUUGUCAGGAGGAUUAGCUUCUAGGAUGGCACGCUGAUGCAUUAUUACCUCAGAAUCCCAGAGAGAAUUUCGACGUAGCUACUUGGAAGUUCCAACGACGAUGAAGCCACAGACGAGGAGAAGGGAUCACCUGGGGUUAGAUGGAAGGUUUCUCUGGAAAGUUCCGGGAGCAAACACUGGGAAUGAGUCCACUGCUUGUGCCCUUUCCCUUGUGUCGCGACUCGUACUUGGUGUGCUCUCAGAUUCCGGUGGUCUUGUUACGGUGCUGCCAUCGCUUCUCUUAGUAUCUUUAAGAGGGGCAUUUAGAAGAGGCCCGCCAAAGAAAAUAGACUGCCCAGUGUAGGUUAAACUCUCUUGUUGCUGUAGAGGAGGCGUCACUGAUGUAGAAACAUUAGGUUGAGAAGCCUUCCUCCCAUAAGCACCAGUUUCCGCAGAAGAAAUAGGCAAGGGAAUCCAAAAAGCCUUAACUGGGGCUUCUGCACUAUUCUCAGUUCUAGCAGUUGCUGGUACCGAGACAUAGCGACCAGCUUCUUGAUCCCAAACAACAGAAGCCCUUCUAUUCUCCCUGGCCAUUGCUGUGGCAGAUUGGAACAUUGUGUUGGCGAGCUGGGUGGCAGGAGGAGGUCCUGCUGGAAUAUAUGGCGGAGGUCGAUCAGGAAGCGAAUGCUGCACAAGAAGUGAGCUCGGGGCAAUCAAUUCAUGAGUAUGAGCCGGACUGCUCAGGCUGCUUGUGCUUUGUGUUCCAGUCUCAUAAUCAUCCUUGCUAGCAAUACUUUGCGGAUAAGAGUUUCCUAGGGGAGAUAAUUUUAGUUCCCCUCUUGAUCCUUUAGUAGCAUUGUACUCUAUGCUUAAACUACUCCUGCUGCUUGCAUUUACACUGGAACUUAGAUCAGGAACAAGCACACGAUGAGCAUCCAUGGGCCGAAGAACUGAAGAAGAUGCCCUGGCUUUGGCUGCCGCUUUCAUGGCCUCACUAGGGUCCAAUUUGGCAAGCUUCCAAGGAUUUCUCUUAACAGCCUUUUUGGACUUGGCAGCCUUUUCCACAUACCCAGCUGCAUCUGGAUCUACAGUUGAUGGUACCAUUCCAGGUUCCAAGUGUGGGAUAAUCUCAUCCUGUAGCAGAAAUUUAGGAAUGAAGUAUACACGGAUUAAGAACAACCAAGAUCAUGGACAGCUGAGAAAUAUUAGCCUGUUUUGGAGUUUAUUCAUAGACACGAGCAGACAUAUGUCACAAAGUACGAUGAAAAGUAACCUUGACAAAUUGAUUUUCUAUGACUGACUCAUGCAAAACUUUUAAUAAUUAUAGCAGGAAUAUGAGUAUCUAAUGAAGGCUUACCUGCUGAUCAACAAAUAUCCUUGGAGGGGUGCACCAUACACCUUUGUACUGGAAACCAAGGGAACUUCCAGCACUUAAGCCAGUUGUUGAAGAAUUAGUUGGAGAAUAGACAGGGUUUGGUGCUUCUUCAUCAACAGAUGCUGGAGGUGCCUCGCUCAUCGCUCUCAUAGCCACAACAUACUCGUAGGUCGUAAUUCCCUGGUAAAGGGAGGGAAAGGUAUAAAAAUUUGCUGCACGAAGAAUCUGGAUAGGUUUGAGCUUUGUUUGACAAACCUUUUUAAUCAGAAUCAUGUGGAAAAAGAAAAGUUCUCCCAAAGGUACACAUGCGACUACUGAAACUGCAGUGCAAACAGCCUACAAAACCAAGUUUUAGCAAGAAUAUGCCAUGAUUAAAGCUGUUAUCUUCAUACUGGAUUCACUGAGCAAACAUAUUCUAGAACCAAUUCAUUUUGUUUGUUAAACUAAAAAUAACCGAAAAGGACAUUCAAAGAGGAAAAUAUUACAACAGUUGAGUGGGCACAUAGGUACUAAAAUCUUGCUAUUGAAUUUCCUAUUUCAAUUAAGAAUACAAAAUACCUACCUACCCAUCACAAAGAGAAGAUUAUCCAUUUAGCAAGCAAAUUGGACAUUUCAACGAGCAACAUAANNNNNNNNNNNNNNNNNNNNNNNNNNNNNNNNNNAUAUAUAUAUAUAUAUAUAUAUAUAUAUAUAUAUAUAUAUAUAUAUAUAUAUAUAUAUAUAUAUAUAUAUAUAUAUAUAUAUAUAUAUAUAUAUAUAUAUAUAAAUUUUUAUUACAUAUAUUGUAGUUAUUAUUAAUCAAUUAAAACUUCACCAUUUUUAUCUUUUAUAAAAAUCUUGUCUUUGAUAUUUUAAAUAUUGUGUGAAAGAAUCGUUUUACCAUAUUAUAUUUAUUAAAUUUUGAAUAAUUUAUUACUAUUAUGUUCUUUGUAUUCACAUUUAAAAUUAUUUUCUCAAUUGAUGUCAUUCUUGUUCAUUGAAUCUAAUCAAUUUUGAUUAGAUUAUGAUUAUAUCAUUUCUAAUAUUUUUCGAUCCCAAUACCAAUUUUGUGAACUAUGUGCAAAACAAACAACAGUUGUGUCUAGGGGGCCUUAAAUUAUGGACAUCUUUUAGGGAAAAAAGGUGUCCAUAAGAAAAAAUAAAUCAUACCAAUAAAACAAUAUCAAUUUUGAUCUGCUGAACUUACCACAACAGUCGCAAAUGGAGCACGAGAAAAACCAUUUCCGAGCUUUUCCUCCACAUCGUUCUCCAUUCUGUUCUUAUCGACAAAGCAAAGUACAAAAACUGCAAUACCAACUCCACAUUCCAGUGCAAGCUGGUAAAUGGCAGUGAAAAAGAAAAAGAAGGGGAAAAUGUUAUAGUUGGACAAGCUCUAUGCAUAUUGAUUCACAAGUCAAAAUAUUAAAUAGUCAAAAUGGUAACAUCUUCCACAUACCCAGAUGAGACUGGUGGCCAUAAGAGCCAUAAAGGUGACAUAAUUUUUUCUCCCCACACAAUUAUUAAGCCACUGUAAGCAAAUGAGAAUAUAAAUGAUAAAAAUUCUUAGUAUUCAACAGAGAACAAGGAAAAUAAUUCAAGACAAAAUUACCCGACAAUGGUGAUCAAACCCAUCCACACAUUUAUCACAGCUUCUACAGUGUUUACUAUAUCUGCGCACCUGCAAAAUAAAAAGAUUCAACAAAUGAUGAUGUUAAGUAGAAGUCCAAACUGAAAUGACCGUGUACCACAAAGCAAAAAAAAAAAGAACAUUCUGCAACAUUAUGAUUAGAUGCUUAACAAUAGUAACCACAAACAGACAAGAGAAACCAGUGGUAAUACUUCAUCACCCAGGAUAAUCUGUCUAAUUUUCAUCUAGUGGCUACUUAGGAAAUCAGAUGCUAGAGAUGCAAGUUUUAGUCACUAUUAUUUAGUAUGUAAUUCUAAUCUAAAGCAUUAUAUUCAAAUGCAGAGAUUUUAAUAAGUAACAAACUAGUAGUAAAUAAGAAACAACAAAAGAACCUGAUGUAGGCAAGACUGUGAAGUUAUGAAAUACAAUUAUGUCUUAAAUUACCAAUGUAUACACAAGAUUUUAACUAUGGAUAAAGUGAGUGAAAGAUUCAUACCUCUUAAAGUCCAUUCUACAGAAAAUUAACUUUAUGAAAGAAGAAAGACUCAACAUUUGCCUCGUACCUCAGUUGGUAUGAUGCUCCUCCAAAGCAAUAAAAAGUAAAAGAAUCAGAAAGGGAACUAAAAAUUUUGUUUUAUCUGAUUAGUGAGAAAUGAUCUGUUAAGUUUUUGCCAUAUAUGGAGAGAAGUGGAAGAGUAGAAGGCUCUCCCAUUACUUUUUCUUUAUUAUAGCAUCCACAACAAGUCCAAUCCAAUAAAACCUAUAGUAUUCAAUGGAGGGAGAAGCCUGUUUUGUCAUCUUUAUGAAUAGUACUAAGUUGAAAAGACACAAUCAGAAAGAUAUGAAGAUCCAUGGAUUCAUUGUAACACUUUUUUUUGACCUACUAUUCAAGAACAACACCUGCUAAAGGUUAGCUAAUGCAUGACCAAGUUAUUAUAAAAGUGAAGCUUUGACAAUAGAAAAUCACAACUCAAAUAUCAAAUCUAGCACGAAGGAUAGGUUCUACUGUAGUGAGCCCAAAGCGUCAAACUUUCAUAUACAGUAUCACAUAAAUAUGACUAGACAAAGUCCAACAUAAGCAUAUUGUAUCAUUUUUUCACCGAAUGACCAAUUCAGCAAUUGCCUUAUCUGCAUUAAAUGUGAACUUACUGCUGAGCAACUGAUUCCAUGGCUUCAUUAAGAACUUAACUUGAGCCCUUUCAUUACACUGAAUGGUGAUUAAACAAUAGCCUUAUAUUACAUACCCAAGAACUAUUUUUAAUGUCCACCAAGUACUCUGAAUACAACACUCACAGGGAUCAAGAUAUCUAGAUGGAGAACAUGCAACAAAGAGCAGCAGAUAAACGAGCAAUAAAAGAACUAAAAGGCAAGAAAGAAGAUGAAUGAGCUGUACAAUAUGCCACAGCUGUAAAAAAUAUGGUAAACAAAGGAGCUAACAAAGCAAUCUUGGCAAGAUCUAUCUAUGCUCAGAGAAUCUAAAUGCAUUGCUCAAGUUCACAUAUAUAUUAAAGAUUGCUUGGUAGUAAGGUGUAUAGAUAGAUAUAUAUAGAGAUAUAUAUAUAUAUAUGGCAAUAUCUAUCUAUGCUCAGAGAAUCUGAGUGCGUUGCUUGAAUAUAUGUUCACAUAUUUAUUAAUGUUUGCUUGNNNNNNNNNNNNNNNNNNNNNNNNNNNNNNNNNNNNNNNNNNNNNNNNNNNNNNNNNNNNNNNNNNNNNNNNNNNNNNNNNNNNNNNNNNNNNNNNNNNNNNNNNNNNNNNNNNNNNNNNNNNNNNNNNNNNNNNNNNNNNNNNNNNNNNNNNNNNNNNNNNNNNNNNNNNNNNNNNNNNNNNNNNNNNNNNNNNNNNNNNNNNNNNNNNNNNNNNNNNNNNNNNNNNNNNNNNNNNNNNUAUAUUCAGAGAAUCUAAGUGCGUUGCUUGAAAAUAUCAAAUUUACAUAUUUAUUAAUGCUUGCUUGGUAGUCAUGAAAUUAUAUAGAUAUUAUCAUUUAGAGACAAGAAUGUUAAGAUGGAUGCGUGGGCUAUUAAAAAAAAAGAAAAAGAUAUAUUUGCAUGAAUGGACAAUUAUUGGGAGAGGUCUAAAAUAUCUAAAAUUCCAAAGGAGUCACCGGUUAAAUAAUGUCUGAUAUUACCCUGGACAGACUUCAGUCAAUGGAGAAGAUCGACACAAGUGACUCAAAUAGUCAGGAUUCUGCAUAUAUUGCAAAUUAAAGUUCCAAGAGAAAAACUAAUUUUGAGAAAAGCAAAUAUUCAUUCAUUUCCACACUCCUCUGCGCCACUCAAAGAAAAACCCAUACUAAUGUCCUACCCUACAAAUCUUGUUUUACAAGGAUCAAAUAUAACAGGUCCUAAUAUUUCAUCAAUAAUGAACUAAUAAAAGAUUAGGUAAUAAGAGCUUGUGUAAGAAAUUAGACAGAUCUGAGCUACAACAUUUUGAUCCUUUUUAGCCAUUGUCAUGUUCAAACAAGUUCGCAUAAAAUUACAACUUGUAAUUGAACUCUUUAUUAUAUGAUGAUUUAUACAAUCAUACAGUUACAACUAGUAAAACAUAUAAUAUUAUUUCACUUCAUGAAAGUAAGCCAAUCAUACUUAUUUUAUCAAAGCAGAAAGAAUGGAUUGGAUGAUUUAAAAGCAAUAAUCCACAUUAUAUCAUCUAGAAGAUAUACCUCAGCAUUGCACAAAGUACAAAAUAAAGCAUCUUCGCCGCCAGCUUGUUGGUCAGUUUCUUCAAGUUUCCGGCAAUCUUCUUUAAUAAAUAAUGCACACAUAAAUCCUCCAAAGCUGCAGCAAGAUGAACUUUGCUUUCCUACACUUAUUGAGAUAUUUGUAUUCACAUCUCCGACAGCUGAAGAUUUUCUAUUAGUAGAACCAUCUAAAGAACUUCUGGAAGCUGAUGCUGGAGAAGAAUGUGCUUCAGUUGCAUUAUUAUCAACUUCACAAGAUAAAGGCCCACCUGGCAAUCCAGUUUGAUCACUUUGUUGAAUUUUGGAAUUGUUAUCAAACUUUGACAUGAUUCCUGGAUCAGCAGGGUUAAUGCGUGUACAACGCACAUAAAGUAUAAAAACUGCAACUGCCUGAAACAAAGUGAUAAGAGAUGAAGAAUCCACAUGACCAUAGUCAGAAUUGACAUUUAUACAAGAUAAACACAUGUUGUGUUAGUGUUAUCAUGGGAUAAGAAGAGCUCACUCACCACAGGGGUAUAAAUGGCAAUUGCAACAUAUUCAAAGAUGUGUUUACCAAGAAACGGUGCAAAGAAGGCAUAGAAUGCAACAACCAGGAGGAAGAACACUGUUAUAGCAACAACCUGCAAAAGAAGGUAGAAGAAAAAACCAUUGCUAGUUGCACAAAUGAGUAAAAACUAAAACUGCUAGUUAAUGCUAGUUAUUUAGGCUAAUUUCAAUUAGACUAAAGUGAUAUAGAAAAAACUGGGAAUACAUAAAUGCAUUAUGACAAAAGGUGUUAUAACAACUCCCCUAGAAUGAUACGAUCUCACUUGAAGUUAUAACUCCAUCAUGAGAAUAGCAAUAAGAUAUAUUCACAAAACACUCCAUGAUAAAUGUUCUUUUGGGAGUUUUCCUACCUGAUAUUACAAAAUAGGAAUAUAUUGAUGGGCCCACUGAAGAAUGUUUAACAUUUUCAUUCUGGACCGAUGACUGUUUAAGGCAUACAUUUAUAAACAACAAGGAAGAGAAAUACAUAGGUUGACCCUCCCUAGACUCUCAUUGGCAGGAGCCUGAUUCAUUUAAUUUGUCACUAUUUAAGCCAAAGAAAUGCAUUUACCCACAAAGAACUUAUCAGGCUAGAAAUUGUAGGUUUAUAUGGAUUUGGAAGGUCCUAGCUCACGAGUGCACUCAAAUACUCUAAUAACAUGGAACCAUAUACCAUGUGCAAUAUUUCCUUUCUGCCAAGGCACUAUCUCCCAACUAUAAGUGAGACAUUUGCGUGGACAAACAAUAAAUUCUGUUCCAUAUCAUGGUUGAUUUUCGUUAUGCAAGGUCUAUGUGUGAUCUAGGGACUUAGUAAUCUACAAUGUAACCAGAGCUCUUUUAAAGCAUUCUUACUGGUCCACUUGAAAGUUUUCGUUAAUUUAACAUGUUAGUAAAGAUGAAGUUACGAGCUUGCCUGAUGACAUCAAGUAAUCAAUUGAUGUAGUUAGUUUCUCAAUUUCCAAUAAGAACAUUGAUGAACUAUUAAACGAAACUAAUGCCAAGCUUCCACAAGAAAAAAAAAAUUAAACAAUGGCAUCUCAGCAAUGAAACGGCCCAAUUUCAAACAAAGACAAAGUAAAGCUCAGACAUGAAUUCAGUAUAGAUUUGCUACAAAAAUCAAAGUGAGCAGACAUCGCACGCUCCCCGGUUUCAUAAGCUGGGGAGAAAGAAUCAUCCAAGACACCAACUUGGACUGUGUAAGAGCACGAUCGAUGUGUAAGGAGAAGAAGAAAGAAAACCUAGAAAUAACAUCAAUGCACCUUGAACCAAGAAGGCUUUUUGAAACAAUUAAACCCUUCGGAAGCCACAUCUUCCGAGAAAUCCAAAGGGCAAAACCAAAAGGGAAAGAAGGAAUUGUCGGAGCAGGGGAGGAGGUACCUGGAAGGUGUGAGCAGGAAGCUGCCAUCCAUGGCGCCUUACCAUGGUUGCAGAGAACAAGUGCUCCUCAGGCACAAACCUCCUCCGAUCACGCGGACAUAGAAGGAGAAAACCCACGGGCCAAAGGAACGAACGGAUUGCCCCCCCUUUUGAAGGAAGUGGAAGUGGAUCGGGUGGCAAGGAGACAGACGAAAAGAAAAGACAAGGAACCUCCUCCUGAAGACUCAGUGGGGGCAAAAGAAAAGGGUUUGGUCCUCGAAGCUGAAACCUUUGGAGCCUUCCUCCUCGGGACUCACAUGGGGUGGGGGCAAAGGAAUAGGGUUUGGGCCUCAAAGCUGAAAUCUUUGGCGCAUAAACUGUACAUGGAUGCUGGGAAAAAAGUGAAAGACGCGAUCUUUUUCCUCGGAAUGCAAUUUCUUCCCUUCCCAGCAAGUCAAUAUCUGCUCAAAUUAGCACCCUCUGUUUCUGGAUGAGCUACGGAAGCUAAAGGCGAAAGACUUGUCAUCCAGUGUUCUCCAAGAAGACAAGAGAAAGAGAGCAGAGCAAGAUUUGCCUGUGAAACAUGGCAGAGAUCGGCAAUCCAAAUGAAAACAACACCUCAAUAUUUGCCGACCGCAAGCCGCCGAAACGCCUCGUGUUGCCAUUCGGCGUCCGACCACCAGUGGCAGGUCAUGUGAAGCAAAUAUAUUCUGUGUGGUCAUAUACAAGUCAUUCUUCACCUCUCUGUCUUUAUAUAAUCUAAUUUUCUAGUUUAUACUAUUCUGUUAAGACAAAUUAAGAUUAUUAUUUCAGCUGACAGAGAAUUGCAGACUGUGUGUUUUCUUUGACAUGGAGUUUGGAACAUAUUAGGCUACCAAAUUCUUCUAACCAAAUCCACCAAGCAUGGAAUCUACCAACCAACAUCCAAUAAAUUAAAGAACUACUUCAUCACCUAAUACUUAUGGCUCAUCUUGGAGAUGUGGAUCUGCAAACAAGCAUAUUGAAACAGUGCCAUGGAGAUCAAGAAGUUUACAGUAAUCUUGGUUGCACCAAUGACGAUGCUUCUUUUCUUGAGGUAAAUUUAUCUCAAAGCAGAGUAAUGGUGACUUGUUUCUCAUUCCCUUUGUUCUUCCAGGAUCUUCACUUGCAAGGGAAAUCUUGGAGCAGCUUUGUUAGGUAGCAUAAGAGACAACAGGAGAUCUUUACGUCAGUGAGCUGCUAUCUUAGAUUCUGUCGCAAGAUUCUGUCCUGCUAGUAGAGCAGCAUUUGGCACCAAAUCAAGUCUUUGGUGUUUGUCCUCAGGCUGGAAGCUGCUGUAAGUUCCAAAGCUAACACCAAGUCACAUAACUUUGGUAGAUAUCUAAGAAAAGGGCAUAAAUAACAGAGAACUUAACAUGAACUCUAUGAACAAAAUUUGAACUUUAACGUUAACGAGGAGGAAGAAGAAGAGAUCUCUGGUAGUAAACAUAUCUAUGUCCCUGCCAAAGAUUUUGCCAAUGAAGCUCAAGCAGCAUUGUCGGCCUCGAGCAUAUGUUAUUGUAGAAGUGGAGUUCGAAUUCUUUCAUGAGUUAAGUGAAGGAAGAGACCAAGAGUGGCUUAAGAUAAUUGUACCACUUUUAUGCCGAGACCCUCAGCGUUGUUGGGACCGCUCAACACAUUAGAGCGUCUGAUAUAUUGUAUAAAGACAUCUGAGCUCGAAAAGCGAUUGUAUGCUCCGCUGGGUCAAAGUUGUCGUUGAAGGUUUCCAAUGAUGGGAGACAAAAGUUUACAGACAUCAGCUCCUCCUAGAGGCUUUGGACGAAAAGGGAGCGGCCUGAGGUGGGGUCAUCUGCAUCUUCCCUUCUGGAUUAUUAGAACUCUCGAUGCAUCUUGUCCAUGUGUUGGUCCAUCUAUCAUAGUUAGGCUCUCAAGGAGUCGUUCAUUGAAUCUAUCAAUUAGGUCUUCGAUUCAAGUAAUGUUGGGCCCUAGUGCAAUGGCACACUGAACUCCACUAUUGGGAAGGAGGAUGCUCUUGUCAGUAGUUCAGUUGGUCGAGUGCAGUCCUGGGUUGCCAGUACUAGAUCAAUCGGGGAAACCCUGGUGGGCGCUAGUGCUAAUAGUGGUUGAGACACCGAUCGUGGUUGUAAUUGCACCAUAGUCUAUUGAGCUAGCUGAGGCAGAAGUUGGGCGAUAGCCUACAUCAUCCCCAUGAGCAUUUGCAUUUGGUGAGUGAGGUUCAAUAAUAUAUCGAUGAGGACAACUAGGUACCUUGCAUUCAUCCCUAGAGGUGAGAGUUUGGGGUUGUUGAAUAGGUGCCAGUAAUGCCCCAGUGUUUGAGUGGAGGUGGAUGCAUUCACCAGAGGAACGGUGGGCAAUUGCUCGCCUUGUGUGAAAGUAAUAUGGAUUGGGAUAAGGCCUCAUCGCUGGAGUACUCGUUAAGAGAGUUCAUGGGUAGAUAUUUUUGCAACAUUCAGGGCCCUCCUUCUAACGCCAAAAUGUUGUAGGGAGAGUACCGUCGAUUGUGAGUCAACACGACUUGGUUUUGACUCAAAGGUGUAGGGUCAUCCGAUUAAUCCUCGUACUCAUAUGAUGAAGCGGUUGAUGGGGCACCAAGGCAUCGAGGUGGUCGUCGGGUAGAAUAUGAAUGUCCAAGGUGGUCUUGAGGGAAGGUUGAGGUGGAGUUCGACUCCUCGAUGGGUUUCUGAAUAAAGGUUAGUGUUAGGAAGAGUUUCCUGAAUUGACCCUCCAAUGCUCAAGUUAGCUUUAGAGUGGUAUAUAGUGUAUGAGACUAUUUGCAGAGAUAUUCGACUCUUGGAUCAGCUUUUAUAUCUGACUGGUCGAGAGAUUUAUUUGUAACAACUAUAAUGCCCUCUCAUUUGUCCAUGGAGGCCAACCAAGGUGGGGUCGGGGCAGGCCCGAACAAUCUCUCGUGGACAGUUGUCCACGGAGGCCAACUGGGCUAGUCCGAAUGGUCUCUUGUUGACUAUUAUCCAUGGGGGCUAAUAAGCCAUAACUAUCUCCAUGUCACCGCCUCAGGUGACUCAACCUUCAACUUCCUUGUCAGCAUAUCUAUCAUUAUAAAAAGAUAUAUAUUUGUGUCCCAGUCGACUUUGUCAAAACUCUCAUAGCUUAGCUUGCUGGUGUUGUCUACCUAAACAAAACAUAUGUAUUUGUUUAGGUAGACAACACCAUUUCUGAGCAAGUUUAGACAGGAUGAGGAACCCAAAUUUCUGAGCAAGUGCAAGAAUUCUCAAUAUUGAAAAGAAGAGGAGGAGGAUUACUACCUGAAGCAAAUAGGAAGAAGAACGGCAAAGUGAUGGCCACACCCCUUGUGUCCAUUCUUGAAGACCACCUUCUACCUGCAAGAAAUUCUUAGUGUGCUCACUAGAUUUCUGGUAUUGUCACCAGGAGUUAGGGUGUUGUUUUAGUUGUUUUCUUGUCAUGGGAAAACGCAUUGCUUACAUAGCAACGUUUUGGACUUGCUUGAUUGUGUCGGCGCACUAGAUGUUUUGCAGCUUGAGCAGAUACAUCAUAUGCAAAACAAGGGUCAUUUUGGACACAUUAUCUACAAAUAAAAUACUUUAGGAUUGAUAUAAUAGUGGAGGAGGCAUGGCUGACACCUUAACAUCAUAUGUGAUCGAUACUUUAGCAUUAUGUGGAUUAACACCUUAACAUCGCAUCAUCGAUACCUUAGCACCACGUAUCUCAACAUGAGACACCUCAUCACCGUAUGACCAACACAUAGUCAGCAUGAGAUUGACAAUUGGAUGAUAAUGAAAAGAUUGGGUUUUAGAUGAACUUGCAAUCCCUUGUGAUCAACAUUGAUCACAAGAAUACCAGUCCAUAGAGCCCACUAUAAAAGAGCUCUCCAAGUGUGUUCCCUAUAUACAUUUAAACAUCGCUUUUAAGCUUGGUUCGAAUCCUUCCAAACCCUUGAAAUGAGACAAAUGAGGAGGAAGGUCUCGGUUAGCUCCGAAUCGACAUCCCUCGAUGAUGAUGCAACCUCGGCUCAAAAGCAUCUCUUGAUAGUUGUGCAAGUUGAAUUGACCUAGAAGCGUCUCUUAGUAACAACGUAGGCUAAAUUGGCUUAGAAGCGUUUCUCGACAAUGAUGUGGUCGAAUCGGUCCAAAGCGCUCAAUUCGAUGAUAGCAUAAUCAAAAUGACCCAAAGCAUUUUGUCCAACGAUAGUGCAAUCAAAACAACAUAAAACAUUCUCAUCAAUGAUAACAUAGUUGAAAUGACUUGUAGUGCUCCAUUUGAGGAUGCUGAACAAAAUGGUCUAAAGUGCUUAAUUCGAUGACAAUGCAGCCAAAAGAACCCAAAAGUACUUCCUUUAACGAUAGCAUAACUAAAACAACCCAAAGUGCUCACUUCGAUAACAAUGUAAUGAAAAUAUUCCAAAGUGCUAUAUUUAACGAUAGCACAAUCGAAAUGGCUCAAAAUGUUCCCUAUGACGAUAGUGCAAUAUAUACAACCUAAAGCGCUCCUUUUGGUGAUAAGAUCAUAAACCCUUUUUUUUAGUUUGGUAGUUAAGUAGGAGUUAUAUCCUUGACUCCACUGCACUUAUCGAGGCAUGCUAUGGGAAUAAUGAUAUAAGGACGAUCGAUACCUCAAUGUCAUCUUAGCACCAUAUGGCUAACACUUAACACCACAUGAUGGGCACUUCACAACCACGUGGUUGAAACCUCAUCACCACAUGGCCAACAUAUCACAACUACAUGGCAUAUAUCUCAACAUUGCAUGACUAACACAUUAUAACCACGUAUUCAACACCUCACAGCUAUGUGGUCGACAUCUUACCGCUACAUGACCGACAACUUGACAUUAGAUGGGUGAUGAGGUGAUUGACUCGACCUUGCGAAAAUUGAUACACAUAAUUUGAUACAACCAUGUUCGCUGGUUUCAGCGCUUCAUGAUCGCAUGUGGUUGGAGAAAAUGCAUAAUCAUUCCAAUUAUUAAUUAUGACCUCAAGCUAAUGGUCAAAUACCAUAUUAUAAAAUGCUCCCAAGUAUGUUCUAAGGGGGCUCUCCCCUCUAUGUUGAAUUACACUUUUCUUAUUUGACAUUUGACUAAAUUCUUUGAACCUCUUACUGAUUUAAGUAUCAUAAGAGCUUUGUUGGGUAUACCUUUAACGUAGUUUUUUUUUUUUUUAGGAUCCCUUAUCGAACCCACUCAUUGCCCGAUAUCAAAUUUUUGAUAGACUUGGACAUCAACAAAGGUUGCCUCCAAAAUUCUCCCCAUGUAUUGGACAACCAAAUUACAUUUUCAUACCUUCCAAGUUGUGAUUUUGGAGAAUAAUAAUUUAAUAUCUUCUCACAUAUCCAAUUUUGUAUGAAAAAUAAACUUAAUUUAGUAACUUUUCUUUUAUUUGAAAACACGAAUUAGUAAAAACAAAUCUGCACUGAAAAUUUCUCAAUAGUCAAACCUCUUAAUUUGCUUCAAAACAUAGAAAUUAUCAAUUAUUUUGUAUUGGAUACGAAGAAUAAUAUUCUUAGUAAUAAGAUUCUUUAAUCUUAAACUUGAUCAAUUAUUGAAUAUAUAUAUAUAUAUAUAUAUAUAUAUAUAUAUAUGUAUAUAUAUGUUUGAAUGUUCAUGGUUUUGAUAGAUCUGUUGUUGUUUACUUGAACAAAACAUACCCUAAGUCCUCGUUUCAAUACCAAGAAGAUAGUGAGCACACUAAAGAUUGCUUGUAGGUUGAAUGUGAUGGUGGUUUUCAAGAUUGGACAGAAGGGAUGCAGCCAUCACUUUGAUCUUCCUAUUUUGUUUACUGUAUAAAAAUUAUUAUUAUUUUCCUAUACAUGAGUUUCAUAAUGAAUUGGUAUGCUUUCAUUUCAUGUUAAAUUAUUGAUAUUUGUAUAUAUUUUAUGAAUAUUAGAUAUUAUUUUUAUAUUUUUUAAAAAUUACUAUCAACAUGUGUGGUUGUUGAUGCUUCUUUAUAAUAUAUUUAUUUUUAGAGUAGUUUACUACUUUCUAAUAUGUCUAAGGUUUGGAUAGAGGAGACUUUUCAGAAACACUAUAAAAAAGGCAUGAUUUUUUUAGUUAAAAAAAAGUUACUAUUAUAAAGAUAGAGAUUUGAAUUCAAAGAUAAAAAAGAGAGUGGCUUCUAUAAAUUAUGAAUAAUGAAAUAAUAGUUUAUUUUUUUAUAAAUCUAGGAUGUGAUAAGAUCGAUUUGGUCUAUACCACUAUUGGGAGAUGCUUUUGAAUCGAGAAGGUCGCAUCGUGGUUGAGGGACGCUUUAUGGCUAAAUUUAGUUGCAAUGUGCUUCUUGAUCAAGUUUAGUUACUUUGUCAUCAAGGAAUGAUUUAUGACCAAGUUCAAUCACGUUAUUAUAUAAGGAUGCUUCUUUAUUGAUUCGAUCAUGUUAUUGUAGAGGGUUGAUUUUGGCUGGGUUUGGUCACCUAGUUAUUAAGAAUUAUCUUUUCAAGUAGUUCAAUCAGGUUAAUGUUAGGAGUCACCUCUUCAAAAAGUUUAGUCAUGUUGGUGUUGGGAGCUACUUCUUUUGGUCAUGUUGGUGUUAUAAGCGAUCUCUUUAAGCAGUUUAACUAUGUUGGGAUAAGGAACCACCUCUUUCGAGGCUCGAAUAGUACGGUGUGGAGAGUCACUUUUUUAGGUGGUUCGACCAUAUUAAUAUAAGGAACCACUUCUUUGGGGAAUCUAUCAUUAUAGUGAAGGGAGCUACCUCAUUUAUGUUGGUGUUGCUCAAUUAUGUCUAACUACCAUUUUAUCCUAUUAGAGGGUGGUAUAAUGCAACUACAGUCCUCAAUUAUGUUACUUGUUAUAGAAUUUGAUCAUUCGAUAAAUGAAGAAAUUUCGGAGCCACAAAUCUGAAUUUGUCACAAACUAGACAUAGUGAAUUUGGAAAGAGAUCCUAUAAAAAAGAAUUAUGUUGGAGGCAUACUCGAUAAGGCCCCUCCGUGCUUAACACAAUAAAGAGUUCUAAAUUCACUACAAGAGAUCCCCCUAAAGAACCUCCUCCGGGCCUUUUUGUAGUGUGGUAUUUGGCUACUGGGUUGAUGUCAUGGUUAGUAAUCAAAAUGGUUUUACGCUUCUUCCAGCCACAUAUGUGAUUGUAUAGUGCCGAAUCCGAGUAGGAAACAAAGAGUCGCUGCUGGUGUGUGAUAAUGUCGCAGCUGUGUAAAGUAGAGAACAACAAGCAGUGGCUCUCACCCAUGGCGUCCAUGCUGCAUGCAGGGCAUUGUGGUAUUCGUCGAUAUUGAGACAGGUUGACUUCGAUGCGGAAGUUGAUGUUGAACUGUGUUCGGGUGUCAUUAUGGAGUGCCAUGUGUUAAUCUGUGCCCGUGCGAACAGUGACUUGCAGGGUUGAGCCUAAAGGCUUAAAUGGGAUCAAUGCAUCUCUUUUGCACACACCGAGAGGCUUAAGAGCAAUGUUCAAAUAUGUUUAUAGGAAACACACCUAGCGUGCCUUUUAUAGUGGGCUCUAUGAAUCAUUUUUCUUAUGAUUGAUGUUGAUCAUGAGGGGAUUGUGCAUUUAUCUUGGACCUAAUCAUUCUCAUCCCGUCGCUGGAUGUAAUGAAACCUUGAAGAUUGACUUGAUCUUAUCAUUGUCAUCUAAUUGUUGGUCUUGUGUCGAUCGCGUGUCAGUCAUGUGGUGCUGAGGUGUUUCUCCACAUCAUGAAUGGUCGUUGCGCACCCGUAACAUCUUUGUUAAUGAACCGUUCGUCACUUUUGUGCACUUGUAUAGUUGUUUGACAGUAUGUUUUGUAUUAGUUUUGUAUAUUUUUACUUGAAAAUUAUGAGCAAGAAUAGAUUGAAAUAUUACAAAGCGAUUGCUCACCAUGAUGAGUAAAACUUCCACAAAAUAGAUUCGUUUUUGUGUGUCACAACUUGUUUUUUUCAAGCUAUGGUGCGAUGCAAAAUAUCAACUAUAUUAGUAUCCUGGAACCCCUUAGGUGGCACCUGGUUAGAUAAAGAUUUGUUGUUGUGUUGGGCGUCAAAUAGAUUUCACAAGUUCGCAUGUUAAGUCUAUGAGAACUUGCCAUCGUGCUCGACAUCCUAUGGAAAAUCAUUUAAGGACUUGUAAUUGCUCGGUUGCCUUCUAAAGUCCUUGGUUUCACCAUUCUCUCUUGCAUAUCGAGUGUUUGAUGAAUUACUUGUAAAGUUGCCGUCUUCGUAAGAUGUUAGGACUUGUUCGUCGUUCUAUUUCGAACUAAUCAAUUUGCUCUUUUAUAGGUUCUAUGAGACCUGAGCAAGGUUGUAGCUAGGCUUAUCAUUUGCAGAUAGAUAAUGCAAUAAAGCUUCAUAACUUAAAUAAUCCUAGUUAAGUCUAUGACAUUGACGUAAGGGUGCUUCAUGGCUUAGACAACUUCAGUUAAGUUCAUAAUAUUAGCGUAAUUAUGCCUCAUGACUUAAAUAGUUCUAAUUAAGUCGGUGAUAUUGUCGUUUCAAAAAAGUUGAUGAUAACGUGGUGUUGAGAUAUCAAUCACAUGAUAUUGAGGUAUCAGCCAUGCGAUGCUAAAGUAUCAAUCCUCAUAGCAUUAAUGUGUCGACUCCACAAUGUUGAAGUGUCAACCAUGCCUCCACUCGUAUAUCAAUUCUUAAGUAUCUCUUUGCGUCUAAAAUCGAAAAACAUUGGAAGUGUCUGAUGCGACCAAGCAAAUCCAAAAUGUCCCCUUUUACAUAUGAAUGAUGUGCCCGCAGAAGAUGCAAAACAUAAAGCAUCGACAUGUGGAAUCCUUGGUAUAUGUUACGUGAGCUGGUUAUAAUAGCAUUAAUCCUUGCCAGAUACCCUUAAUCUUCCAUUUAUGCUCCUACGUGCAUGAACACUGUAACUCCAUGGUGGCAUCAGAUAUAUCUUUCACUUGGAUACCUUGUAUCUUAUCUACUACUAACCAUCUUUGCAUUCAUGAGAUUUUCUACUGCUACAUAUGGUCGAUCGAUGCAAAUUAUAAAUAACAACAUACCCUAACUCCUGGUGACAGUACCAGAAAUCUAGUGAGCACACUAAGGAUUUCUUGCAGGUAGAAGGUGGUCUUCAAGUAUGGACACAAGGGGUGUGGCCAUCACUUUGGUGUUGCUGUUCUUCUUCCUAUUUGCUUCAGGCAGUAAUCCUCCUCCUCCUCUUCUUUUCAAUAUCGAGAGUUCUUGCACUUGCUCAGAAAUUAGGGUUCCUCAUCCUGUCUAAACUUUAGUAUCAGAAAUGGAGAAAAGGAAUAAAUUUGUUUUCAUUAUUACUUUAUAUAAAUCUAUAACAACAGAUCUAUAUGAACAUUCAAAACAAACAAACACACACACACACAGACACACAGGAGCACUGAUGGUCUUCUUCAACAGAGGCACUGACAAAGGUUGAUGCAAGUUUCUGCGACCCCAAGAACAACAAUGAGUGUAUAAACUUAGGAUCCCAAGGAGGCGAGUGCGCCGCCAACUGCUGCCUUCCCAUCCCUCCCGGUGCGAAGAUUGUGGAUUUCAAGCGGCCAUCGCGGUCCACCCCCCUCCGCGUCCGCCCCGCCGCCCACUUGGUCGACCCCGAGUACCUGGCCAAGUACAAGAAGGCCAUCGAGCUCAUGAAGGCGCUCCCGGCCGACGACCCUCGCAACUUCAUGCAGCAG
RNAcentral lists this long non-coding RNA (139270 nucleotides) under Musa acuminata (dwarf banana). Its description in RNAcentral is "long non-coding RNA (MACU_LNC003729)". The stretch from base 109046 to 109289 matches the Rfam family "MIR167 microRNA precursor family". Lineage: Eukaryota; Viridiplantae; Streptophyta; Magnoliopsida; Zingiberales; Musaceae. The record is from RNAcentral.